RNAcentral lists this long non-coding RNA (93411 nucleotides) under Ananas comosus (pineapple). RNAcentral describes it as "long non-coding RNA (ACOM_LNC017715)". The record is from RNAcentral. Lineage: Eukaryota; Viridiplantae; Streptophyta; Magnoliopsida; Poales; Bromeliaceae.
GCUCUCUCUCUCUAGAAAGAAAAGGAAGAAGAGAAGGAGGAAAAAAAGAAAAGGGAAAAGAAGAAGGAGAAGAAGGUGGAGAAGAAGAAGGAGAUCAAGGAGAAGGCUUUGAGCAUCUUCCUCUCUUUCUCUCCUCUCUAUUGGUGUAGCUCAAGAGGUAAGCUACAAACCCUAACUUGUAGAACUUAGGGUUUUUGAGUGUUGAGCUUUGGAAAUUGGGUCAAAUGGACCCCUAGUACCAUUGUUGGUGGAUCAAAGCUAGAGUUAGGGUUCCAAGUUGCAAAUGGCAAGAUGAGAACCCUAGGGCACCCAAAAUGGGGUUUUUGGUAAAGUAUGAGAUUGAUCUCAUUUGAUGCCUCGUAAACCUAAUUGGUAGGUCAAAAAACGCGGGGGCGAAGUCAAUUUCGCGAUUCGACUAGUGGAUUGGGAGCUAUCGGCAAAAUACGGCCGAUUUAGCUUUGUCUUGCACCAAGGAAGGCUAAAGCCUUUUCGUAAAGUUCGCCGAGGAUCAUUUCUAAAGCCUCUACAUUGGUAAAAGAUGUGGGGUGCCAUCCCGAAGCUUUCGAACUCCUUUCUAUGUCUUAGAUUGCAUUUAAUCUCAUCUCUUACAUGUUGCAUUGUAGGGUUGCAUAGUAGCUCCAUUCCUUAUGCUUUCUAAUUGAUAACCUAGUGUACUUGGAACGCUUGGUAACUUAGAUAGGUGAGGAUUGGGUUGGAACGCUGAUCCUAUGAUGCGAAAGAAAAUAGAUGAACCCGACAUAGAAAGUGGUGUUUAAUGUUAAAAACAAACGAGUGGCAUCCAAAUGUUAAAUAAUAACGAGUGGCAUUAAUGUAGUGUAAAUGACACUAGAGGUUUGAGAACCUAGAGAUAGGUGGAUCCCUUAGAAAAUGCCUUGUGGAUAAAGAACUUAGUAAACCUAAGUACCCUCACAUGGAGAGGUUGUCGAUGAGUUAUUGAGAUAUUGACCCUAGUUGUAGGGCAUCCUCACUUGGAGAGGAUUUGAUUGGGUUGUUGACCCUAGUUGUAGGGCAUCCUCACUUGGAGAGGAUUUGAUUGGGUUAUUGACCCUAGUUGUAGGGCAUCCUCACUUGGAGAGGAUAAAUCUAGUUCACAGUCUGCUUUUGGGGUGGUAUAGCCAUCCAUAUCCCCACAUGGAGGGGGUUGUCGUCGAGUACUCCGGAGUGUCGGGCGAUUAAGACCACUUGGAGGUCCGGACCACACAGAGGUCCGCAGACGGUCCCGGGCUUGGGUGCACUUAGAGCUCCCUCCCCACUUUGGGAUUUAAAGGUGAGUUAUUGGCGAACCCAAGGGCUACGCCACAGAUUGGGUAAAAGAACAGUGAACAAUGUCAUUGAACAUUAUUAUUCAAACAUGGAUCGAAUUCGUUAGCAUGAUAGUAAACCUUUGCUAUAUGAUGCAUGCAUUCAUUACAUAUGAUUAUGGGCAUAGUAGCAUAGUUUUCUUACUAUUACAUUUACAACUUUCAGAUAUUUAUCUAUCUAUCUGUUGUUGCUUGUGCCCACUUGGACCUAGUGGGGAGAUCGGCAGAGUCGGCGGCCGAGCCCACUGAGAACUAUGGAAGAUAGUUCUCACCCCACUCUAUUUCCAAUGGUAGGUACAGGUUUGCCGAGAGAAGACCGCGGCAAGGGCGUCGCGCCCGAUCAGUGAGACCGUGGUAGCAUAGUAGCUUUCCUUUUUGCAUUAGUACACCUAUGUAUUGAGAGAGAUUCAUUGUAGGUGAGGAUUUGGAGAGCUAUGUAUUUUGGAUGAAUGAUGUAAUCAUUUAAAAAAAAUGAUGUAAAUGAAAAAGGAUGAACUAUUGUAAUAGUUAGCAAAGUACCCUCUUUAUUUCACAUGUCAUUCCUGUGGAUUACUUGCUUUUGUAGUUGCUGGCACUAUUUGUGCCCCGUUGAAUGUGUACGUUUAGAAUUUAAAUUUCUGGGAAAUUCUUGUACACAUUCUUGUUGUGAGCCUUGGGCGGACAGGGGAGAUACUGUCCCUUCGGCGGUCCGCCCGCCGCGCCCGAAUCGUGCCAAAUCAAUAGUGGUUUCGGGGCGGGGCGUGACAUAGAUUGUCAGCUCUUGAUUUGGUUUUUCUUUGUUGAGGGACAUGUGUUAUUUUUAGUACUUGCUCUACCCUAGUCUCAAUUCCAAUUAUCAUAGAGAGCAUCAUAUUUUGUUGUAUCUUCAUAUUUGAUAAUUUUUCAUUGAUCUUAUCAAAAUUGGAGGUCAUGAUGUCUGGAAUUUGUGCUAGUUGAUCUCGGCUAUCGUACCUUCAUCGAUGGUCUAGGAGAUUAUCAUCGUGCUUCUAACUGAAAUGACCCUACAUGUUUCGGGCCAAAAGAGCUCCUCAUUUUCAAGUUCUUGAGACUUCUUUUUAUUUUCUGCAUCCUUUAAUGCUUUUACUACGAAGUCUCGUAUUGUCAUAGGUGGCACUUCACCUUGCAUAUGUUCCUCUAGGAAAUCUAUGUACUUCUCAAUGUCCCGCUUCUCGUAUUCAGGCUGAAUGGGUUCCACGAAUUUUCGUAUCCUCGUCUUUAAAAUUAUUUUUCACUUUUCCAAAGUAGGGGGAUUAGUUGCUAUUUCAUAGAAGGAAGUUUGAACUUCUGGAUACAACAGACUUCUCUAUAUAAUUCCAGGGACCGUGUUCAGAUAUUUUAACAUUUUGUGAGUUUCCUUCUAUAAGAAGAUGUUCCAAAACUCAGGAGGAAAUAUACCUCCUUCUUCAUUGUUUUCAUCUUUUAUAUUCACAAAAUUUGCGCUUUCGACUGACAGAUCAAUAAGCACAGCUUGAGAAAGGGUGAUCAUACCAGCUUUAUAUUAUUUUUCUACCUAAUCUUUGAAUACCCGGUAGUCCUCAAUAAGGUGGUUAAUCAUUCGAUGAUAUAGGAAAUAAUUUGGGUCACUUGUCCUCCCAAUAUCUUCUGGCUUUUUAGGUUUUGGCGGUUCAAGGCCGCUCUUUAAGGCAUCUCUCACCUUAUCCCUUUUAAAAGGAUAAGCUUUAUUUUUUCUUUCUUCAAAAGUGGGCCCCUUAAAGUUAUUCGCACCCAAUACAGGCUUUGGGGAUGCCCGCUCUGUUGUGGUGGUCAUAGCUUUAUUUCCCUUCUCCACUAUAUUAGUGCGUGUUACCUUAAAGUGUUCAGCCUUUACUUCAACUUUCUUGCCUUUUUUCCAUUUGGGCUUCUGGGUUUGGAGGUUCAUCAGGGCCUAUGGAACUGUCCUCUCUAAUUUAGGAACAUUUAAUAUUAAAUCCUGAAAUAUAGUACAUUGGGUGGUACAAAAAAACGGAGCCAUCCAUUUGCUGAUAUUACCCAUGAGCAAUCCAAUAGCUUGGGUCUACUCGAUAGGUUGUUCACAUCGGAUGCUUAAUUUUCGCCACUGUGUGAUGUAUUCUAACACCGAUUCAUCUUUUCUUCUUUUGGUGGCGACCAGGUCAGUUAUUGUAAUCUUAUCGCUAACUAUGGCAACUUUAGUUCUAAAGGCUUCCUCUAUAUCAUCCCAUGUUUUGUUAUAUUCAUCUUCGAGUGAAUAAUACUACACAAAUGCCUUUCCUAAAAGACUUCGAGAAAAUUGCCGCAAGAGAAGUGCACCAUUGGCUUCAGUAUUUCCACAUGUGACUUUAAAGUCUGCCAAGUGUUGAUCAGGGUUACCUAUUCCAUAAAAUGUCUUGAAUUUAGGGACGAUAUAUCCAUAAGGAAAUGAGAUGCUAUCGUAUUCUAUAGGAUAUGGGUGUCCUCUGCUUUUUCGUUUUGGAGUUCCCUCAUCAAUUGUUUGUUUGAUUUGCGAUGAGAUCAACUCCCAGAUCUCCUAUUUCGUUAUAAGAAAAUUGCCUUGGUGGUUUUGUGGCUCUGCUGGUGCUGGCUGCAACACGACAGAAGGCGUCAUCUGACCUGGCUGCAAUGUAUUCAUUGAUUGGGACACAGUUGGACGCGCUUCAUCUGACUAUGGCACAAUUUGGUUUCGUUAAUGUUUAAGGCUGGAUAACACAUUGAGCAGCAGCCCUAUAACUUCAUCUAUUUUUUAUAGAGAUUAAUUACAUCUCUAUUUUUUUUUCAUCAAUUUGUCUUUUUAAUGAUGCAAUCAUGCCAUCUUUUGGAUCAUUGGCCAUGAAAAUCGGUUCAUCUUCUUUGUCCACGUCAUGAGAAUUGCCGGGUAAUGACGUGUCCGCCGGUAAUCUUUGGAGAUUAGACGGCCUUGGUUCAUUUUGUCUUGCUGCUCCCUUUUCUCUACAAGCGGCAACUCUAGUAAGCAUCUGGUUUAGUGUCUCUUGCUCCUCUGAUUAGUCGAGCUCUUGGUGUCCAACCAUUCAAACAGUAUGAACUACCACAUUUUCUGCUUCAUUCUUAUUUUGUAAGCCUUUAGUCAUUAGGAUGGAUUUUUUUCGUACCCAUACUUUAUUACGAGAUUUCUGAUCUCCUAAUUUUACCAUCCGUCCCUUAAUGGCUUUGUAGGACUUAUAGAUUCUUUUAGAAAUAUUGUCUCUUGACAUUUCUUCAAAACUUCUAGUCGAUUCAUCUUUAUCGUCAACCGUAAAACGACAAUCAUCGCAUUCUUCUUCACGAACUUUAAUGUAGCAAAAGAGUUGUGAGUUAGAAGUGUGGAGUGAACAGUUGGGGCUCUUGGAUGUUAUUGUCCUUAGACCUAGCAACCUUUCCUUCAUGGAGUCGACAACGACUAUUCCUCUUAAGGACGUUCUGGUUGAAGGAAUAGUAAUCGUAGUAUCAUCAGAAAGUGCUAGCCUAUCGAAUACUGACGCUUUUUGCGUCCGGUCCUUUGGAAAUAUAAGCUUCUCUCAGACUCCAUCCUUCAAGAUGCAUGCUGGUAAGUGAGUCGUUCACCUAUGGGUUGGCAAGGAGAGUUGGGGAUGACCACAUUGGGUCUUCUUCCUUAAGAUGGCAGGCGAGGAAUAACAACAUUCGCAUAUCCUGUGAAGGAGCAACGGGAGUGAUCAUGUCCCUAGCAACAACAAAAGUUUGAGCCAUGACAGCAGUAGAAGUGAUCAUGUCCCCAGUAGCAAUAGAAGUGAUCAAGUUCCAUCGCAGCCACCACACGCGCAUCACCCGCUUCCGAUCCACGCACCCUUGCUAGCUCCGCCGCAUCAUCUCCGUCACCGUCGCACCGGAUUGUGAUCUCGUGCUCCCACCCGCCCUGGUGGAACUACACCCUCAUGGAGUAGAAGGCCUGAGCCAACACCACAUGCUCUUUCCGGCUUAGCAAGGAGAAUUUGGCAGCGGGGAUGCCGUCGUCGAGCGAGAGGUUGGCUCGCCGUCGACGGAGACGAAGAGGUAGAAAUUGGCGACCGGCUCGGGACCGGACAUGUACUUAGCAGAAGAGGCAUCCCAGGAAAGAAAAAUAGAGGGGACUCGGGAGGUGGUGACGGAGCGAGAGCCUUUCUUCUUGCGAAGGAGGUGGCACAUCAUAGUGGAGGGGAAGGAGGAGGAGGAGAAAAAGGAGUCGUCGAUGCUGACAGAGAGAGUAGGGCCCACGUGGCUCCUAGGCUAAGACACGCGGCUGAGCAACUCCUGGAAAGUAGGAGAGGAGACGAAGCGCUCGCGGUAGAGAGCGAUGAUAGCGCAUGGAGUGGCGCGGGAGUUGGGCCUAGGCGUGCCGAGGAGAAGUCAGGAGACGCUGACGCUGCCGAAGCACGACACGUCGGAGACGCACACCAUGUGCUCACCGAAGCAUGACGCCAAGUCCUUCAUCGACGACGCCACCACCGUGAGAAGGCGGUGACAACUGCUGCUGCUGCUUCUACUUCUGCUUCUUGCUCACCACUAUUUUGUCUGCUCUCAUCAUCAUUAAUUCAUUAUCAUUACCACAAACACAUAGUUGUCUUAGCUGGGGAUGAUUGGUUGCCUCGCUCCUCUCUUCAUUUCCCUCUCAACACCAACUCUCUUCAUUCUUUAUGCAUACGCUUUAUAUGACAUCAUAAUCUCUUCUUUGGGAGCAAAGUUAUAAGCAUAAAUAUGCAAUCUCUGAUAGUCGUGUUAAUUUCAAGUUUCCCAUAUGAAAAAUUGUGAGCUUUGGCCAGACAAAUUUCUCCAAAUGAGUUACAAAAAAAUUACCAUCCUACACCACCCAUGUACCUUCAUGUCUAGACCUCCUUUGGAAGCAGCCUAAACAUAAUAUUAGGGUGCAAUUUCUGCAUGCACUUCCUUAAGCAAUUAAUUUAUCUUUUCUUCUUGUAGGGGUUGCUUUGGCAUGCAUUAGAAUAGUUGAUCUAAUAAAUUAAUCUGACUUAGUGCUGCAUGAUUAACAUGAAAAUUAUCCGAAAGCUGUACUUUAAAGAAAUUAAAUCAAUAUUUCUUUUAAUUAUGGCCACUUUGGCUUGCACCUAAUCAAUUGAAAUAAUAAAUUAAUUUAACUUAGCGUGUGCCUUAAAUAAUCUAUCAACAAUUAUGAUUAUUUAAUGUCACGCCCCGGAUUACAUGUUUCCCCGAGCACACCAAUAGACCCGCUGUAUACAUAGAAAUUUUUUCUGUAUACGAAGCGAUAGCUGUAUCUGUAAAUAAAUCAAGCUACAACCAUAAGGUAACGAGCUGCUAAACUGAAAAUAGCAUAUAUAAAAAAAAACCUCGAGGGGUUCCAAUACAUACAAAAAGUCCACUACACACUCGCUCCAGAGAGUACCUCGACAACAUCCAUAUGUACAUAAAUACCCCAAAACUACCUGUGGGAGGUACUCCUCUAGCACUGCAACAAAGCUGGAAGGGAUCUAGCUUGCAACUUCCUUUCCAUGAUCAGAAUUAGCAACAGCAGCAGCCGCAGAAGAAGGCUCUACAAAAAGGGGUCAACAACUAGGUGUGAGAACUACUGCAAAAAUGAGUAGUCCUCAGUGGGUACCACUACCGAGCUCAACGGCUCACCCACUAAGUCUACAGAAAGUAUUCUUAAGGAUAGUAAAGAAAGCUGGUAAAACUCUACAGCUAUAUGCCACUAUACUAUCGCUAACCAACACUAGCUAUCUGUAGAUGUAAGCAAGAUGCAAUCUCUGACCCAAACUCACUAGAAACUGUGAACACACCCGACCCACCUGUCGAAGCUACACCAACUACCACCACGCUGGGUUGUUGGUGGAGAGUAAGUCCAACCAGGACACUACGACAUCAACGCAAACGCACAAAGCCCGACUUCGGAGUGGCACUCGUGGGCGUUACCCAACCGAGUAUGCAAGUGUGUCUCUGCCAAGCUCAAUCAGGCUCUCACAGGCUAUAAUCAAAGCAAAUGGAUAUAACUGGUCUAACAAUCAAAAUUCACGUGCCCUUGGCACAAUCUGAUGCAAGAACAACAAUCUGAGUCCACCGUCAAUCGCGACGGCACCCAACAGUCCGAAACAGUCUACACACUAUUGUAAAAUAAGCUCGGUAUCCCAGCACGAGCGUAAACUCAUCCUACACUAAUCUGGGUUUCCAUCGCAUACUAACAGUAAUGAUACAAAAGAACCAUAGCUCCUAAAGCUAAAUCUGGUAAUUUUCAGAAAAUGACAGUGUAAGGUUAUACUACUAGCUUAACUCCAAAUUCAUAUUUUAGUUCUAAUCUAUGAAUUCAAGUACUAGCAAGGAAAUGAAACCAACAAAACAUGUCGACGAUAUAAGAACUUAGGAGGUAUUUCGACGAUUUUGGUAAACUUCAACCACCUCGAAAAGCUUGUCCAACUACGGCAGAAGUCGAAAGAAGGGAAAAACACGCGCUCGCCCGAUCUCCAACGAAGCAACCGCGACGCACGCACUCUCCAAUGGCCCUCCAAAUCGACGUCGAAAAUCUCCCGAGCUUGAGCCGCGACCUCAACCACGUACGAGUCCACCAACUAUAGAGAGAGAGGAAAAGAAGAAGAAGAACCGCUCACAACCCUUUCUCUGUGAAUAUAAAAGCUGGGGAGAACCUUGGGUUGAUCGACACAUCAAAUGACCAAAAGGCCCCUCACCAACUCAAAAAUCCAGUUGGAGUACCGGUACCCAAUUUGGUUAUCGGUACUCUUCCUCUCAGCCAGCAAGCUCGCACACAAGGUACCGGUACCAGCCCAAUGCUUUACCGGUACUCAGCAUCAAUUGGCGCAACCCGAGAGCAUGCUGUCCAGGAUUUACACUAGGGUACCGGUACUCCCCUACAUGGUACCGGUACUCAAUACUGAAAACCUGCGCUUUGCAGAUUCCAAUGUCAAAACUCUAUGCUUGCGUCACACUGAGUCCGUUUUGCAUCCAUUUCACACGAAAACGACUCCGACUUGUCCCGACACUCUCUGGAUGUGUCGACAAGGCUCAAAUACUGAGAUCCAUGGGCAACCCAAAAACCAGGGAUACUACAUCCUCCCCCACUACAAAAAAUUUCGUCCUCGAAACUUAACGCAUACCUGAAUCCUGAGCCUCAAACAAGUAAGAGUAGGACUCCUGCAUCACCGUCUCCAGCUCCCAUGUCGCCUCAUGCUCCUUGUGAUGACUCCACUGCACUCUUACAUAAGGUAUGAUCCGGUUGCGCAAUUCUUUCGUCUCGCGAGUAAGAAUCCGCACCGGUCGCUCCUUAUAUCGCAAGUCCUCGCCAAGCUCCAAUGGAGUGAAGUCAAUCACGUGUAAGGGAUCAAACACGUAUCUUCUCAAUGCCGAGACGUGAAAAACAUCAUGAAUACCGGCCAGUCGUAGGAGUAGAGCAAUCCUGUAGGCUACUGAUCCGACUCGCUCCAAUACCUCGAAAGGGCCUACAAAUCGUGGACUAAGCUUUCCACGAACUCCAAAUCUGCGUAUCCCUCGAGACGGCGAGACUUUCAGAAACACAUGAUCUCCAACCUUAAACUCUAAAAGAGAAAAAUGAAAUCACGGGAUACUAAAUUGAUGCACUUUAAACCACAUGGUACUAAAAUAAAAAAGUGCAAAAUCAUAUGGGUAGUAUUUGAAGUUUUUCCUUAAUCAAAAGAAGAAUUACACAUGAUUUCUCUUCUACACAAAGUAGCUUCAACCCAAGUCCUGAAUCUCUCUCACCCCUCUUUCGUUUUCCAUAAACUCUCAUCCUAUGCACCGAUGCACAAGGUUUACUAACAACCCACGAUCCCGAAAGUGGCACACGUUCUCUUGCACCAAUGCAGUAGGCGCAUCCAAAAUCAUAACCACCUUGUCCAUGCCAAAUGGGCGUGGCUAAGCCAUACCACCCCCGAAAAUAAUGACAUGUAUGCUAUAUUUAUAGGUUACAUUAAAAGCUACCCAAGUCCUAAUUCAAUUAGAUUUCUAAUCAAAAUAAUAUUUAAAUCUGAAUUAAUUUACAUUGAAUAGAUUUAAAUAUUUAUCCUAAUUUAAUUAGAGUUCAACUACAAAACUAACCAAAUCCUAACAUGAACAUGAUGAGGCGCAAUAAGCAUAUUUCACAUUUAGGGCAUCAUGAAUAAGCAACUAUUCUUCUAUUUAAUUAGGGAUGUAAUGUGGGCCGUGCCGGGCUGGCACGACCCACAUUAUACGGGCCGAUUCGGGCCAAGGGUCGGUGGGGCCAAGGGUCGACCCGACCCGACCCAGUUAUUAAUUCGGGUCGGGCCGUGCCGGCCCAUUUUUUAAUUUAUUCUCAUAGUUUUUUUUCUGAAAUUUUUUUUAAGAAAAAUAAAGAAUUUUUUUAAAAUUAUAAAUUUGACUUAUAACUUUUACUUUACACAAUUAUACCUAACUUUUUGAAAACUAUUUUAUUAAAUUUUUUAAUAAUUUUUUAUUAUUUGAAGAGAAAUUGAUAUUUAAAAAAAAUAAUUAUAAAAUUUAUAUAAAGUUUGUAUUAAUUGUAUUAUAUAAUUACAUGAAAAAAAUUUAAAAAAUUAAAAAAUAUAUUUUUUCCAAAAAAUAAUUUUUUUAAAAAAUAUCCAACAGCUCAAAGACUGUUGGCCCACACCCGAAGGGUCUGCUAUGACCCUUGGGCGUUGGGAUUUGGGAGAGCUGAGAGAGAGAGAGAGAGAGAGAGAGAGAGAGAGAGAGGCCUGUGCACCUUUCUGGUAUUUGGGCCGUGCCAGCACGGUAGGCAUGGCCAUUCGUGCCGUGCCGUGCCGUGCUGGGCCACGCGCCGGCCUCUUAGCCCGACACGGCCAGGNGCCGUGCCGUGCCGGGCCGACGGGCCUUAGAGUGUCGGCCCAGCACGGCCGUGUCGAGUCGGGCGGCUCACGGAUCGUUCGGCCCGUUUUACACCCCUAUAUUUAAUUGAAGUAAAUACAUCGUAUUUGGUUCGCUUCUUUUUCACCCUGAAAUCGGAAUCGGAAUGGGCGAAUCCGUUUGUGGGUGUUUGGUACGCUGGAGUCCCAUUCCAAUUCCAAUUCCCGAGUGGAAUGGGAAUCCCCCAAUCACUUUUUUUUUCAAUCUGGCCUCUUAAGCCGGAUUAGAAGUUGAAUCCGGACGGAAUGGAUAUUUAUUCGGAUUAAAUUUAUUUUUUCAACUUUUUUAAUUAAAAUAUGAGUUAAAAUUUAAAAAUUAAAUAUAUAAUUUUAAAUUUUAAUUUGAACUUAAAUUAAAAAUUAAAUUUUAAUCAAGUAUUUCGAAUCUAACUUAUGAAUUUGAAUUUAAAUUAAAUUUUAAUUUAUAUGAAGUUUUAUUCAAAUUUUAUUUCAAACUUAAAUUAAAUUUAUGGAUUCAAAUUAAAAUUAAAAUUGUAAUUUUAAGUUUGAAUUUGAAUAAAUUAAAAUUUAGUUUCAUAUUUUGAAUUAUCCACUCAACUUCAAAGUUUAAUUUUUUUUAAAAAAAUAGAUUUAAAAUUUUGACAUUAUUUCAAAAUUUUGAUGUAAAUUUUUAAUAUUUAAUUUUUAAUUUGAAUUUAAAUUAAUAUAUUAUAAAGAUAAUGUUAGUAUAUUAAUUUGAUUACGUUUUAUAUAUCCACCUGAACCAAACACCGACAAUGAAAAUAAUUUAUUCCGAUUCCGAUUCAGAUGAUGAACCAAAACAGAAUUAGGUAAUGAGUCAUUCCGAUUUCGAUUCCAGCUUAUUUUAAUUUCGAUUCCGAUUCCGACUCCGACUUCGAACCAAACACGCCUUAACUCAUAUGAUUUUGCAUGGUAAUUAGUUAUUUUGUAAACAUAUAUAGUUAACAGGAAUUAAGGUUUAGUUAUUAUAACGUCGUGUGCAAAUCUGAAAGAUGAAGUCCUGCCCAAUUGAAGAGCUAGAUUAUCUCAAUGUGUGUCCAAAUCAAAACCCAAAAGCAAAGAUCAAUUACAAGCCCUAAGAGUACGUACGUCCCUCGUAAAUCAAAAAGAAAACAUAGGGCUACUAUAUAUCCUAAUCAGUACAAAAUAUCAGCAGUUGAGUUCUCUUUCAACUUUCGAACUUGUCAAUUUAUCAAAGGACACGUACAAUAAUUAUAGAUAGACCAUGCAAGUUUCAAAUCGUCAAAAUAUUCGGCUAGUUGAAACUUCACAAUCCUCUAAUUCACACACACAAAAAAAAAAACACUCUUUGGACCACGCGACCUUUAAAGUCUCCUCAAAUCAAUCUAAAUUAAAUCCACAUCAUAAUAAUUUUUAAACAAAUUAAAAGUCCACUAAAUGUGACCAACAGACAUUAAUAUAAGCAUGCAAAGGAUUAAAUACGAUAAAAUUUCAGAAAAAUUGGUAUAUAAACACAAACACAGAAAUAUGAAGAUAGACUAUUGAUACUUCUUUAUAGGAGGCCUUGAGUUUGAUUCCUAACACCUAUAAUUAAUACCUUGUAUCUAUGUAAGAAAAAAUAAUAAAUAUUAAAAAAAAAAAAAAACUCAAAACCACUCUAACUUUUAAGGCUUGUUUGGCUCAUAGAAUUUAAGAUUUCAGUUGAAAAUUAACGUUUCCGAAAUUACUAUCCUCGAAUAGAAUUGCGAUAUUUGCUGGAAUAUUUUUUUUUUGUUUAUUACGUAGAAUAUCUAGUAUUAUAUCAUUCUCAUAUUUGAUUCAACUGAGAAUAAUUUGGUCGUAUCAAUAAAUUUGCUAUGAUAACAUUAUUUAUUAUCUUUUCACGCCGAACUCGGUCAAACUGGAAAUAAAUAUUUUAGUCCAUAGAAUCAUAAUUCAUAAAAAAAUUUAACUUUAAGAUAUCAUGAGAAUUUAAAUUCUUAUAUAAUGAAACAAACCUGAGAAAUCUCAAAUUCAAUCCACGUUUCUGAAAAUCUAAGUCAUAAUGAUUUAGAUUUCUGAAAGAGUCGGUCAUGUUUUCUACGAUCCAUAUGAUAUUGAGAAAAAUAUACGCUCAUUAAAAUUCUUUGUCAUAGUAUAUAUUUCAUACUAUAUGUACUUAGGCGACCAAAAAAGCGAAGAUAAGUAAAUGCAUCCCUACUUCCUCAUCAUGUGGACAUUAUUUUCAUGUUAUGUCCCACAUAUGUGAAAUGUCUUUCGUGACUUUUUGACUAUGUCAUUAGCUGAAAGAAUUGAUAUUGUUAUUUUUGCAUAUUUUUUAUGGCUAUAUGAGUGAUGCGGCAUUACGAGGCAUUGUAAAGAAAGCAAUCAGUUCUUAACUUAAUGGCAUGAGGGCUCACGAAAGACUGGUUGGAUUACAUUGAGAUAUUUUAACUUAUAUUGUUAAUAGAUUGUGUCACUUCAGUAUAGUAAGAUAAUCAUGAGUAUAGUGUCAUAAUGUGCACAACAAAGGUUAGCACGGCUCCUUGAGUGAUUAGAGAUGCUGAACCUAAUGUUUUAAUAGUUUAGGGAAUCACGAGUCUAAUAUUCUCUUUUGGAGAUUGAUGUCUCUAUGUUGCCCUUAUGCGGUUUCUUAUAUAGAGCUCCCAAAAUGCAAGCCAAUUUGUUUGUCACACUAUUCAUUUUCCUAUAUGAAUGAAAUUAAUAGUGGUAUAAUGUUGAGGAAAUAGUUACGAUGGCAUCGAUCCUGUUAUUUGCGAGAGGUAGAUGUUGGCAUUUGGUUAAACCGAAUCGGGUGUCCCCAUAAUCGUGCUCGAUCCAAUGGUUAAUUAUUAUAUUGUCUAAUUAGACUAGACUUAAUCUCACUUUUAAAUUGGAAAACUAAUUAGAGAUAUAUAUUCUAGUCAUAUUAGAAUAACAAUCAAAAAUCGAUUCAGCCUAAUUUUUUACUUACGUAUUAGAGUUUUUGGGACACCUUAUAAAUAUAUAUGCUAUUCUCUAAUAGACAUAACAAGAAAAAUAAAAAAAAUACUCAUAAAUUCGUGUUAACUUUAUUAGCCAUCUUGUGAGAGAAAGAAACUAUAUCCUCCUUUAAACUAUUGCUUCUAGAGAGUCGUGAACAAUGGAUUAGAGAUCUAGCUCGUUCAUAGCUCGAUCUACAGUGGGUUUGGAGCAUUAGAAGAUCUCCGAGGACGAUCCGAGGAUACGUGGAUCAAUCUCUACGAUCCAAAAUUUAUCGCCUUCUAGUGCGAGUCACUUCCGCAAAAGGUACGAACGAAUACUUCUGUCGCGUUCUACACUUUUCAAAAAAAAUAAAGUUUAUGAAGGACGGAUCUAAAAUUUUUAAUUCUAUCAAAUUUCUUACUGAUAGCUUGAUUUAGGCUUUGUUUGGUUCGGUUAUAAAUAAGAACUGCUUAUUCUAGGGAUAGGUAUAAAUUCAGGUAUAAGUAAUAACUAGACCAACUUUGCAUUUGGAUGAAAAUUGGAUUUGUUGCUGGGAAUAAGAAAAUUAACAUUUGGAUGAAAAUUGAGUUGUUUCCGGAAAUAAGAAACAUAGCGUUUGGACAGAUAAGAUGGAAUAAAAAAAAUACUGAGUAACUAUAAAUAAAAAGUAAUGAUAUUACUCCUCUCAUUAAAUUUGAAUUUAAAUUUUUAAAUUUUAUAUUUCAAUUUUUAAGUUUUAAAUUUUAAUUUUUAAAUUUUAAAAUUCAAAUAUAAAAUAUAAAAUAUAAAAUCUCAAAUUAUAAAUUUUAAAAUUUUAAAUUUUAAAUUUUAAAUCAAAUUUAAAUUUAAAAAUUAUAAAAUAUCAAAUUUAAAUAUAAAAAAUAUCAAAUAUCAAAUUUUAAAUUUGAAAAUUUUAGAAUUUAAAAUUAUAAAUUUUAAUUUUGAAAUUAAAAUUGUAAAUUGUGUAAUAAAUUUAAAAUUCUCUCUCUCUCUCUCUCUCUCUCUCUCUCUCUCUCUCUCUCCCCCAUUCCAAGAACAAGCUUUUUACACCUAAGAGGUGGAAACUAACCAAAAAUAUUUUAUGUCGGAGACAAGAGGUCGAUGACAUUAUGGAGCAGGAAACACCGGGAGGCUUUCCUCCUAGGAUCGCUUGCACUACCUUAUGCCGUCUUGGAUAUCUGUAGGGGAGCGUACGAGCGGAUGAAGGUUAGUCUUGCGACGGAUGGCCCGCCAUAAAGGGCAAGGCUCGCGAAGGCAUGUGUGCUCAACGGGAAUUCGCGGGGCGCAGUACCCGCGAAGGUCGAAGGAGAUGGAACUCUAUAGGAUCGCUAAAGGGAGGCAUGCCGAAGGAGAACUCAUGGGGCGCGAAGUCCUUGGAGACUCGAGAGGGGCGAAACCCAAUGUGGCAAGCGGUAUCGGAAUCCGUAUAGUGAACCUGGAGAGGCCGGACCAAUGGUGUGUGCGGCCAGGUGUGCUCGAGCCAUGGAGGGGUCAGAUGGGUAGCAAUGCGGAGAGAGGCCGACUCGUUUGUAUGGGGCCUUAUGUGGCGAACCUAUGGGAAUCAAGGGCGCGGAGCGCCAUGGCAACGCGAAGGUUGUGGGGACAGUCAAGAAGCACGGUGUGAGCUUGUUGGCUUCCUUGCCAGGAGCGUUGAGACACGAGUGUCGUACGGGUCUUAUGCGAAGCACAGAUGUGCGAAGCAUGGGCGUGCGGGGUGUCGGGCUAUGCCGCUGGCAUUGGGAGACAGGCGAGCUUGUGGCGCACACUUAGGUGGCUUUUCGGAUGUAUGCCGUUGGACUGAGCGAGCAGGCCGCGUAUACGGUAUGGCCGUAGAUGCUGUCAGGCGCAUGAGGCACAAUGUAACCUUGCUUGGUGGCCAACCUCAGUAUUGGGUUCGAUAAAUCCACUGUGAUAUCUUAUGAGUUCGAAGCGUUUUACGAACCUAACCCUAAGGCAACAAUUCAGAGUUUCUACCCGUUCGGAAGAGUUCAGGAUUGUGCCUGUUCAGAAGGUUUGAAUUGUCGCCUUAGGGUUAGGUUCGUAAAACAGUUCGAACGAGGAGACGCUCUGACUAUCGAGUUGGUUAGCGGACGUUAACGUGGGGAGCAGCCUGAGGAACUCAAGGGUUACUUGUUGGGNUUCCCAACGAAUAACCCCAAUACUGAGGUCUCUCUCUCUCUCUCGUUCCAGGCACAAGCUUUUUACACCUAAGAGGUGGGAACUAACCUAAAAUACUUUAUGUUUGGAUAUAAAGGAGGGGUAUAAGGGCUUAUUCCCCUCCUUAUAUUCGAUCCAAACACUAUCUUAAGGAAUAGAAGGAAAUAAAACUGGAAAAAAUAAUAAAAUAAAAUUGAUCUUCUUCUAUGAUUCAGUGGUUAAUAUAUUGAGCGCUUAAAUGUACAGAAAACCUCUCAACUAUAGAAAGUUCAGAAAUAGGCCCUUAUUUUUUCUUUUUUUUUUGGUGUUUGGACUAAAUUGCACUAGUGAUACCAAUACUUAAAAUAAAGUUUUGCUUUGUUACAUAUAAAAAUAUUUAAAUACAGUUCGCUACAAGUUUAAACUUUUAGAGAAUAAAGAUUAUUUCGUAUUAUUUAAUAUAGUAUCAGAGUCUUCGCUUCACAGCCUCUGAUCCAAAUGGUUAAAUUUCUUGGUCUCCCAAAAAUUUUAAAAUUAUUAGAUUCUUAAGAUCACUUUUGAUUAUCGGAAUAGUUAUUGCUUGUGCCUAGUGCAUCUACACAUCUGUGCCCAACGAAUCUAAUGGCUAGUUGUCUAUUCAUAUUUCAAUCUAAGCAUGUAAUUUCUACACAAGAAUAAAAUAUGGCCUUAAAGAUAAUUGAGACUGAAAGAUGAAAGAGAUUGAGAUUAGAGUUUGAAAGAUGAUGAUCUACGUGGUGCACGAGUGUACGGAUAAUUAUAGGAUGAUUAAUGAUUUUUUUUAGAAGUACAGCUACUAUACUCUUAUAAAUAUAUAUCUUUUGUACUCAUAAAUUUUCGGCAAUCAGAUCCAUCCAUUUGACCAUUUCUACUCGUUAGAUUAUAAUAUUCAACUAACCACCCGCUCAACCUUAAGGAACCACUAUUAUUCUAACAGAGGUUCACUAUCAUUCUAACCGUACAUCACUUUAUCCAACGGCGAAAAAUUUAUAAGUACAAAUGGAUUAAUACUCAUAAGAGUAUAGUAGCCCUAGCCUUUUUGUAGUAGCUGAUAAUACUAAAUACAAAAGUAAAACAGUUUGAACAUCAAAUGUCAAUUUAAAAGUUUAAGGACCAAAAGGAAGAUCGAUCACACGUUGGGAGACUACUAGCUUGCGUUUUAUUUUAUUUGUUUUGUUUUUAAUUAAUUGAAGUAAAACACUUUGUUCGACAACAAAAAUAAUUAGAGGCAUAAAAUUUGUCAAAAUCUCUAAUUAAUCUAAUAAAAUUGUCAGUUUAAUUGAAUGAAACAACAAAAUCAAGGGGCAAAAAAAAAAAAAAAAGAAAAAAAAAGGGACGACUCAAAUUUUUUGCCUUGUUGUGAAUCAUCCGAGCACUCCUAAUUCCAAGUCAAGGUAUAGACAAGUCUAAAGUGGAAGUGCAAAGUCUCCUCCAUUAUCUUUAGUAGAAACAUGCGACUUACUUUAUUUGCCGGGUCUAACUUAAGCCCUUCUUUUCCCAUAACCCUUUAUUAGAAUCCUUUUUCAAUCAACAGGUCAACUGAGAGGUCUUGCAAGUUAAACUGGUUUUACAUCAUACAUAAUAAUGUUGCUCGAUCUCUCCUCCUCAAUCUAAACAAAUAAGAUAAUGAAUUGUUAUCAGUGCAUGUGCUAGCUCCCAUUAAUUAAUUCCAUGUCUACUCCAUUCUACUUCCUCCUCUCCCUCUUCCUCUUCCUCUUCUUCAACUUCCAUGCUGCCAAUCCUUCUCCUCCUCCUCCUCCUCCUCCUCCAUGCCCUACAGCCCAGAUCUCAUGUGGAGGUAUCACUUGGGCUAUUAAGCCUCCUUUCUUCACAAACAGUACCACAGCUUCAGACCUGCAGUGUCAAAAGCUUCACCUCAUCCAGUGCGUGUAUCAGAGACUACUGGUCCAGUUCUAUGGCACAGGACUCUUCUAUAUUGUUAGAAAUAUCUCAUAUUUUGAUCGGACAAUUCGAGUCGACGAGCUCGACCUUUACUCCAGCACUUGGAAUUCUAGCUGUUCUUUCCUCUACAGUUUCAAGAAUCCCAGCCCUAUUAGUAAUCUUAGCCGACUUACUUUACACAUAAAUGCCACCCUCUCUUCAUUCAACUGCAGUAUGCUGGAGAAUGAAUAUAAUAAUUACCAGAACAUCUUUGGCAGCCAUCUCCUUGGUCCUCUUUCUUGCCAGAAUUACACCCUUUUCUUUUCCCAAAAUCCGGAAGAUCAACACGAGCGUAGUCAUCUUCCUGCAUAUUGUUCGCGCAAUAUUUGGGAUCCUCGGUUCCGCUGGAAUUUGUCAUUUGCGGGAGAUUCUGAUAGCAUCUCUGUGCUAUCGGGCGGUUUCUCUCACGAGUGGGAUCUUCACCCAGAUUGCUUCAGUUGCCAAGUUACUGCUGAUAGUAGCUGCGCUACGAGUGCAGAUUCACGCGAUCCAAAUCCCCCGUGCGGAUGCGCCAAGCAAUGCCAUAUUGCAAAAGGUUCUCUUUAUGUCCUUCAUUUAUUUAAUGCGUACUUUGAUUGAUCUUCGAUCUAAGCUUUUUUUCUAUCGAUCGCCUUUGAAAGUGCUAAUUAAUGGUUAGGAAAUAUUGCACUAAAAUCCUGAAGGUGGUUGGUAUAUAUAUAUAUGAUGUUCAAUGCAUAAUUUAGUUGGUAUUGUUGUUAUGUGGUUGCAGGGAGUAAGAAGUUGGGAAAAUGGAUUAUAAUAGGUAAUGUAUUUCUCCAACACAGACUCUUUAUCUUCUUUUCUAGAAUUGAUGUGAUCAUCCUAUUAUACUGAUCAGUAAUAUUCACACACACACACACACACACAAAAAGAGACUAAUUAUUUUGUAUUUAAAAAUGAACUUGAUUAUUUUCGAAAUUAAGAAAAAUAGAGUUUGGAUGACUAGAUUAUAACAGUGAUAAUUAAUAAGAAUGAUACAAUUUUAAAACAAAAAUAUUUUAUCUAAUUACUGAACAUCAACAUACUAAUAAUAAAAUAACAAUUUGGUAAGUUAAUUAAUCAAUUACGUACGAAUAUUGUAUAUAUGAGAUAAUAAGAAUCACAUUAUUAGUUAAUUAACUAUAAAAAGUAAGUUAAUAUAUUAAUUAAUUAACUAAUUAGCUAGUUAAUUAUGAUUAACAAAUUAAUUAACUGUCCAACUAGUUAAUUAAAUAUUUAUCAAAUUAAUAGUUAAGUGAUUAAUUAGUUAGCUAAUUAAUAAAUAAACUAUUAUAUGAUAUAUUAAUCAACAGUAUUUUAUAAUAUUUUACGGCUUAAAUUAAAAUUUUAGUUGGGGAAUAAGAAAAGGAAAUCAUAAUUCCAUCUACAAGGUUAGAACUACUAUUCCAACCGUUUUAACGGAUUAAUUUAGAAUAACCUGUUAUGAAAACAAAUUAAAAAUACUAAUAGUGUUUAGAUGAUUAAUAAGGAGACAAAGAAAUUUGCUUGGGAUGAAAAUCCAAAUUGUCCAUUUGAGACUGUAGAAUCUGUCACCACGGGGGCUUCAGAUCUCAUAUCUCAGGGCAGUUACUUAAUUAGAACAGUCAUUGACGUCAGGCUCUGUUCAACUUUAGGCUUUUUUCAAACCUAUUAAUUAAAAAAAAUCUAAUAUAUAUCAAGAAAAUUGCAGAAAAAAUUAAAAUAGUUUUUUUGAUAAAUUUUAGUUUUUAAACUUAAUUUCAAAUUAUUUUUUGAACUUUCAAUUUUAAACUAAUAUAGUUUUUUAGAUAAACCUGCCAAAGGUUUAGACAAUCCUUACAGGAUUUUUCUAUUAAAAAUAAAAUAAAUUUAUCUAAAAUAAAACAAUUAGGAAUCUAAAAAAUAUUAAAAAUUAAGAAUUUGAAAAUCAAUUUAACAUUAAGUUCAAAAACUUAAAGAAUAUUUUUAACUUUUAAAUUUUUUUUUUUUUUUGAGAGAUAGGUAGCACGCUACCUGUUUCGUUUAUUUCAUUUAGAAAGAAACUUAGCUAGACAUGUGAAUCAACUAGAAUUCAAACUUGGGACCUCGGGUACCAACCACCAAGUCCUUUGCCACUGGCUCUAGGGACAGUCGGUUAACUUUUUAAUUUUUGCUUGCAAUUUUUUAAUGCAUACUAGAUUUUGUUUUGAAAUGUGGAAUUUCACACUUAUGUAGCGACAAAUCUUCUAGUUCAAAUAUAUAAUUUUGUAUUCCAUUUUCAAACAAUUUUUCUUUUUGAGAAUAGGUAGCACGCUACCUGCUUCAUUCAUUGAAGAUAUGAAUUAGGCUACAGGGGUGAGACAACCAGGGUCUCAAAAAGAGAGAGAGAGAGAGAGAGAGAGAGAGAGAGAGAGAGAAAGAAAGGAACACAGUCAUAAAGAGUCCUUCCAAGAAUGGAUCAGCUGUUUGAGCCUACGCACCACCGAAACCGGGUCCACCUGUACGUUACGAAAGAUUAGGUUGUUUCGGGCCUUCUAGAUGGUCCACCAGCAUGCAGCCAAAUCAGCUAGUCCGUUCCUUCUAUUUAGUGCACCAUACCGUCACUUCCACCUAUCCCAGACAGCAUGAACAUCAUCACCCAGGUCCUCCGGCUAAACGUCGUCGAGUCCCAAGACCAUGAUAAAUUUGAUAAAUACGCAUUGGGUGAACAGAUGAUCCACUGACUAGUCAAAAACCCCACACAACGCACAAGCCAUAUCUCCAGUCCAUCCUGCCCUCCCCAUGCCCCAUAGUACAGCUAGUAACUCUCUCUCUGAGCUCCAAAAGGGUGGGGCGCAGGCUCGGUGGUGCUGAACCCUCGUCGCCCAGGAUCCUAUUCCAAUUCCAGUCAAUGCUUCACAAUCCCUGACCAAUAUUGGUUUGCAAUCCAACUGUGUGUACACCUCCGGAAAGGACGCUUGAAAUGUGGUAGCCCCACACCAUAUGUCGUGCCAAAAAUCGACCAAUCUUCCAUUGCCCAGAUUAUAGUUACUCCUCUAUUUGAAGAUAUCUUUAGUGGUUAAAACCCCUCUCCACCAAUAUGAGGGAGGCCUGAAUCCUCUUCCCUCCCACAGUGGCCUUCUUCUGCGGUAAAAUAAGGCCCGGAUAAUAUUACUCCACGACAAAUGAGGUGCAGUAUGAAAACGCCACCACCAUUUGACGAGAAGCGCCUUAUUCAUGACAGCUACAUCUAGAAUGCCUAGUCCCCCUGCCUUUUUGCUCAGACAAACGUUCUUCCAUGCAACCAGGCACCCCUUGCCAGGGUAAUUGCUUUGGCCACUCCAGAAAAAGUCUUGACGCAAUGCUUCAAUACGCUUGAUCACCCAACUAGGUGCUUUAAACACAGACAUAAAGUAGAGUGGUAGGUUGGUGAGCACCGCAUUGACCAGAAUGAGCCUACCCCCUCUAGAGAGAAGUUUGGCCUGCCAUCCAUCAAUUCUAAGCUGCAAUUUCUGAAUAACCCCUCUCCACACCUCCUUUGUGGGCAGUUUAGCUGAGAGAGGGAACCCCAGAUAAGUGGUGGGAAGAGUACCAACCUUGCAAUUGAGCAACCGCGCAAGUCUUGCAGCUUUGCCCUCAAUUCGUCCCAGAUAAUAUAACUCGGAUUUUUCUCUGUUAAUUUUCAACCCUGACGCCCACUCAAAAAGAUUCCACAUCAGUUGCAAAUUCCUCAUGUACCGACCUCUAGCCACGGAGAAAAAGAAAGUAUCAUCCACGAACUGUGUAAGCGCAGUUGUACUCUCGUGUGAAGGGCGAAUACCCUUGAAGAGGUUGUUUGCGGUUGCCUUAUUGGUUGCGAGGCACUCCGCCACCAACAGAAAAAGGAAUGGUGAAAGAGGAUCCCCUUGUCGUACACCCCUCUUAGUUUUAAUCCAGUUAGAUGCCUCUCCGUUGACCAAAAUUGCUACUUUAGCGUUGCAUACACAUUGUUUGAUCCAUCCACACCAUUUCUCCUCGAACCCCCACCAUCGGAGGAUACUGAAAAAGAAGGGCCAAUAAAUCCUAUCAUAAGCCUUUUCAAAAUCUACUUUUAUACCGACCCCCUCCGUAGCCUCCUUAGUACCCAAUCCAAUUAAUUCGGAAACGGUGACAUGCGUAUCAGUAAUGUUCCUCUCUUUUAAGAAAGCAGAUUGAUAGGGAGAUAUUAGCUUGUUCAUACCAGCUGCAAGUCGAUUAGCCAGGACCUUAGAGAUGAUCUUUUGGAGACCAUUAAUGAGACUGAUAGGGCGAUACUCAUUUGCACAUUUCACCCCUUCUUUCUUGGGGAUUAAGCAGAUAAAGGAAUAAUCAAGAGGGAUAGUAGAAAUUGUGCCCUCGUACAACUCCUGGAACACGUUUAACAGGUCCCCUUUAAGAGUAUCCCAUAAAGUUUGGUAAAAUCUUAAUGGGAACCCAUCAGGUCCCGGUGCUUUAUCGCUACCCAGAUGAAACACCGCUGCUCUAAUUUCGUCACUACUGAAUAUCUCCGUUAAACGCCUCCCCACGAGGGCCGAAACCCGUCUAGAAGUAAAAAGGCCACUCUAAUCGCCGAAAGCGUGUGGAGCUGAGAUUUCAACCGUAAAAAGGUUUUUAAAAUACUGAAGGAAGUAAUUCUUCUUCUCUUCCUCCGAUUGAUAUACCUGCCCAUUGUCAGUUAAGACUCCAAUUCCAUUGGCCCGUCUUCUCCCAUUAGCAAUACUAUGAAAGUAUUUGAUGUUAUUAUCCCCCUCACGCAACCAGUGCUGAUUGGCUCUUGCUCUCCACAAGGCUGCUUCAUCAUUCAGAACACCCUGUAGUUUUACUUUUAUCUCGUUUCUUCUCGCGUCACACUCCUCAGACAGUGUUCCAAGCUCCUCCGCUAAAUCAAUCUGGUGAAUUUCCUCCAUUAAGUAAUUUUUAUGUUCCCGAAUGCUGUAGAACUCAUUGUUGCACCAUUCCUUAAUCCUUUGUCGACAGCGUCUCAGUUUUGCUGUAAACGUAAGCACUGCAGAGCUUUUUGUCGCUCCCUCCGCCCAACAUCCAGGUACUUUUGUUAGGAACCAGUCAUGAUUAAGCCACGCCUCCUCGAAUCGAAAGAUCUUCUGGCGCCCCUUGUUGCCUCACUCAACCGUUAGCAGUAUAGGACAGUGAUCCGACGUGACGCGAGGUAAAGCAACAACCUUAGACAGUGGGAAGGCUUGGUCCCACUCAGUAGAAAUAAGGAAACGGUCGAGCCUCGCAAGAGUUGGGUUUCUUUGCAUAUUGGACCACGUGAAGGAUUGAUUCAUCAUCGGCAGAUCUAUAAGUGCUAAAUCACUUAUAAGAUUGUUAAAAAGCAUCAUGUUUCUAGCGCUCCAAGUCUUUUCUAGCGCUCCAAGUCUUCCCCUUCCGCUCCUCUUGUUUUCUAAUACUGUUGAAAUCGCCGCAAAUGAUCCAUCGCCCCUCACAAUGCGUUUUCAGUUGCGCCACUUCUGAAAAGAACUCCUUCCUAUCCCAUGUCGCAGGCCCAUAAACAUUCGUGACAUAGAAAUCCAUUCCGGACUUGACUUGUGAAAGUAAGACAGUAAUCGAAUAUUUUCUCACUAGGACAUCUCGGCCAAUGAACAAUCGAGAAUUCCAACACGUGAUGACUCCCCCAGAGGUGCCGUCAGACUCGAGGUAGACACAUUUGUUAAGAAAAGUUCCACCAAUACUACGCAGAAAGGAGUUAGACACGAAGUUAACCUUGGACUCUUGCAAACACACUACCCUGUUACAAAGCUUGGAGAUAACCGCCCUAACGGCAUUACGCUUCGAGGUGCUGUUAAGCCCUCUAACAUUCCAACUACAGACACCUAAUAUAAAACAGAGCUAGAAACACCCAAAAACCAGCACCCAAAAACCAACAUCCAAAAAGAUGCCCACAAACCAAUACGCUGCUCCCCAUCUACACGCACUUGGUCACAAACUCUUCGAAUUUCCUCGCCUCGGCCUCACCUAGACUUACCCCAUAGAGGCGGCUCUUGCGCAUAAGGACUUUGACUGCCAUGCCGGCCCCACUCCCGUCCCCACCCUCCCGUUGAUUAGCCUUCCUAAUCAUCGCCUGCUGCAACACCGAGGUCUUCCCCCCCUUCGUCAAACGCAAACUGCUCCUUGAGCGGCUAAGUCCAGUCGAUUCAGACUGGCUAAGACCAGUCAAUUUAGUCCUGGGGUCUCUAAGCUCACAGGUCUGGUCCCCCCUUUCCCCCACUUCGAUGUGCACCUCGGGAGUCAACGGGGACCCCAGCCGACCAAACUUGCGGGCCCAGUCUCCAUCCCCCUCCACAUCUACUAAGCAAGCCACCUGGCAAAGUGGCCCACCAUCUCGACUCCAGCCCUCCCGGCCGUGAACCGCCUCCUCAGUCAACAUGAUCUGCAUGGUUGGCAGGCCACACCUCUGGUGGGCCCCCUUCUUACAUCCCUUCUCGAUCCCUCGGCAGUUGAGCCCUACACUUGGGCCGGGAGAAAAGCGCCAAGCAAGCAACCCCAUGCACAUCAAGCCAGACACACGGUCACUUGAACCCACAGAAACAGACAAAAGCAUUACCCCAGUAUUCACCUAAAGACCCUGCUUCCACACUUGUACUCCCAAGGCUUGCACCAAGUCAACUAAGUCCUUGGGCCCUUCAAUCUUGGGAUUCGGGCCAGACCCAUCCCUAUUCCCGGUAUCAGGAAAUAGGGAAAUGAUCCAGUAUCCCCAACCCCUGUGGCCACUUUCCUUCUUCACGAAAUCGAAGCAACUCAACUUCUUCUUCUCCAUUCUCGGUUCUUGUGCGACCCCGUCCUCGAUCGGCUCACCACCGAGGACCGUUGUGUGCGCCCCAGCACCCUCGAUCGAUGCGCCACUGGAGAACGUUGCGUGCCAUCGACGACCGCCUCGCACCGCCGUCUCAGCCAGCUCUCGAUCACCUCCGCCAUUCGUCGCCUUCCUUCCCCAGGUCUGGCGAUCACCGUCUCCCAGUUUCGUGGUUCCACCCCUCACUCGCUCCAUCAGACGGCACGCCCGAUCGGCUGGGGGUGCUCGAGCCUCCCACGUCCAACGAUCACCAUCUCCCCACCGCCCGAAUCUGCCCCUCACCCACUCUUUCCGGCGGCUCACCGGAUCGGGUGGCAAUGGUCGAGCCUCCCGCGGAGCCAUCGCUUCCUCCACUUCGCUCUCUCUCGCGUCCAUGUCGUCUUCUGCGGCCCCCUGUUCCUCCUCAUCAUCAUGAUGAUGGGCGUUAUCAGCAUCAUCUUCAUCGAACUCCCCUCCCGCCGGUCCAUGCUGUGGCGGCUGUGGCGGUUGUGGUGGGUCGCCAUCCUCCCCGUCGUCGAUCCUCUCCCAACUCUCAAGAUGAGUCAUGACGGCGAACCGUUCCUCGCCCAACACAAUGGACAAGUUUUGAGGAACCUCGAGAAGCGAAUCGAGAACAACCUGACAACGAAACGCUCGCAAAUCCAUUGUGGCUCUGCAGGUAGUCGUCCGCCCUUCACGAAGCGGUCGAACCCCCCCCCCCCCUCCCACGAUCGCCGCCACCGGAGGGAUGGUCCAGCAUUCGAAGGGGAGAUUAAUCAGCCGGAUCCAUGCCCGGUACCUCCCCCGAUGCGGCUGGGCAUUCCAGUGCCUCCCCCAAGGAUGGCAUCGCAGCCAAAAGUCGCCUAAUGAUAGCACUUCUCUCCUAAGAAGGUCAGCGGCAGGGACCGACUCCGACAAGAAGAUAGCAAAGUCCCUCUCCCUGUACCGAGCGACUGCAAAGUCAUCAGUGUACCCCCCAAACCUUCGCGCCAUCGCACUUUUGAUAGUGGACACAGGAUCAAGGCCGAGAUUUGCAAGGCGCAGAACAUCUGCAAGGAUCGCGUUACGACGUAACUCCUGACGGCGGAGGUACUCCUCCGUGUAAGGGAUGAAAACCUUCGUCACCGAAACCCGACCCGGACCUCGCCAACGCUGGUAAGGCCGAUACAUAGCCUCGUUCACCUUAUAUUCUUUCUUACCUAUGCACUGGUACGCUCGAUGUCCAGAUCUUCGGCAGUUCUGGCACCGAACUGGAUCCCGGCAGUCAGCUACAAGAUGAUCUCUAACCAGGCACCGUAAACACUUCCUGACGAGUCGCUUAGACCCCUGGGUAACACCGAGUUUCUUGGUAGUUUUGACAGGAAGAGGUGGGCUGGCCUACCCCUCUGCAGCAGCACCUCUUUAUAGGUCGCUCGAGUGUCGAAGGGGAAGUUACUAACCCCACCGUCCGACCUACAUCGCCCUCCGGGUAACAGGCCCGUCUUUCCUUCUCAGCGUUCGAUAUUAACUCCCUUCCCUUGCUCGAUAUCAAUUCCCUUGCCGUAAGCAUGCAAAGUCCCUUCGUCUCCACCCUGCCUUCUCAAAUCCUUCAAAGCAGCUUUGAUCUCCUCGUCCGCCGCGUCUGCUCGAGAUGAAGAUUUACCUCUUAAAUGUCCAUUAACUAUCCCAGAUAGUAAAUCCUGCCUAUCUCCCCGGGUAGGUAGAAUGCUUUUCUUUCCAUCAAUGUCCCCACCCACCUUCGCUAGAGCCUCACCAACCUCGUCUGCCCACACCAGCCGCUUCUUGAUCUUCUUCCCCUUCGCCUUGCUUCGUUCCCUCUCCAUUGAUUCGUAACUUUCAUAUAUUGUUACUACAAAAGUCCAGAAAUACUGAUCUUCGCAGCGUGGAUACUGACGGAGGAGGAGAGCGAUAAGAAAGCCGUGAGGAGGAGGAGGAGGAGCCAUUUUCAAACAAUUUUUGUCCCUAAACUCUGGUAUAUUCAUUUGAGAUUGUGGGAUCUAUCACCGCGUGAAGCAUGUGGGCUUCAUAUCUCAUAUCUCAAGGCGCCUUAGUUAAUAAGAACACGUAUUAAUGUCAAACUCCCUUCAACACUUAGCAUGUUCAAACUUUUUUUGAACCUGUUAAUUAAAAUAACAUAAUAUAUAUAUAAUAAAAUUGCAAAAAGGAAUAGAAAUAAUUUUUUUGAUAAAUUUUUAGUUUCUAAAGUUAAUUCCAAAUUAUUUUUCAAACUUUUAAUUUUUAAAUUAAAAUAGUUUUUUAGAUAAACCCACCCGAGAUUUAAGCUUAAUUUGGUAUUGAGGUCUAUCUAACGCUAUUAGAUAAAAUGGAGUUAGAAAAAAAGCAUAUAGAGAUAUGCUGUGGAACGCAAUAUUACGUACGGAAAAAAACAGGGUAUUUUCCCAUCGUACUUUCUCACCGCAGUUAACGCAAUCUACUCGUGAUCCCAAACGAAGCCUUAAACAACCCUUAGUAGGUUUUUAGUAUUAAAAAUAAAAUAAUUAGAAAUUAAAAAAAUUAAAUUAAAAAUUUAGAAAUUCAUUUAUGAGGCUGUUUUGACUUCUGUAAAAAUGACCCAAAAAUGGGUUUCAGCUCAGAAAAUUAUUUUCUUCAUAUUUGGAUUUCCAUAAAAAAAAAUUUCUUAUUAAAUUAAUAUACAAAUUUCAUAGAAAAGCUGAGUUUUCUUUUGCCGACCCUAUUAAGUGGGUCUCAGGAUUCCGAUCAACAGUCACCGAAAGAUCGUCCAAUUAUCGCACCGACUAGUCAAAAUGUUGCUUCCUACGAUCACGGCUCACAAGACUAUGAACUCUUUUUCAGACUAUGAACUCUUUUUCUAGUGCGGUCCACGAAGGCAUCGUGGACCACUUGCAUUAUUAUUAUUAUUAUUAUUAUUAUUAUUAUUAUUAUUAUUUGAACCAGACCACUUUGCUUUAUUUUUUUUGAACCAGCUCAUUUAUACAAUAUACAUGUAUAUUAUUCAAUAGAUAAAUUUUCAAAAAAUAAAAAUAAAAAUGAAAAUUUUCAUUUCUAAAAAUAUUGAUUAAAAUAUGUUUUAUGUAGAAACUUGUAUUAAAAAAAUAAAUAAAGUCACCAAUUUUUCAACCAACUAAAAAAGCACGAUUCGAAAACUAUUUUUCACUAUAUAUAUUCAAUCAAAAUGCUAGGAACCAUAAAACUCAUUUUUCAUCAAAAUUUUAUUUAUUAUAGUUUUACGUUCAACCAAACAUGCUCUAGCCAAGCGUUCGUGAAUUAAGCUUUCUAUAUUACUUUACUUUUCCUUAUCUUAUUACCGCCCCAAAAUAAAUAAAUAAAAGAGAGAAAAAUCCUCAUGCAUAUGUUUAUGUAUUCUCAUUUUUUGAAACAUGUUAAUUUAGGGACUCACAUUGUGUUGCGCAAUCAAAACAGGAGCCUCGGUGGGUGCAGCAACUGCACUGUUUCUAUCCGUCACGUUCAUUUUGCACUGCAGGCGCAAGAGGAGUAGUAGUAAGCAGGGCUUGCUCUCCUCGAAUCGCCUCAUCAGUAACCUUCCCUUUGAGCCACAACACUACAUCGACCCUGAACUGUGCAGCACCAAUUACCAGACCCACAUCUUCUCCUACGCCGAGCUUCACGAGGCCACCGACGGCUUCUCUUCCUCUCAAGAACUCGGCGCCGGCGGCUUCGGCACCGUCUACAAAGGUAAGUUUAAUUUGGAGCCCCUGCGCGCGAUUGAAGUUCCGCGCGCACUUAAAUUUAGAAGAGUUUGUAGGGCAUAUUGUCAGUAUUAAUUUGAUUUUAGUGAUUUAAAAUUUUAUUUUAGUUCAUGGGUUUCCUGAGCAACUCAACAUUCUAUAUAUGGGUUUUAUCUGAGAGUCCGUAUUGAGUUUUUACAUGUGAGGUUAAUCUCAUAUUGGAAACUUAUGGCUAAUUGUUGCAUCUCUUAUACUUCAUCAUCCUUCAGUUAUUUGCUUGGGAGAUAGUGAGAGUAAUGCUUUUUACAAAACACGCACGGCAUGAGCUCGAGUAGGGCGGGCGGCGUGCAGUCUUGGUCUCCCAUUGGCCUCUCGUGGAGGCAAGUGUGAGCUUUAAUUAGUUGGUUCGGGUUGUGCACCAUUCUAAAGACAGUGUGAGCUUUAGUUGGUUCAAAUUGUGCACCAUUCUGAAGAUAUACCGACGGCGUAGACAGUUAUUGUUAUAUUGCUAGGAGUGAUUAUCGGAGUCUCACGCAUAGAGAAGCAAUCUUGCUUUUAAGAUAGUGCAUAGCACGUCUCGACUUACAGACCUCAUCUUAUCUUUUUUCUUUAUAAUAUUUAACUGUUAAUUCUUGCAUGUGAUUUUUUAAAGCAGAAAAAAAGCAGAAGUUUAAUUAUUUUCUUUUAAAAUUAUUUAAAAAGUAAUUUUACUAAAAGAAUAGAGAGAAUUUUUCAAUACAUAUAUGUGACUAGCAUAUUAAUACUGGUAAAUUUGGCUUAGGGCCUGUUUGGCCGGUGGUGCGUCCACGAGGGAGCCCCACCGUAGGACUUUUUAAGAAAGCUUCUAAUGUUGAGCUUUUCGAAAGGCCCUUUUCGACGGUCGCGUGCUGUAACGCGCAUGCAACCUUGUCGCCAAACAGGCCCUUAAUCAUUUUGCUCCGGUGGUUCGAGCCUAGCAAAUGGACAAUAUUGAUGGUUGAGUUGGAUUACAACAGUAUUCUUGGUAUGAAUGUACAUCCCUUGAACCGGAUCCUCUCCGAGUUCCUUAACUUACAUUUUUCAAGUUUAUUAUUUUCAUUUAGGGCCUUUUAUACAUGUUGUGCUACACCAAAAACACACUAAUUAACAGCUUCUUCAUUAAAGGCCCCGUAAAUUAGAUUUAAAUUAGAUUUUUGUGCAUUUUAAGCUCUAAAUUAAGCUCCUUCUCUCUUUAGUACAUAAUCUUAUUCAUAAGAUAAUAAAUCAAAAGCAGUGCCUACGUAGUAGGACAGGUUAAACCAGCAACUAUUUACUGCAAGGUUAAUUAAUUAAUUAAUUUGUGUUAUAUAUGCGAUCUCUCUAUGCAGGGCAGCUUCGAGAUGGUCGAACGGUCGCCGUGAAGCGCUUGUACGAGGCCAACUGCAGGCAAGCGGAGCAGUUCAUGAACGAGAUCAACAUCCUCUCCCACCUCCGCCACCAAAAUCUCGUCAGCCUCUACGGCUGCACCUCCCGAAGCUGCCGUCAGCUCCUCCUCGUCUACGAGUUCAUGCCCAACGGCACCGUGGCCGACCACCUGCACGGGCCCCGGGCGUGCGAGCGGCGACUCACGUGGCCUCUCCGAAUGCGGAUCGCCGUCGAGACCGCCGACGCCCUCGCCUAUCUCCACUCCGUCGCCCCGCCCAUCGUCCACCGCGACGUCAAAACCAAGAACAUCCUUCUCGACGCCGACUUCCACGUGAAGGUCGCCGACUUCGGGCUGUCGCGGCUGUUCCCGACGGACGCCACCCACGUGUCGACCGCGCCCCAGGGCACGCCAGGCUACGUGGACCCGGAGUACCAUGCGUGCUUCCAGCUCACCGACAAGAGCGACGUCUAUAGCUUCGGGGUAGUCUUGGUGGAGCUCGUGUCGUCGAAGCUGGCGGUGGAUCUCGGCAGGUGUCGGGACGAGAUCAUUCUCGCGAACAUGGCGAUCGACAGGAUCCAACGACGCGAGUUGGCGCAGUUGGCGGACCCAGCUCUUGGAUACGGCUCGGAUCGGGCGACGAGGAAGAUGAUCACCGUGGUCGCGGAGCUCGCAUUUAGGUGCUUGCAACGUGACAGGGAGAUGAGGCCAUCAAUAAAGGAGGUUCUUGAGGUGCUGAGAGGGAUAGAAGAUGGUGCUUGCGAGAUGGGGAAAGAGGAAGACGGCAACGUCGUCGGCGGCGCAGGGGACGACGCCGGAUUGCUUAAGAACUCGGCAGCAUUUUCGCCGGAUUCUGUAACACACAAGUGGGUGAGUAGGUCCACUACACCAAACACUAGUGAGUAAGUUAAAUCUGCGACGUUGGUGUACGUGCCAGCUAGUCCGGUUCUUGUUAUAUAGCUAAUCUUACAUAUACAGUGCCCUGUAUGGUUUGAAGGUUUCAAUAAUUAUGUGAGUUAUAUAUAUACUAGUGUAGUUGCCCGCAUGUUACGGCGGCUAGAUACCGUUAAAGUAAAAAUUUAUAAAAACUAAAAUAUCAGUUUAGUACAAAAAAUAGUAAAUAUAGUCUAUAUAUUGCUGACAAACACUUUUUUUAAUAAAAAACCACAAUAAAAAAGAAUUAAUUGUUCCAACAAAAUUAUUCAAUAUUAUUUAAAAGAAGUUGCAUAUCAUGUAAAUAGAUGAUUAAAAUUAUUUUUAUGACACAAUAAUCAGAAAAAUAUCAUAUUGCAGUUAAUAUAACUAAAGAAAGACUCACAAUAAUAUUGAAUAAUUUUGUUGGAACAAUUAAUUNAUGUAAGGUGAUUUAUAAGUAUUAUAUAUAUAUAUAUAUAUAUAUCAAUUUCAAUCAAUUAAUUAACUUUGAAUAUGAAACACAAUAAAUGUUCAAAUUUGCAAAUUUAAGGAAGAGGAUGAAAGACCAAAAGAUAAAGAAAAGGGAUAAAAUUUUUUUUAGGCCUUAGUAAAUCUAAAGAAAAUGAAAAGAAAAUGAGAAAAAAUAAUAAUAAAAAAAAUAUGCCCCACUCCUCCUCAAAUUAAGGGGGUGGGUACAUGUAGGAUUUAGUUAUGGAAAAUAAUGUAUAGUAAUAGAAAUAGAUAUUGACGGAAUUUGUGCAUGAUAAUGGAGUUGUGUUUGAAAUAAAAGUAUCAUAGAAGGUUUGUCCAUUACUUUGUAAACUAUGUAAAAUUGGCAACAGAUUCUAGCCACAUGGAACUGGAACAAUAUUCUAACUAGUAUAUUUUCGUAUUUUCUUCCUUUCUUUUCUUCUAGACGUCACGGGAUACGAGGCACAACAUAACUCGGAAUUCGGCAAUUUUUAAAAAAUUAGGACACAAAUAUGAACGCUAUUAAUAAAAUAUAAUAUUAUUAAAUAUAAUAAUAUAUAUUUAUUAUAUAUAUAAAAUAUUAAUUUUGGUAAAAUAUUAUUAUACGAGAUAGAGAAGCAAACCCAUGUAGGAGAGAAACGGUCAAAAAAAAAAAGAAACCAAUUUAAGGCAAAGAGAAAGAUGGGCCCAUUUAAUUGAAGAAGAGGAAUAAUAUAUAUACUGACAGUGGGACCUACAGGAAAAAGUUAAGUAAAACAUGUCACGUGGAUUAAGAUUACGAGGAUUAAUAAUAGUUUAUAAAUUUCUCAUACGAAUAAAAAUUAGUAAAACUUUUAUUGAUAAUUCAUAUAUUUUAAGAAAAAAAUUUGACACCGUACAUAAUUUAUUUAUAUUGUAAAAAAUAUUUGUAUGCAUUCAUCAAAAAAUUAAAAUAUCUAUCGCCUUUAAUUUCAUAUGUUACGACAAACGUACAAGCGAAAACGAAACGAAAUGACAAACACAAAAUAAACAAAACACAAGCAGAAACAAAAAAAAAAUACAAAAAUUUACGUGAAAAAUUUUUUGUAGGAAAAAACAAUGGGUGAGGGAGGAGAGAACUUCACUAUCAGAACGAAAAAGGAAAUACAAUAUUCAGAUAGUACAACCGACCACGAUCUCACGCCUCUAGGGCAAAAACGAAAAGAAAAACUCUUAAUGAGUUUCGGAUCCGAUCCGUACCCACCACGGCCAUUCAUUUUUUCUUUACAAUUUUAUUUUCUAAUUUGGUCGCACCACGAAACUGUCGGCGAGUCGAAAAUCCGAACUUGAGUCGAUUAUCAAUUUCGAGUCACAUCUAACAUCAUAUGCAUAAAAAUGUAAAAUAAAAAUAUGUAUUUUUCAAAAAUUAUUUGUGCUAUGGGUCGAUAUUGAAUGCACGUCUAAGAAGUGUUCACAUCGAAUAUGUAUAGGACACGCAAAGUUUAUAGAAGUGUCCAUGAUGCAUAGCUUUUCUUGCUACUUAAUAAUUAAGUAUAUUUAUCCUCCGGCAUUUGAGCACAUUUCCUUUUAAUAUUCUAACUGCUUUUCGUUCCCUUAAGAUUGUUUUAACAGCGCAACUCGAAAAUUCUGACGAAUGAGAUAGGAAGCAAGACUACUAUUAAGAUAGCCAGCGGGCAAUUAAGGCCAUGCAGUGCAACAAAUCUUUUUUUUUUUUUUUUGAGAGAUAGGUAGCACGCUAUCCGCUUCGUUUAUUUUAUUUAGAAAUAAACUUAGUUAUAUAGAAAUGUGAAUCAACUAGAGUUCGAAUUUGGGUCUCGGAUACCAACCACCAAGUCCUUUGCACUACAAGAAAAGAUAGUAUUGGUGGCAAAAAUAAGAUGGCGACAAAAUUUAUCGCCACUAUAUAGCUACUUAUGGUGGUGAUAAAAAAACUCGCCACUGAUUAAUUAACUUAAAGUGACGAUCCUAAUUUCGCCACUAAAUAACUAUUUUGUCGUCACUAUUUGGUUAUCUACAAUGGCAAUAAAAAAAAUUGCCAUCAAUUAAUUAACUUAAAGUGGCGAUAGUAUUUUUACCACUAAAUUACCAUUUUAUCGCCACUAUUUUCUUAUCUAUGGUGGCGAUAAAAAAAAUCGUCACUGAUUAAUUAAUUUAAAGUGGCGAUGCUAACUUCACCACUAAAUGACUAUUAUUUUGUUUUAAGCUUUUGUGGAUCAAAAGUCAAUUAGCCUUUUAAAUUGUUGUUAAAAGAAUAAUUUUGUUUACUUAAAUGUUUUGUCUGUUAUUUUGUAUAUGUUUUGUUUAUAAAAUAUAAGCAGUGUAUUUUUAUAUUAUAUUAUAUUUUUUUUAUCAUUGGUGGCUAUUUUACUCGGAGUUGGUGGCGACAAAAACUUGCCUCUUUAUCUUCAACUAAGGUGGCGACUGUGGUGGUUGCCACUUAAAUUAUACAUUUGGUAGCGAAAAUGUAUUGCCACCGUAUCUCCAUGAAAGGUGGCAACUAAGAAUGGCCACUAAAAAGUCAUAUUUAAUGACGACAAAAUAUCGCCACACUAUCUUUAAUAAGGUGGCGACUAAUAGUUGCUACUAAAAGUCAUAUUUGGUGGCGACAAAAUGUCACCACGCUAUUUUCGAAAAGAUGGCGAUUUUCAUGCUUCGCCAUAAUUUCAUUUAGCGGCAACACUUUCGAUGGCAGCUUGUGGCGACUUUAAAAGUCGCCACCUUUUCAAAAGGUGGCAACUUUUUAUAUAUAUGGUGGCGACAUUACUCGCCACCAAUAUAUAAUAUUCUUGUAGUAUUGCCAGUGCAACUAAUCUUAAGCUAGCAAAAUCAUUGUUAGUGCAUAUUUGGUUAUGCUUCGUUUAGUUUUGGUUAGAAUGACAAGCAAAAGAUUUUGUUGGGUUAGUGAUAUCAAAUUCACUUAUUAGCCUAUUUGGUUUUAUUUUGAGUUUGGUUCAACAACUCAUGUAAUGGGCUAAUUAGUAAUUGGUUUGGGCUUUAGUUGACCCAUUUGGUAUAUUGGGCCGUGUGAUGUUAAGAGAGGAUUAAUUUGGGUUUAGAGAAAGUGAGAGUUCUCAACUUCUCAUUUUUGCUCUUUAGAGUUCUCUUUUCUAGAGAUAGAGAAGAGAGCAUGUAGAGAGGGUUAGAGAAGGAGCUCUCUUGUUCUUCUUGCUUGAUUCAAAGCUUCCAAGCUUCCAAUAUACCUUGAUUCAAAGCUUCUAAGGUAUAUUGGACUAUGUGAUGUUAAGAGAGAUUCUCACCGUUUGGUUCGGGUACAAACAAGAACUAGCUAUUACAGGGAUAGGUACAAGUAUGGGGAUAAGAAAAAUAGCGUUUGGAUGAAAAUUAGAUUAUUUCCGGGGAUAAGAAAAAUAGCGUUUGGAUGGAUAAUAUGGAAUAAGAAAAAUAUUAGGUAGUUUUAUAUAGAAAAUGGAGGUAUUGGUGGGGAUACUAGUUAUGCCCGAUUAUUAUAGGUAAUCGAGAACUACUAUUCGGAUAAAAAAAUUAACGUUUGGGUAUAAAGGGGAGGAUAAGGACCUAUCCCUAUACCUAUCCCCUAGCCAAAUACUGCAUUUGGGUUAGAGAAAGUGAGAGUUCUCAAGUUCUCAUUUUUGCUCUUUUUAGGGUUCUCUUUUCUAGAGAUAGAGAAUAGAAGUGUAGAGAGGAUUAGAGAAGGAGCUCUUUUGUUCUUCUUACUUGAUUCAAAGCUUCCAAGGUUGAUUGGAGGAAUUCUAAGAGGCAUUUCGAAGCAGGUUUCGCGGAUUCGGAAGGUGCUUAGAUGAAGGUGUAGCAAGAAAGAUUUUUUUUCCCAAUUAGAAGGUUGCAAACCCAUUGUAAUAGAGUGGUAAUCUCUAACCAAAUCUUGUGAUCUCCUUAUUUGAUAGUGGAUUUGAUCUCUGUAUGCCCGUGGAUAUAUAUAUAUAGAGUAGAACUGGGUUGGUAGCAAAACACCAUUGUUGCUACCGAUUUUGUAGCCGUCGGAUUGCUUCGCGAUCCGUGUAGAUGAAGGGAAGAAUGCAGCAGCAGUUAGUGCUAACGGAGCGUCGUUUCCUUCCCGUCCGUACAGGGGAAAAUUUGGGGAGAACAGCCUUCCUCCAUUCCUCGCCUCUCUCUCGCUCCCUCGCUCCUUCGCUCCAGGCCCAUCCUCACGCCCUCUCGCCUCCAACCCGCCACCCCCUCUCACGCCCUCUCGACUCCGACCCGCAACCCCCUCUCACGCCCUCUCUCACUAGAUCUGCAGGAGUAGCGUUGUAGAAGGUGAGUCCCUCACUCCAGGCCCAUCCCCACGCCCUCUCGCCUUCCCUCGGCGCGGAUUUUCGAUUUAUAGUUCGAUUUGGAGGAUUAGCAUAACCUGGAGGCACCUGUGAGAAGUAGCCUUUCGAUCUCUCGCUCAAUCUCUCACUCGAUCUGCAGGAAUAGCGCCGUAAAAGGUGAGCUUUGAAAUUUUUUUAAAAAAAAUUUUAGUGUUUCUAUUUUUAAUUAAAUUUUUUCCCCAACAUUUUGUUCCCAAUAUUUGUUCCCAACACUUCUGUUGUGAUGAGUCUAUUUUAUACAAAUGUGGAUUGGCUCGGGAACCAAACAAUUAUUUCCACAUAUGCCUACUAAUAUUAUUCUUAGAUCUGAUCUAAGUUACAUAUAUAGUUAAAUUUUUAAUUUUUUUUUAAAAAGGUGAAUAUUUAAAGUUUAGUGUUUCUAUUUUUAAAAUUUUAAAAUUUUCAAAUUUUCAAAUUUUCAAAAGAUUUUAGUGUUUCUAUUUUUAAUUAAAAUUUUAUCCCCAAUAUUUUUUUCCCAAUAUUUUUGUUCUUGUAAUUAUUCUUUUUUGCAAUAUUUUAGUAAAUUAUAAUUGUAAUUAAAUUUUGUAUUUUAAUUAUGUAGAUGUUGCCUCGUGUCCUCUCGCUUAAUAACCCCUGUGUAGCUCUUCAAUCUCUCACUCGACUGGCUAACUUGCAAGUUGAACAGGGGAUCUAAAACUAGAUAAAAGAGAUCUUUGACCUCACUUGAGUUACCAGAAUCAGUAGUGUCAUGCCCCGAGCCCGCCUCUUUGGUCGGAUUCGGGCACGCCAACAGACCGCCGAACGGACAGGGUUUUUUCUGUACCGCGAACAGAGUCUCCCCUGUACGUUCAAGGCGUCACAACCUGUACAAUACAAGAGGUUCCAAAUAGGAACAUCAUUCAAACAAGAUUGCAUAAGGAAGGUAUCACAAACAUAAAUACUUCUAAGUUAUUACAAUCAUUCAUCUCAUAUAUUACAUUUUACAUCACAUUAUACAUUCUUUGAUUCUUACUUCCAAAUACAAUCCAAUUCUCAUAAUAUUAUUACAACUUGGUUCUUUGCAUUUUAUACCCCUAAGAAGCCGACUUAGGGUACUGCUAUCUGGUCUCAGUGGUAGGGCGCCAACUACGGAGCUACGCCAUUUUCUCGCGCCGCCGCGCCGCUUGUGUGUGAACCUGUACCCCCAAAAACAACACGAGGGUGAGAACUAUUGUCCAUAGUUCCUAGUGGGUACGACCACCCAAGGAAAAAGCUCGACCAAUAGGUCCAAGGAGGCACUACAAUCAUGUUAGUCCAAAAACAUCUAUAGAUAUCUAUAUCAUCAUGUUAUUAUGCAACAACAGAUAACAUGCCUCACAAUAUGCAAUAUGAACAUUAUGCAAAGGGGUGGAAACGAGCCGAGCUCGAGCGAGCUUACCUCGGCUCAAAUUCGGCUUGAAAUUAAUUUCGAACCUAAAUUUAACCUCAAGCUUGGAUUGAAAUUAAUUCGUGCGGAAUUCGAGCGAGCCUAAUUUCGAGUCGAGCGAGCUCGAGCCCUAAACGAACCGCUUGAAAUUCUCAACAUCAUACAAUCAAGAGUUUAAUUUGUAUAGAACAUUAUCUAUAAUUUGAUACAAAAAUAUGUUUAAUAGUUUCAAAGUAUAAAAUAAGUAUAUAUUGAAAAUAUUGUAAUAAUACAAAAAAAAAAAGAAUUAUGUGAGCUGAAUAUCUAAUUUUUUCAGUUCACAUUCUCUUUCUUCCGGCUCCUCCAAUUCCUAUUAAUCAUUACUUCAUUUUAUGCAGUUAAUAAUAAAAUAAUAAUAUAGAGAUUAAAUAUGCGAAUUAACUAAUCCAAUCAUAUUAUAACUAAAUUAAAAUUUUAAUAUUGAAUAUAAUUUUUUUUUAAAAUAUCUGUAUAUUUUCUCAAGCAUACAAUUAAUUACCAAGAUAAGGGCAACACGACGGACCAUAUGCUGUUAUUUCUGGUAACUUGAGAGGGCUUCCGCUUGGCUACUUAGGAAUGAGAGACAGAAAAAGAGGUGAAAGAAAGAAAGAAAGAAAAAAAAUUAUAAAAUUUAGAUGAAUUUUAACUCUUUAUAUUCGUCAUUGGGUUUGUUUUAUGGGCCAACAAUAUUGGUCUAAUUUUAACUAAAACUCAGAUUAUUAUCCAGCCUAUAAUAUAAUUUAAUAAUAUUAUAUUUACUAUAUUUUUAAUAUAUAUAUAUAUAUAUAUAAUAUAUAUAUAGUACCUUUACUAAUAUAUACUAUAAUGAAUAUAUAUAAAGAACAUAGAACCUAUUAAUGCUAUCAAAAUAUAGAGAGAUUUGAUGUUUUCGAAUUUUGACCUUGAUUAGAAAAUUAAUCAAUGUGUGGGAUGAUUGCUGUCCCCUAGGAUUCAAAUAAAUACCCUUAGAGAUUGAGUGGCCCUACAACAGCUAAUAAUAGUAUUAACAAAGGUAGAAUGAUUUAAAGAGGGUUGAUAUAAGAAUCAAAAAUCAAAGUACGCAGACCUCUAUACCUUGAUAGUAUAGCUAGUUCUUACUAUAUAUUAUAUAUAUAUAUAUAUAUUAUAUAUAUAUAUAUAUAUAUAAUAUAUAUUAUACUAUAUAUAAUAUACUUCCGAGCUUUUCGAGUUUUCGAGCCCAAUUCGAACGAGCACAGAUAAUACUCACAGCUUGGCUUGAAUAUGAAUUUCCAGCCUCUUUUUUUGUUCAACGUCUCACUGCCAUUUACAUUUCAAGUCGAGCUCGGCGACCUGCCAAAAUCGAUCGAACGCGAGCCGACUCUCGCUCAUUUGCCAGCGCGCUAUAUGCAACUAUGCAAGUAGAUUAAUUGAUUCUACUUUAUAUUUUUUAACCACUCUUUACUUGUAGCCGUUCUUUACUUUAUUAGCUAUUCUUAUUCAUUAGCCUUUCUUUACUUUAUUUCCUUGUUACACUAUGCUCAUUGGCAAUUCUUUCCUAAGGUUACCUUUACCUUAGCCAUAUAUGCCACUCGACUCGGACUUGAGUCAAUCUACUGCGGAUAAUCCGUGCUCCGUCCAGCUCGAGGUGAAGGAACUCUCACAUGUACCUUAGCUAACUAGAGCCCACCACGCUCCAUGACUUAGCCACCCGGCGGCAAAAUCGUCGCACACGCCAUGAACAAUGGCUCAAGUCAACCAGCGGUAUGAUCCACAAACCGGCUCAACCGGUAUAACCCACAAUCUGGCUCACCCAUCCGGCGGCGAAAUCGUCGCACACGCCACGUCGAUGGUAUAGCCCAAGACGGCAAAAUCGUCGCACACGCCGAACACCACUUUGGGUGUUCCAUAAGCUCUGGGAUUCCGGAAUCCGUAACUCAAGGGUUGGUCUUAACCCUAUAGUAUUGACCUAGUUAGGUCCAAUGUCCUUUCCAUCCUAUGUCCACUUGGCCCUAGGUCCAUUAUCUUUAUCACAUAACCAAAGUUGACUUAACUCUAGGUUCAAUGUCCAUGACCUAUGUUCUCUAACAUUAGGCUUAAUGUCAUUCUUGUUUGUCCUAGGUUUAUUAACACUAGGUUCAAUAUCAUUCUUGUUCAACCUAGGUUCACGACUCUAGGUUCAUGCCACUCGAUCUAUAUGUAUACGUAUGUCCUUUACUUAACAUUCUUAUUUUAGCACCUCUAUAACAUGCUUAUCAUACGCGUACUUAGCCUUUUUAUCAUGUCAUCAUCUAUAUUCUUAGCAUUAACCUCAUGCUUGCAUUUAUUAUUUCUACAUCAUGCUUAUCAUGUAUACUUAAGCAUUUCUAUAACAUACAUUCAACUAACAUUAACCAGUGCAUUCAUUCUAACAUUUCUAUACCACGUCAUUCAUGCAUUUAUUUAGCAUUCUUAUUUUAUGUCCAUAUGCAUUAUGUCACAUCAUGCUUAUCAUGUAUACUUUAGCAUUCUUACUUUAGCAUUUCUAUAACAUACAUUCAACUAACAUUAACCAAUGCAUUCACCUCAUGCAUACAUAUGCUCUAUCAAUAGCUACCACUACAUGCAUCAAUGAUAACCAUUUAUCUUAGACAUAUAGGCGACCUAGUUGCUUCGGUAAACACAACCCACCUCAAUUCGCACUCCGAUUGCUUGUAGUCACUUGCAAUCGGCCUCCCGCCGCACCCGUGAUCCGGUUCGGCCCGAACUCUCGCGCGACCACCCAAACGGCCACCAAUCCACGAUCCGAAAAUUAAAGGUCUAUGGUUUUGUGCUACGGUGCUCCGGAUCCGUUCUCGUGAUUUUUGGACGUCGCCUACGCCCUACAGGCGGUAACGAAGCCAAACCGUCCGUUUUCCCAAUAUCUUUGCGUAGGCUCGACGGAUUGCCGAACCGACUUCACCAACGCGUUCGUAUACCUAGCAAUUAGGUUUACAUAGGUCCAAUUUAGAUCAAAUCCAAACAUUUACAAAAAUUCCUUUUUUCUAAACCUAGCCUCUAUACAUGCUCUAAUUAACCCAAAUAUUAAGGAUUUAACAUGCUAACAACACAUUAGAGGCUAUUAGAACACUUAAGCAUAAGGAUUAUGCCAAAUCCUAAAAGCUUACCAAAAUGUGAACGCCGAGACGGAAGCACGCCGCUCCAACGGGCGCACAAAAGCUCGAUCCGUCGCUCCCAACGUGUUCGCAAGCUUGCUCUCCACCAACCCUCAAAUUUCUAGAGAGAGAUCUAGAGAGAUGAGAGAGAUCUUUAGAGAGAGAAAGGAGGGUUUCUCUCUCCCUCCAUGCGUGCGUGUGUAUAUGCUGUGGGUGUGUGUGUGUGCUCGGUUGAAGGAGAAGAAGCAAAUGCUUCUUUUAUAAUUAACACCCUCAACACUAUUCACUUCAGUUUGUAGCUCAGGUACAGAUAUUUUUCGCAUGCCCUUUUGAAUGUCCGUUUGAGCUCAAAUUUGACAGUCGGGCUCUGUUUUACUUAACUUAACGACAGAAAUUUUAAUUUUUCAGUUUCGACCCUGUUUGGUCACCGAAAGCUCUACCGAACUGUAAUCUCUAGCAGAUAGCAGUCGGAUUUUAUUUUUUACUUUUCUGGUGUCAAAAUGGCAUGAAACUUUAAAUCUAGCCUCAUCAAAAUAAUUCUGACAUGUCCUCCAGUUUUCAUAAUUUUCUGAAACUGUGCAUUUUCUGAUAAUUUAUCUGCCCGAUUUCCUACAGAAAAUUAUAAAUCUUCUGUUUUCAUUCCGAUUUCAGCACAGGUCAUUUCAGACUUACAUUUUGCUUCUAUAAGUCCAAAAAAAUAGUAUCUCACACUAUUUUUAUUUAUAUUUACCUUUAAAUUAAAAUUCGGUAUAUUACAAGUAGUUGGAUGGAAAUUUUAUUAAUAUUUAUCUGAUGCUACUUCAUUAAAUAACGCUAGCCAUCGACCAACUCGUUAUCUUGAAGUUGUGCAUUCAGAUUAAACGAUUUCUAAAUUUUUUUGAGUCAAGUUUGAAAUUGAUGAAAUCUUGUUUGUAGGGUUUAAUGAGAACAGUUAUUGUAACAUUUCAUUUCGAGCUGCAUAUUCAAGGUCAUGGGCUAAAGUGUAAAGGAUUUCUUUUUAUAAUUUUGUCUUAUGUUUCUCAUAUUACUAUUCAAAGAUCUUGUAUAUAAGGGGUAAAUGAGAAAAAUAUUGUGAUAUUUCUUUUUGUACAGCAUUUUCAAUGAUACGACGGAUCAAGCAUAAAGAUACUUUUUAUAAUUUUGUCUUAUGUUUGUUAUGUUACUAUUCAAGUGUUGUUCUUAUCAAAAUCCUAAUUUAGUUUCUCUUAAUGUUGAUCUUUGUUUUACCCCCAACUCUGUGAGAGGUUCAAUGUAGUCAACUCAGCUUUUAUGAUUGGGUGUUGUUGCUCCGAAGGCGCCCAUCUCUCUGUUUGUGUUACACACUGGACUUUCGCAAAUUGCAAGGUUCGAGUGUUGACUUGGGUUCCGAGUUUUUCCACACUUGGUAAAAGGUCGUGGAAGGUGCCUCGACUUAAAAAGCUCAAAAAAAUCCAAGUCUGGUUGGUCCUGAGAGUUUUCACUCUCGGGGACCGGUCCCUGGUUGGUGAGACCGGUCCCCCGUGGCGAUGCAACCGGUCCUCGGCUGAGGAGACUGGUUUCCGAACGUCGGAUUUUUGGGAUGGUCCCGAGAGACCGGUCCCAACUAGGAGAGACCAGUCCCUCUUGGCGAAUUUUGCCCAGUCUGGGAUGAAGCACUAUUUUGGAUUGUUGAGGGGCUUAUUUGGGUUUGUUGCAUGAGAGGGCUUUUAGAGCCUUUCUCCUCUCUCUUUUCCUCAUUUCUCUCUAUCUCUUACACUCUAGAGAGAGAAGAAGAAGGAGAAGAAGAAGAAGAAGAAGAAGAAGAGGAGAAGGAGAUCAAGUUGGAGGCUUUUGGAGCAUCAACCCCUUUCUCUCUUUCUGACCUUGGGAGGCUUGGAGCUAGCCAUUGGAGCUUGGUGGUGGACCAAUCUUCAACCCUAGAGCAUUUGGACUUAGAUUGGAGCAUUCUAGAGGUAAGUUGAUGGUUUCCUUCCUCUAGAUUCUUGUUUUGAAGCUUUAAACUAGAUGAAACCCUAGAAAUUGCUAUUUAGGGUUUAUUUUGGGAAUUUUUGAUUUGGGGCCUUUGAGACCUAAUUGAUGGGUUUAGAACCUUCCUUCAGAUUGGAUUUGAAGAACUCUAACUCCCAUUUGGAGCUUAAGAGAGGAUUUCUUCAUUGAGGUGAGUUUUUCCCAACCCUAGCUUGAGUUGGUUGAUGAUCAACCUUGUGGUUGUUCGUUACGUUCGUUUGACUCUUGUUCCUACAUCUUUAGGAUGCUAGAGAACUUGUGGACACCUUCGUUCGGCGAAAUGAAGAGCUUCGUGAAGUUCGGUGGGUUUGGCUUCUUGAAACCGGGGCAAAAUGGCCCCUAUGUUUUAUAUACUCGUCGUAUUAUUGAAAUAACUUCAUUUCUAUGCUAAAUAUGAUUUAUGUGAAUUUUAGAAUGCUUAAUAUACAUAUGUUAUAUAUCAUGAAAAACGACCUCAUGUAACGGGGGGGAAACCUGGUAUAUUGAGCAUGUAUAUGAGAUAGUAGCUUAUCGAGCAUGUUGGGAAUAGGUCUCUUGUGAUGAAGAGGACUCUAAUCAUAUAUUUUUAAACAUUAAACUCAUGCUUGGACUUAGUGAUCAAAAGUGUCAUAAAGGGGCACUUGUAAUAGUAACUAUAAAACUACAACAUUAGGACAUAGUGAUAGGCCAUUGACAUCUACAUUUCCAUGUUCUUAGACAUGAUGACAUAGAGAUAGGCCACUGAGAUAUGUGACAUAUUCCAUGUUGUUAGACAUGAGGACUUGAUACUUGAGACGGAUCUUGUACUACUUGCCAUUUGUGCUCAUUCGCACAUGCUUGUGAGGGUCGCUCCCUACAAGCCGGCACUCCGGAGAUGGCCAUCGGGAUACUUAUUCGCCGUGCGGGAUUGGACGCCGAAGUGGAUUGCCGUGGGCCAGGCUCAUCCCUAGGGUGAGGGUGUUGACUACCACGGGGCCAUUAGGCUCGGCAUUGGUCAGACAGCCUACGGGUGGGUCUCAGGGUCAAGACAGCCUUCGGGCGGGUCUCUUCAGAUUGGACUUCGAGUGGUCGGCGUGACAUAUGGACAUUGAUUAGAAUAGUAAACAUUGACAUCUUUACUAUUUGGCUUUUGGACAUCAUACUAGUAUGCUUGGGCACAUUCUUGUUGAAUAGUUUAUUACUUAUGCAAAUCAUGCUAAGUAGAGAUUUCAUGUUGUAGCAAGUAUACUGUUUUGGGUUUAUUUACUUAUCGCAUUUAUCGCUUUGGUUUAUACUCGUACUGACCUUUCUUUGUAGCUUUUGGGCCUAGUGGCGCACUUAACUGAAGUCAACAAUUGCCCAUUGGGAACUAUUUUUAAUAGUUCUCACGCCCUGUUUUUCAUGUUCUCUUUCAGAGCCUUCGGCACCGGCGGAGGCACGGGAUCGCGGCAAGGGUGUCGCCUAGCUAGAUUGAGAGAGCUACUUCUGAGCUUAGGUGGUUACUCUUUCUUUAUUUUAGUAGAGAGAGAGAGAGAGAUUUUGUGUACCAUGUAUAGAGAGACCACUUAUGUAUUGACUUAGUUUUCGUAUUUUGAGGACUUUUGUUGUACUACUUUAUGUUUUAUUCCUUAGUGGAUUUCGGUUUUUAUACUUAUUCCUUUUGUUGUAGAAAUCUAGAUAUACAUUGCUCUUAUACUUCUAGAUGUUCUUUAUUUAUUACCUAUUUAUCGUUAUUCUUUAGAUGCCUUGUAUAUUUUAGACAUAUGGCGGGUCUGUGCACGGGCCGGGUGGGCUUCCGCUCGGUCGCGGGACGUGACAGAUUAGUUUGGUAUCAGAGCCUAGGGUUGAGUCUUAGUGGACCUAGCAAACCUUAGGCCGGUUGGACUAUAGGACAUAGGCUCGUGAGAGACGAGGUCUAUUCGACUUGUGGGCGAAAGUAUCAUGAUUGGGUAUCUUGAUAACUCUAAAAAGUUAGAGUUGAACCGAAGUGUAUGACUUCUAACUUCGCGGAGGGUUACGUUGGCGGCCGACAACGUAACAUCGGGAGUUAGUAGUGAAGCACACUUCCUUACUUUCGCAUGAUUUGGGGUAUUGUCUUUUGAGCGGGGAUUCGAUAGCAUGGGUUACUAACUUACGCUUUUAUGAUGCUGUAGUGUGAUGCCAAUCACACGCUCUCAAUCUACUGGAGCGGAUAAUGUGGCAAACUUGGAGGAGGUUGAGACCUCCGCUACCUCCGGAUCCGACGAAGUCCGUGAGUUGAGGAGCCAGCUUGCGGCUCUCACCGACUUGGUGACAUAGCAGGCAGAGGCGGCCCGACAGCAGACGGAGGCGGCGCGCCGACAGGAGGCGCGGAUGAAGCGCCUGGAGGACUUUCUUCUAUAGCAGGCGGCAGCUUCCAGGGAGACUCAGGCCCCUACACCGCGAGCACCAAUUGUGGAUGUCGCGCCGAGAGCGCAGUCCCCCGCGCCCAAUUCUUCGCGAGCAGCGCCCGCAGACGCGCCUCAGGAGGAGGCUGUUGUGGCGUCACCUAUUAAGAGACCCCCGGUUGGAGUUGUUUUUCCCGUGACGGUUGUGGGAGCGGACCGGGACCGACUGAUGGAGCGUCUCAACGAGUUCAGGAGGUGCAGCCCCAGGAUCUUCGAUGACGAGAAGGUCGACAACUGGAUAGUGGAUAAAUGGUUGAUGCAUAUGGAGAAGCUCUUCCGCGACACCUUCGUGGAGGAGAGAGAUCGAGUUUGGCUUGCCACUCACCACCUGGACGGCGAGGCCUACCGCUGGUAGUUGGAUCUCCAGGAGAACCCCAGCACGGAUUUGGCGGCCAUUACAUGGAAGAAGUUCAAGAAGCUUCUACUGGCGCAUUACUUCCCGAUGAGUGUCAAGAGGAAGAUGGAGCAAGACCUGCGCAACUUGCGCCAAGGAGACAGGACCGUAGCCGAGUACGAGCGGGAGUUUUCUUGGCUUCUACACUACGUGCCUUUUGUUGUACGGGACGACGAGGACAAGGCCCGCAUCUUCGAGCGAGGGUUGCAACCGUCGAUCUUCUGGUUAUUGCAAUCCUUUAACCUCCAAACCUACCGGGAGGUGGUGGAUCGCGCGUUCAUUAUGGAGAGCAGCGCGGUGGAUGUCCAGGAGCAACGAGAGGCUAGGGACAAGGCUAAGGCCAAGAGGCCUGCGGCUGAGGGUGCGAGCCAGACGCACUCUAGGAGGCCACCGAAGCAUCCGAGGAGCCAGCAGCGUGGACACGGCUCAAAAGCGCAGCAAGGAGGCUCUGACUGUCGCCAGCCUACCCCGUGUGUGAUCUGCGGUGGUCCUCACUACCCACCGUAGUGCCCACAGCGGGCGGGCAGGUGCUUCCAGUAUGGCCAGGAGGGCCACGUGCAGACCGAGUGCCCGAGAGGUUCUUCACCGGCACCGUCGACUGCAUCGGCACCGGCUCUACCAGCCAUCAGCCACGAGACUCCGUCGACACAGUACCAGCCUGGGCGGCCACCCGUCCAGUGUCUGAGCGAGGGAUCUCGACAGGCCCCGAGUGGGCGCAUGUAUGCCGCUCAGACCGAGGAGACGGCAGCAGCCGAGGAUGUGGUUGCAUGUAUCAUUUUACUUGAUGGCAUUAGAGUACCCGCAUUAUUUGAUACCAGUGCAUCGCAUUCAUUUAUUGAUCGGCUGUUUGCCGAGUUGCAUAGCAUCCCUUUGAUUUUCUUGUUGCAUUCGGGAUAUGUUAUAGUACCUGACCACACUCUGGAUAUUAGAGAGUAUUGCCCUAGUUGCCCCGUUCGGGUAGAAGAGUGGAUUAUGCCCGUGGACUUGCUAGCUUUGCGCAAACUGGGAAAUUUUGAUGUGGUCUUGGGCAUGGAUUGGUUGACCAAGUAUUAUGUCACCAUUGAUUGUAAGAAUCGCACGGUUACCUUUAGAGAACCGGGACAGACCGAGGUGGUAUUUAGAGGAUGCCGGAGUUCGCUGUUUGCGAUGUCGAUCAGUUCGUCUCGAGCUAGGCAACUGAUCAGUAGAGGUUGUGUAGCCUACUUGGCUAGUGUGGUGUUCAGGGGCGAAGAUGACACCCCUAGGAUUGAGGAUAUCCCGGUGGUACGGGAGUUUCGGGAUAUGUUUCCAGCUGAGCUACCGGGUAUGCCUCCUGAUAGGGAGAUUGAGUUUGUGGUAGAUCUCGUCCCUGGGACUACCCCAAUCUCGAAGGCAUCCUAUAGGAUGGCACCAGCAGAGCUGAAGGAGCUGAGGGCACAGCUGCAGGAUCUACUGGAUAAAGGCUUCAUUCGACCGAGCGUCUCGCCUUGAGGAGCGUCAGUCUUGUUCGUCAAGAAGAAGGACGGAUCACUACGCCUUUGUGUAGAUUAUCGUGAGCUUAAUAAAGUCACGAUCAAGAAUAAGUAUCCGUUGCCGAGGAUCGACAACUUGUUUGAUCAGCUUCAGGGAUCGUGUGUGUAUUCCAAGAUCGACUUGCAGUCGGGAUACCAUCAGUUAAAGAUCAAACCAGAGGAUGUGUCGAAGACAGCUUUCAGGACACGGUAUGGACAUUAUGAGUUCACAGUUAUGCCGUUCGGGCUCACUAAUGCCCCGGCAGCUUUUAUGGAUCUAAUGAACCGUAUCUUCAAGUCUUAUCUAGACAAGUUCAUCGUGGUGUUCAUCGACGACAUUUUGGUUUAUUUCCGAAGUGAUGCGGAUCACGAGGAGCAUUUGAGAACUGUACUCCAAGUACUUCAGGAAAAGGAGCUUUAUGCCAAGCUGAGGAAAUGUGAAUUCUGGCUUCGAGAGGUAGCUUUCCUUGGACAUUUGAUAUCGGGAUCAGGUAUAGCCGUGGAUCCCAAGAAGAUUGAGGCAAUCAAGGAUUGGCCGAGACCGACGAGUGUCACGGAGAUACGGAGUUUCCUGGGAUUGGCCGGUUACUACCGGAGGUUCGUUGAGAGGUUUGCCAAGUUGUCUACUCCCUUCACGAGACUCGCGCAUAAAGGAGUCAAGUUCAUCUGGAAUGAUGCAUGUGAGAGAAGCUUCCAAGAGUUGAAGCACAGAUUGACGACCGCCCUUAUCCUAACCUUGCCAGUUGCUGGAGCAGGGUAUGUGGUUUAUAGUGAUGUAUCUCUUAAUGGAUUGGGCUGUGUAUUGAUGCAGGACGGCAAGGUAAUCGCGUAUGCGUCUCGCCAACUAAAGGAAUAUGAAAAGAGCUAUCCGACGCAUGAUUUGGAAUUGGCGGCCGUAAUCUUCGCAUUGAAGUUAUGGCGCCACUACUUGUAUGGCGAGCGGUGUGAAGUAUACACGGAUCACAAGAGCUUGAAGUACCUGUUCACUCAGAAUGAGUUGAACUUGAGGCAGCGCAGAUAGUUGGAGCUACUUAAGGAUUAUGAUCUGACGAUCCUUUACCACCCGAGCAAGGCUAACGUGGUGGCAGAUGCGCUAAGUAGGAAAUCGACGGAAAUCUUAGCGAUGCAUGUUGUUACUCAACCGCAGUUAAUCGAGCAAAUGAAGCGGUUGGAGUUGGAGGUGGUGACUCCUGAUACACCCUUAAGGUUGAUGACUUUGGUGGUGCAACCUACACUUUUGGACAGAAUCAAGAAAAAGCAAAUUUCCAAUUUGGGAUUACAAAAGAUUAAAGACAAGAUGGUUGAGGGUUGCACCGAUGAUUUUCUUGUGGAUGACCAAGGGUUAAUGCGUUUCUGCGGACGAAUUUGUGUACCGGCGGAUUCGGGAAUUAUAGAGGAUAUCCUUCACGAAGCGCACCGAGCGCCGUAUGCUGUACAUCCGGGUGGCACCAAGAUGUAUAAGGACUUAAAGUCGCUCUACUGGUGGCCCGGGAUAAAAAAGGACGUUGGCAAGUUUGUAGCCCGUUGUCUAACUUGCCAACAAGUGAAGGCGGAGCACCGAGUUCCCGCCGGAAAAUUACAGAGCCUACCGAUUCCAGUGUGGAAGUGGGAGAAGAUCACCAUGGAUUUCGUGACUGGAUUGCCUCGCUCACAGGCCGGGCAUGAUGCUAUUUGGGUGAUUGUGGAUAGGUUGACGAAGUCGGCACACUCCAUACCUAUUCAUACUACUUGGACUGGGGAGAAGCUCGCACAAGUGUACCUUGAUGAGAUUGUGCGACUUCACAGAGUGCCUACGUCGAUAGUAUCGGAUCGAGACACUCGAUUUGUGUCACACUUUUGGAGGAGUCUGCAGGACGCCUUAGGCACUCGACUGAACUUUAGCACUGCUUUUCACCCACAGAGUGACGAGCAGUCGGAGCGUACUAUUCAGACCUUAGAGGAUAUGCUCCGAGCAUGUGUGAUAGACUUCCAGGGAGGAUGGUCACAGCGUCUACCUAUGACAGAGUUCGCUUAUAACAACAGUUAUCAAGCAAGCAUCAAGAUGGCGCCAUUCGAAGCACUUUAUGGACGGAAGUGCAGAUCGCCACUUCAUUGGAGUGAAGUUGGCGAAAGAUUAGCUUUAGGCCCUGAUGUGCUCUAGGAAGCUGAGGACAAGGUUCGAGUUGCUCGGGAGCAACUUUUGACGGCACAGAGUAGAUAGAGGAGCUACGCCGAUCGACGGCGGCGAGACUUGGAAUUCCAAGUUGGAGAUCAUGUGUUCUUGAAGGUCUCGCCGACUAGAGGGAUCAAGAGAUUUGGGAUUCGGGGUAAGUUAAGCCCCCAUUUCAUUGGACCGUAUGAGAUCUUUGAGCAUGUAGGUCCGGUGGCGUAUCGACUUGCUCUACCACCGAACCUAUCGGGCGUGCAUAACGUCUUUCAUGUAUCGGUCCUUCGGAAGUAUGUUUUCGACCGGACUCAUGUGUUGAAUGCUACACCCUUGGAACUACGGGACGAUUUGAGCUUCAAGGAGCAACCCGUGAAGAUCUUGGCUCGCGAGGUGAAGAAACUGCGGAAUCGGGACAUUCCAUAUGUAAAGGUGCUUUGGAGCAACCACGGGGAGCGGGAGGCCACGUGGGAGCUAGAGAGCGCGCUGCAGGAGCGCUAUCCCCAUCUUUUUUAGNGGCUCAUAUCUCCUGGCGCAUUUUUCCGUGCUCCCGAUCCAGCGCUUUGAAUCCUGAAUAUGGAUAUGAACUCAGUGUGCCAACUGUCCGCGCCGGAUUGGUUCAACAGAUCCUUAUAAUUCAUUUGUAUUAUUGUAGUUCAUUUGUAUUAUUGUAGUUCAUUUGCUACUUUCCCUGUUUUUUUCUUUUUGAUUUGAGGGUACAAAAUACAAAUGAUCUCCUCUCAUACUAGAGAACUUCAAUUUGGGAAGUCCAGUUUCUGCAGCUAUAGUAGAGUUGAACAGGUUCCAGAGUCCUGCUUCUCUACAAAGGAACAAAUUGUGCUUUACUUCGUCUUCUUCAUUCUUUACUUCAGUUAAAUUGUGGUGAUUUGGACUGAUGGCUUGCUUACUUGUACAGAUACUCAAAUGUUAAUUUGAUCCAUGUCAUUGAAGUUUUGCUGAUAUAUAGUUUUUAGUGUUUUUUUUUCAUCCAGGUUGAAUAUACAAAGGCCGAAGAAAGGUAAUGAUUCAUCUAGUCGCCAAUUUUACGGCACUUUCAUGGUAAAUUUCUUCUGUUUGUACAUUGCAUAAUUCAUAAUUCCCUCGAUCUUACUCAAGUUGUAAGGUUGUUAAUGUUCACUUCAUAAUUUGAUUUUAGUUUUUUAAUUAAAAUAAAGAGAACUUACACUGGUUUGACUAGGCCAAUAACUCUCACAUUUCCACAAUGCCAAGAAAUUUCUCCAUUGAUGAUUAAGAGAAGCUCUAGCAGUUGUUUUUGGAGGAAAAUAAAUUAUUGCAUUGUACAGCAGAUAGAUGCCUAAAACAAGCAAAAAUAUAUAUUUUUUUUUUCUAUUGAGGUAUCAUAUUUGAUCGAAGGCCACUUGUUUUGAUCUUUCUAAACUAGAUCUUUUACCUAUGUAAUGAUCCACAAGUUCUAGUUACAUGAGCUGCUUCAUCAAAGUAAUUUCACUGACAAUUUUAUCUCCAUGAGCAAGAGAAACUUAAUUUACAAGCAGAUCAAGGUCUGCGAAGGUUCAAUUACAAUGAAUGAAACUUAAAAAUGGGUUUGCUAGAACAAAUUUGAUUAUUUCCAAACCAAAAGCGGAAACAAACAAUUCCUAACUCCCGAAUCUGGCUGAAGUAAAAGAAUACCAUAUGUACAGGAAAAAUUAUAUGUCUGGAGAGAAAGCUUCCUUGAAGUAAUGAAGCAAACAAUGAUAUGCAAGGAACAGUCAUCUCACCAGCUUCCUUGAAGUAAUGAAGCAAACAUAAGGCUCAUGUAACAGACUUAGCAGGAUCAAACACAUAACAAACUUAGCAGGAUCAAACAUAUAACAUAGACUCUAUCAAACACAUAGCAGGAGUUAGCAGGAUCAAACACAUAACAUGCAAACAAUGUAAAGCAGGAUCAAACACAUAGCAGGAACAAACACAUAAUAAACCCCAGUAUCAGUAUUGGAAGUUAAGCUUCCUUUGAACAACUAAAGCUUGAUGACUUGAAAAGCACACAUAACAACAUCAAAAGCACACAUGACAACAUCUCCACCAUGAAGAACGCUCACGAAACCUUAUCGCUCUCUUCAAUAGUUGCAUCACAAGCUUUUUCUCCUGAUAAAAACUACAAUCAAAGAAUCCAAAAAUAUUAUAAGAUUGACUAAAUCACAUAAUAUUCAAUAUAAGUAGCUACAAAUAUCAUUUACGUCCCUGCAAGUUCGGAUAUUGUGGCCUUUCUUUUUACAGUGUUGGCAUGUUCUAGAUUUUUUCAUUGCCUUUUCAGCAGAAGGCUUAUAUCUUUGUGGCUUUCUUUUUCCUUUACAUUAGGAUUGCGAAGGAUCCUUCAACUUGACAAAUCCAACACUACUUGCUUGUGAAAAAAUAGUAGCCGUGUGAUGCUCCACAAUAUUUUCACUUUGAUCUUGUUUCUCUUUCAAUGAUUCAUAGAGCUUGAUAUUCUCAUCAACAAGUUUAUAGAUUUUCUCACAAGUCAUUUCAUAAUUCUAAAAAGUCUUGGAUGCCUCAAAUAAAAGUUUUUGCAUUUUUAGUGUAAGUGCAUUAAGUCUUGCUCCUUUUGCAUUUGAGGAGUCACCUGUUAACAUACUUUGAAAAUUAAUGCUUGAGGACCCUUUUUUUGCAUCUUUAGUCCACCGUUUUAUAAUAUAGUGGGAGGGAAUCUUAUGCAUUCGAACGUGAAGCAUAACUUUUAAUGCAUGUGAAUAUAAAAGGCUACUAAAAUCAAAAAAUUUGCAACUGCAACUCACUUUCUCCAUAGAUGGACUUGAAGUAACUAUAAAUGAGUUUAUACCUUGGGCGGGUAAGGUAGAGUUUUGUAUUGUGCUAAUAUUGUAGCAAUUGUUCUCCAACUCCGUCAAAUCAUAUCCUGUCGUCCAUCGAAAUUGAUUCUUAAAUUCUGAAAAUACUCGUUUUGUGUACACACUACGAGCUUGUAUUUCAAUAGGAUUAUGUGACCAUAAACUAGAUUCACCAUCUCUCGACCUAAAGUCUGCUUCAUCCUCCUUAUCAUAGCAACUACUAACCACCUUUCCAAAUUGUAUUACAAGCUUACAAACUGAUGUAUGAUUAUCCAUGAACAUUUUCGUUAGAGCAUUCAUACUCUCACUACGUUGUGAAGUGGUCAUUUCAGCAAAGAAUGUAUCUCUAAAGUAAGUAGGUACCCAUUGAUGUCGAGCAUUCCACAUAACAUGAAGGUGAUUGUUAUCUUGCAAUCCAUAUUUUUCAAUCAUUAUAAGCCAUCUACUUUCAAACUCUUCGACUGUUAUGCUAUCAUUAAUGCAUGAAAAUAACUCUUUUUUAAAACCUUCCUUCGUGCUAUAAAGGAUACCAAAAUAUUCUCGCGCUUUCCUCAUAAUGUGCCACUGACAACAUCUAUGCACCGUGUUUGGAAAAACUUGAUCGAUUGCUUUUCUCAUAGCUGGAUCUUGAUCAGUUAUGAUUGAUAUAAGGUGUUUCUCAUAAAUUGCUUGAAGCCAAAUUCUAAAUAACCAAACAAAAGUAUUGGAAGUUUCAUCCCUAAUAAGAGCACAACCGGAAAAUACCGACUAACGGUGAUGAUUUACUCCAAUAAAUGGAGCGAAAGGCAUGGAAUAUUUAUUUGUCAUAUAUGUUGUAUCAAAAGUAACAACAUCACCAAAAUUUUGAUAUGUCAUUCUCGAUCUCCCAUCUAUCCAAAAUACGUUGCGUACCAUGUUUUGCUCAUCAACCUCAAUAGCAUAAAAAAAAGAAGGAUCUCUAGCUUGACGCUCACGAAAAUAAUUGAUGGUACUGGAUAUAUCAAUCCCUUUAAAUCUUCGAUUCUAUUCAGAAAUCUCAUUACUUAGGUCCCUUCUAGUAAAGUUAAUAUUCUGUGCUCCUUCUCUUACUGCCAUAAAUGACAUAAUUUGAGUUGUUGAGAUAUUAUGCUCACUCAACAUAUGAAUUAUUUUUUUUUGUUUGGCUGUUAUUAAACGAUGAGACCGAAGAAAACGGGCUGUAGAGGGACUUGCAACUAAAGCAUGGUUAUGUUCCCUCACAAAUGCCAACAACUUCCCACUUGCCAUCAUUUGUCCUUUUUACCCUCAGAUGCGCCUUACAACCUGUUCGAGUGUACUGCAUCUGUUUUUUUGGUGUCCCUUUAUUCUCUUGAUCCCGAACUUUUGGUUUGUUGUGCCCUUCUUUAGAACAAACAUAGUGCAAAGUUGUAACUAUAUUAUCUUUUUUUUGGCUUUGUAGUGGGUAGCUUUUCUUAUGCUAAAGCUAGUUUUAUAGGCAUACAAAUUGUAAAAUCUCUUUACUUCUUCUUCAUUUUGAAGAAGUUGUCCAAUAAAUGGCUCAUGAUGUGAUGAUUCCAUGCUGCAUUGACUAAUAAAAUUUUUUUCUUGUUGGCUUUGUUUAUGCAUGAAAGAAUCAAAAUCUGUACUUUGAUUUAUCCCAAUAUCACUUGAGGGAUAUUCUGACUCUUCUCCAUAAUUGGAUCUAUUUUCUAGAGCAUCUAAAAAUGGAGAUUCAUAUUAUUCCUCACUAUUCAUCUAUUAAACAUCAUGAAAAUAAUAUAUUAUAAUUAACAUAAUAUUUUGCAUAAGGUAAUAUAUGUUAUUUUGUAUAUAGUUAAAAUUAAACAUGUAAAGAACAUUUAGAAAAGAGCAUGAUUUUUAUCAUCAACAUUCGAAUAUAUAUUUUUAAAAGAGAGGUGCACAGUAAAUUGAAACUUGAUAGGUGAGUGCCAAAAAAUAGAGUUUGUUAGGAAAUAGCUAACCUGAGAUGAUCCUUCAUGGUCGUCAAUUUCGUCUUGUGAUUCGGUAAUGCAGACGGGACUUGUUACAACAUUAUUUGCGACCAAAUCUUUUGAGUAGGAUGUGAUUUCUUUGUUCUUUGCCAUUUUCUGUGAAUAGUUUUACAAAUACAUAAAAACUAAAUAGAAAAAAAUGAUGGUAUUUAAAAUAAGAUCUAAUAUUAAUAUUAAGAUGAAACAACAGAAACUUCCUCCUCUCCUUUAUCGCAUCUGUUCUGAUAUAAUUAAUUUUCAAGGGCUAAUUUAGUGGGGUUGUUGGUUCGCAUGAUGCAUGAUGCGCAGGUAAUCUUGUCUUGCUACUUUGCUGUAUCAUCCUCUAAAUAUUCACAUUUUUUUAAAAAGAAAUUUGAAAAUUUAACUAUGUACCUUAGAUCAGAGCUAAGAAUAAUAUUAGUAGGCAUACGUGGAAAUAAUUGUUUAGUUCCCAAGCCAAUCCAUAUUUGUAUAUAGUAGACUCGUUACAACAGAAGUGUUGGGAUAAAAAUGUUGGGAACAAAAUGUUGGGGACAAAAUUUUAAUUAAAAAUAGAAACACUAAAAUUUUUUUAAAAAAAAUUUCAAAGCUCACCUUUUACAGCGCUAUUCCUACAGAUCGAAUGAGAGAUUGAGCGAGAGAUCGAAAGGCUACUUCUCACAGGUGCCUCCAGGUUAUGCUAAUCCUCCAGAUCGAACGAUAAAUCGAAAAGCCGCGCCGAGGGAUGGCGAGUCAGAGGCGAGAGGGCGUGAGGAUGGGCCUGGACCUUCUACAACGCUACUCCUGCAGAUCGAGCGAGAGAGGGCGUGAGAGGGGGUUGCGGGUCGGAGUCGAUAGGGCGUGAGAAGGGGUGGCGGGUCGGAGGCGAGAGAGCGUGAGAGAGGGUGGCAGGUCGGAGGCGAGAGGGCGUGAGGAUGGGCCUGGAGCGAGGGAGCGAGGGAGCAAAAGAAAGGCGAGGAACGGAGGAAGGCGAGGAGAGAUAGGGAAAAGUUGGGAAAUGGAGAGGGGAGAGAGAGAGAGAGGGGCAAAAAGUUGAGAUCGAGUUUGGGUUCCCCCCAAAUUUUUCCCUGUUCGAACGGGAAGGAAACGGCGCUCCGUUAGCACUAAUUGUCGCUGCAUUCUUCCCCUCAUCUGCAUGGAUCGCGAAGCAAUCCGACGGCUACAAAAUCGGUAGCAACAAUGGUGUUUUGCUACUAAUAGUAGCCCAGUUCUACUAUAUAUAUAUAUAUAUAUAUAUAUAUAUAUAUAUCUCGACGAAUGAGGGCAUCAAAUCGGUCCGGUGUCCGAAAACCUCCUUAGUAAAUUCGCUUCGCAUAGAUGAGCCGAAUGAACAGGGGGCCUAUAUUCGGCUGAGAGAUGAGCCGAAUAGCGUAGGACAAAAACGGAAUCUGGUCGGCCUGAGGAGCCGAAAACGACUUUCUAUUAAUGGAAGGGAGUGAUGCCCGUGAGGGCAGACAGACUCCGAGGUGUUUACAAGGGAGUGAUGCCCCGAGGCAGACAGACUCGCAAGGUGUUUACAAUAAUGAUGCCCGGAAGGCAGCAGACUGCCAAGAGGCUAAGUUACAAGAACUACUCCUAGGCAAAAGCGAGAAAUGCAGGGAAAAAAGGUGGUCUUUUGUGCCAGGGGCGAAGACCCGUUUUCAGGGUACUACAGGCCUAUUUAUAUAUUUUCCCCUUGUGUUCAGUUAUUGCACGAUCGCCAACCUCUCUCGGCGAUUUGGAGGACCAUGUUCGGCCGAGUUGGAACUGCCGUUGGACCCGCCCAUAACCGCUUGCGGUUGUCACUUGUUCGAACAAACGUGGCUCAUAUCUCCUGGCGCAUUUUUCCGUGCUCCCAGAUCCAGCGCUUUGAAUCCUGAAUAUGGUGAUAACGUCGUGUGCCAACUGUCCGCCGCCGUUGGUCAACAGAUCCUUAUAUUCGAUUUGUAUUAUUGUCGCUAGUUCUGUAUAGUUCAUGCUACUUUUCCCGGUUUUUCUUUUUGAUUUGAGCGCUACAAAAUACAAAUGAUCAUCCUCUCAUACUAGAGAACUUCAUGGGAGUCCAGUUCGCCAGCUAUAGUAAUUGAACAGGUUCAACAGUCCUGCGUUUCUACAAAGGAAACAAAUAUGUGCUUUACUUCAGUUUCUUCAUUCUUUACUUCAGAUUAAAUUGUCGGUGUUUGGACUGAUGCUUGCUUACGUUGUACAGAUACUCCAAUGUAUAAUUAUGAUCCAUGUCAUUGAAGUUUUGCUGAUAUAUAGUUUUUAGUGUUUUUUUUUCAUCAGGUUGAAUAUACAAAAGGCCGAAGAAUUUUAUGAUUCAUCUAGUCGCCAAUUGGUACGGCACUUUCAAUGUCUUGUUUGCUACAUUAAUUCAUAAUUUCCUCGAUCUUAUCAAGUUGUUAAUCAUUAAUGAUUUUUAAUUAAAGGAAAGAGAAUUACUUUUUAGGCCAAUAACUCUCAAAUUUCCACAAUGCUAAGGAAAUUCAUCCAUUGAUGAUUAAGAGAAGCUCUCUAGCAGUUGUUUUGGAGGAAAAUAAUUAUUGCAUUGUACAGCAGAUAAGAUGCCUAAAACAAGCAAAAUAUAUAUUUUUUUUUCCUAUUGAGGUAUCAUAUGUUGAUCGAAGGCACUUGUUUUGAUCUUUCUAAACUAGAUCUUUACCUAUGUAAUGAUCACAGUUCUAGUUGACAAUGAGCUGCUCAUCAAAGUAAUUUCAACUGACAAUUUAUCUCCAUUGAGCAAUGAGAAACUUAAUUAUACAAGAGAUCAAUGGUCUGCGAAGGUUUCAAUUACAAUGAAUGGCAAACUUAAAAUGGGUUUGCUAGAAUCAAAUUUGAUUAUUCAAACUAAAAGCGGAACAAAACAAUUCCUAACUCCCGAAUCUGCUGAAGUAAAAGAAUACCAUAUGUUACAGGAAAAAUAAUAUGUCUGGAGAUUCAAACCUGUCCUUGAAGUAAUGAAGCAAACAAUGUAUGCAAGAACAGUAUCUCACCAGCUUCCUUUGAAGUAAUGAAGAAACAUAUAAGCCUCAUGUAACAGACUUAGCCAGGAUCAAAACACAUAAAACUUAGCAGGAUCAAAACAUAAUAAAUAGAACUCUUAUCAAACAAUAGCAGGAGUUAGCAGGAUCAUAACACAAUAACAUGCCAAACAAUGUAAAGCCAGUUAAACACUAGCAGGAACAAACACAUAAUAGAACCCAGUUUAGUAUGGAAGUUGUAAGCUUCCUUUUGAACAACUAAAGCUUGAUGACUGAAAGCCCCACAUAACAACAAUCAAAAGCAACAUGACAACAUCUCCACAUGAAGACGGCUCAACGAAACCUUAUGCUCUUGUCAAAUUAGUUGCAUCACAGCUUUUUCUGCCUGUGAUUAAAAACUACAAUCAAUAGAAUCCAAAAAUAUUAUAAAUUGACUAUACAUAAAUCAUCAAAUAAGUAGCUAACAAUAUCAUUUAGCGUCCCUUGCAAGUUCGGAUUUGUGGCCUUUUUUUACUAAGUUGUGGCAUGUUUAGCUUUUUUCACUGCUUUUUUCAGCAGAAGGUUAUAUCUUUGCUGCUUUUCUUUUGUCUUUACCAUUUAGGAUUGCGAGAGGAUCCUUCAACUUGAAACAACCCAACACUAAUUUGUGAAUAAAAUAGUAGCGGUGAUGCUCCACUAUUUUUCACUUUGAUCUUGUGUUCUUCUUUUUAAAGAUAUGAGCUUUGAUAUUCUCAUCAACAAAGUUAUAGAUUUUCUCACAAGUCAUUUCAUAAUUUAAAAAGUCUUGGAUGCCUCAAAUAAAAGUUUUGCAUUUUUAGUGUAAGUGCAUUAAGUCUUGCUUUUUGCAUUUGAGGGAGUCACCUGUAACAUACUUUGAAAAUUAAUGCUUGAGGACCCUUUUUUUGCAUCUUUAGUCCACCGUUUAUAAUAUAGUGGGAGGGAAUUUAUGCAUAUCGAACGUGAAGUCUAACUUUUAAUGCAUUGUGAUAUUAAAAAGGCGGGGGAUACAAAUCAAAAAUUUUGCAACUCAAUUCACUUUCUCAAUAAGAUGGACUUGAAUAAACUAUAAAUGCAGUUUUAUUACUUGGUGCGGGUAAUGUAGAGUUUUGUAUUGUGCUAAUAUUGUUUAGCAAUUGUUCUCAUACCGUCAAAUCAUAUGCUGUCGUACAUCGAAUAUUGAUUUUAAAUUUCUGGAAAAUAUCAUUUUUGUUAUACACACUACUUACCUUGUUUUUAAUAGGAUUAUGUGGACCAUAAACUAGAUUCACAUCUCUUCAACUAAAGUCUGAUCCUCCUUAUAUAGCAACUACUAACCACUUUCCAAUUGUUAUACAAGUUACAUACUAAUGUAUGAUUAUCCAUGAUCAUUUUUCAGUUAGAGUAUUCAUCUCUCACUACGUUGUGAAGUUGGUCAUUUUAGCAAAGAAUGUAUCUCUAAAGUAUAGUAGGUACCUGACUUGCAUUCUCUAAUUGAAUGGUGAUUUGUAUCUUGUAUCCAUAUUUUUCAAUCAGUAUAAGCCAUCUACCUUUUCAAACUCUUCGACUGUUAUGACUAUGCAUAUAAUGCAUGAAAUAACUCUUUUUUAAACCUUCCUUCUCUGCUAUAAAGGAUACCAAAUAUGUCUCGCGCUUUCCUCAUAAUGUGCCACUGACAACUCUAUUGUGUGUUGGAAAACUUCGAUCGACUUGCUUCUUCUCUAGCUGGAUGCUUGAUCAGUAUGAUUGAUAUAAGGUGUUUCUCAUAAAUUGGCUUGAAGCCAAAUUCUAAAUAAGCCAAACAAAGUUAUUGAAGUUUCUCCUUAAUAAGAGCACAAACCGCCGAAAUAUGUUGAUAGCCGAAUUUCCCGAUGCCUUGACCCUCCUCGGGAAGUGUGUCGGGGUGGAAAUCGGCUGUUGAUAGUGACCCUCGAAGUUUGCGCCCACGACGGGUCAAGCGAUUCGACCGAUGAGGGAUCAAAUCGGUCGGGUCCGAAAACCUCCUUAGUAAAUUCGCUUCGGCAAGAUGAGCCGAAUGAACAGGUGGGGCCUAUAUUUCNAUAUAUAUAUAUGUGGCAAUAACCUGAGUAGGUUAAUUAUAAUUCCUGGUUAGGAAUCAUUAUAGUUAACUUACAGAAAGUGUUUGAGUUAUAGAAUCUUAGAUGCUAGUGUUGAUAGUUGCCAUGAAAGCCUAAACAAAGCUCUAUGUUAGCAACAUAUGUGAGUUUUGGGUUAAUUAUGGAGGUUAUAGAAACAUGAGUAGAGUUUGAAUUUGAUCUUUUGUAUUCCUCAAUGAAGGAAAAUUCGAUGUGUUCGGAAGCUUAAAUUGGUAUUCCGAUGAGCCUAUGGCAAGCUAGUGAGGAAAAACUUCAUUUUAGCUUCAUUUGUCAUGAGCAAGGGUUGUGAUCGUUCAUAAAUCACGGAAAGUGGUUUUCUCGCAUCUCGGCAUCAUUGAAAGGUGGGUGGUGUUUUCCGAAGUCAUCGAAUGACCUAUUAUGUUUAUGCUACUUUUCUUGAGCAUAUAUGUACAUGUUAGUUGAUAUUCAUGCAUUAUAGGGUUGAGCUUGAUAUGUGAUUGGACAUAGUUUACUUGUAUGCUUUGGAAGCAAAAUCCAUGUGGACAAUAGUUAGUAAACAUAGAACCCAAUAGAUGUAUGAACUUGUGUUGGACUAUGAAAUAGUUAGCAAAGUGACAUUGAUAGUAAAUGGCAUGAAUAGCACCGAGUAUUAUGAAUGCUAAACAAGGAUAAUGAACUUGUAUUAUGUGUGGCAUUAGAACUAGAUGAAGAUUAGCAUCUAGAAUUGGACUUAUAAACCUAGCAUAAAGAGCUAGUUAAAGUGUGGCAUUGUCAGCCAGUGUAUCCUCUAAGUAAGGAUUGAAAUUAUACUCACAUUAGUCUAAUGCUCGAGGUAAAGGUCGCUCUUCUUGGGCGAUGUGUUCCGGAGUUGUCAUCAACUCGGUUGGUAAGCGGAGUUCUCCCCUGUCACGCCCCGAGCCCGGUCCUAUCUGGCUGAUUCGAGCGCGUCGAACAGACGCUGAACGGACAGAGCCUCCCCUGUUCGUCUAAGGCUCAACAACCUGUACAAAUAGAGUACCAACUUGCACAUGCGGAAACAAACAUAAUGGCUUGCACGAGGACAAACAAUAGCCAAAGUGAAAGAGCUAACUAAUCACAUACAAGUACUAUGAUUAAAUUUAAAUCGCAGAUUUAAACACUUACAUUCUUUUUCAUCAUUUUUUUUACAUCUCAUAUCUCCAAAAUAUAACAUUUGAUAUUAAGUAAAUUCUUUUACAUCAUUCAUGUCCUUUCAUAUAACAACUAUAAUCAUCGAAAUACAAAAGAUGGUAUAUCAAAGGGGUAUGCAACUAUGAAAAUAAAACAUCACGGGCAGUCUCUACCUAGGGCGCGAUGCCCUUACCGCGAUCGUCAGCCGGCUCGCUCGGUCCCGGCUCUGUGGAAAUAGUGGGGUGAGAACUACAACAAAGUUCCCAGUGGGUUCGGCAACCAACCACGCCGACUUUCCCACUAGGUCUAAUCAGGCAUAAUAGAAUAGAAGAAAGAAAGUAACCAACUAACAAAUGCAACUAAUAUGCCUGAACAAUAUAAAAUGCGAUGCUCGAUAUAAUGCUCAUGAUGAAUGCAAGAUCACAGUUCCUUUACCCAAUCUCUUGGCUAACCCGUAAGUUUCGCCCUUAAUAGACUCACGAACCCAAAAUCCUAAUAAUCGGGGAGAUACCCGCUACACCCGAUAGGACCGUCCUCUGGGGAGAUACCCGCUAUGACCCAGUGAUGACAACUCCGGAGCUCAUCGCCUGAAGGGGAGCUACCACCCUCGAGCAAGGACUAAAGGUGAGUACGAUAAAUCCUACAUUGAGGAUUCCAAGUUCAGUUCAUUCCUUAACUUUAAGGAAGACCAUGCUCAUAUGACCAUUAACUCUAAGGUUGAAAUGUCAUAAUCUCUCAAUCAUUUUUUUCCUUGCGUUCUUUACUAUCGCUAGUAUCAUAUACACUACUAUAUUCUUGGACUCAUGCCACACUUGCUUUUUAAGUAUUAUGUUCUUGAUUCAUGCCACACUUGUUUUCUAAGUGUUCAAGACUCAUCAAUGUCACUCACUAGAUCUAUGUCAAGGUGUCACUUUUGUUCACUAAACCUUCUAGGUUCUUGUCACUUGUCAUGCAUAAAUAGGGUUUACAAUUCUCACAUUCUUACAAGUAUUUCACAUGAAAUUAAAAUCACAAUCAUGCCCUAAAAGCUUCCAAUUAACCCUACUAUGCAACAUGCUCAAUAUAUACAUAUAUGUUCAAACAUGACACUUUAGACAUAAAGGGAUUUCCGAGGUCCUUGGAAUGCACCACCCACCUCUAACAGUUGCAGGGAUGCUACGGUGAAUUUCUUGAAAUUUUUGAAGCCCUACUCCGCGUGGUGCGGUGAUCUGUUACAUAACGAAGCCAAAUUAGGCUUUUUAUUCAAUAACUUUGCGUACACUCAUCGGAUUGUCGAACCGAGCGCACCAACGCGUUUAAAAUACCCUCAAUUAGGUUUCUACAUGAUUAAAAUAGAUCAAAAUCUAACUUAGGCAAAACCCCUCUUUGGGAUGCCCUAACAUAGCAUCUAUUAAAUCCUAGGUUUUGAUCUCUUGUACAAGCAAAAGAGAGCUUGUUGAAGUAUUAGGAACUAAGUUAGAACCUUCCCAAACCAUUUCUAGGGCAUCUAAAACAAACCCUAGGAGUUCACCAUGAGAGGACCUUGAGCUUCCAUGGAUUUUCAUGGAGCUCAAGCCUCUAGAGGGUUCCUACACUUAGUUAGACGUCCACAACCCAAACCCUAGGGUAUAAAACUAAACCCUAACAUUAAGUUUUCAUAAAAACCUUACCUUAACCAAAGCUAUCCCAAGUCCUCCUUGUAGGAGAGCUUCUAAAGCCUUCAAAGCCUCCAAAACCCAAGUUUUCUCCUUCCAAUCUCAUCCAACUCCACCUCUUGGAGAGCUCUCUAGAGAGAGAAAGUGAGAGAAAUGAGAGAGGGAGAGUGUAAGGGUGUUUGGCUGUGAGGGGAGGUGUUUGGGGUAUAUUACAUGUUGUAACAAUAGCAACUAAGCCCACCAAAAAUUCUUAUUUGUAGCAGACUUCAAACUGCUGUCGGGGCCAGUUUGUACCGGUACACUUUGGUGUUACCGGUUACACGACUGUGAGAGGCCAAACCAAAGAGCAGAUCUCUCGGUUUCGCAGGUUUUGUAUCGGUACACUUGAUUUGUAUCGGUACACUUUCAACCAGAAUCAAACCCGAGAGCUCUAUCUCUCAGUCUGCGUAUCUGUACCGGUACAGAUACGCCCAUGUACCGGUACACUUGCUCCAGACUUGGUUUUUGGCUCCGACUCGACUCCACUUCGCCCCGCUUGAUGCCAAAACCAUUCUAACUUCUUUAGAACUCAUUUUUAGCCCUUUCAAUUUUGUUGAAAUGCUAAAUGGAACUCGCCCAACCAUUACUUUCGACAUUUUAACCAAUUUGGUUAAAAUUUCGAUUAUCGCUUUCGGGUUUCGAUAUGUUACAUUCUCCACCCCUUAAAAUUUGUUUCGUCCGCGAAACUAUUUAAUUGAAAUCUAGAUUCAUACCUCAAUCCAGAUUCUCGAAGAGAUGGGGAUAUUGCUCUCUCAUUGAGCUCUCAAGCUCCCAAGUAGCUUCCCGAUCGUCGUGGUUGCACCAACGAACCUUAACAUACGGAAUCUCCCGGUUUCGUAGCUUUCUUACCUCCCUAUCAAUAAUGUACGCCGAGAAUUCCUCAUUAGUCAUAUCCUCUUGAAUCUCGGACGGUUCAAACGAGAGAAUAUGCUCGGGAUCGUGCACAUACUUGCGGAGAUUUGACACGUGAAACACAUCGUGCACUCCCACCAGUCUCGGCGGUAAAGCUAACUUGUAGGCCGCCGCGCCAACCCGCUCCAAUAUCUCGAAUGGUCCAAGGUACCAGGGACUUAGUUUCCCCCGAACUCCAAACCAUUUAAUUCCCUGCAUCAGCGAUACUUUUAGGAACACGUGGUCUCCAACGGCAAACUCUAUAUCUUUCCUCCGUUUGUCAGCAUAGUUCUUUUGUCGUGAUUGCGUCGUAGCAAGUCGUUGGCGGGCGAGGCGAACUUUCUCCUCCGCCUCCCGAACUGCAUCGGGGCCGAGAGCCACUCUCUCGCCCACAUCGCUCCAAUGGAUUGGAGAGCGACAUUUCCUUCAAUAAAGGGCCUCGCAUGGCGCCAUCGCGAUACUCUCUUGGUAACUGUUAUUGUACGCGAACUCCGCCAUUGGUGGAUGAUCAUGCUAAUUGCCCUUGUAAUCAAGUACACACGCUCGAAGCAUAUCCUUAAGUAUUUUUAUCGUCCUCUCCGAUUGACCAUUAUUUGAGGAUGAAAUGCCGUGCUAAAGUCGAGCCGCGUGCCCAAUGCCUCCUGUAGGCUCCUCCAAAAGUGAGAUGUAAAUCUUGGGUCCCGAUCCGAUACGAUAGACACGGGCACUCCAUGAAGUCUCACAACCUCGUCGAUAUACACUUGAGCCAACUUGUCCCCCGACCAUGUAAUAUGAAUCGGUAGGAAAUGCGCCGACUUCGUCAACCGGUCCACUAUAACCCAAAUUGCAUCGUGCCCACCUUGAGAUCGUGGCAAUCCCGUCACAAAGUCUAUAGCGAUAUUCUCCCAUUUUCAAACGGGUAUAGGUAAGCUUUGUAAUUUCUCCACAGAAAACCGCCGCUCCGCUUUUACUUGUUGGCAAGUAAGACAUUGCGCAACAAACUCCCCAAUGUCUUUCUUCAUACCCGGCCACCAAUAGUGCAAUUUCAGAUCUUGAUACAUUUUGGUGCCGUCCGGGUGAUACUAUAAGGAGAUUGAUGCGCCUCUUGCAUAAUUGCUUUGCGGAUGUCCUUAUUCUUAGGUACACACCGACGAUUUCGAAAUCAAAGUGUGCCGUCGGUCCCAAUGCCAAAAUCAUCGGCACUACCGCUCUCAACUUCACUACGCACCUUUUGGAGAUACUUGUCGGAAGUUUGCAACUCCUUUAUCCUCUCCAACAAGGUCGGUUGAACAACCAACGCCGCAAGUGUAGCUGACACUCCUACCGCUACUACUUCCAAUCCAAGCCGUUGCAUCUCUUUUUGCAAUAAUGGUUGGGGUGUAAUAGCCGAAGCCAAGUUUUUCCCCAAUUUUCUACUAAGUGCAUCGGCCACGACAUUUGCUUUCCCCGGGUGAUAUAGUAUAGUGAUGUCAUAAUCUUUCAAUAACUCUAACCACCACCAUUGUCGCAUAUUCAAUUCCUUCUGGGUGAACAAGUACUUAAGGCUCUUAUGAUCUGUAUAGAUCUCACAAUGUUCACCAUACAAGUAGUGCCUCUAUAACCUUAGCGCGAAGAUAACCGCCGCUAACUCGAGGUCGUGAAUCGGAUAGUUCUUUUCAUAAUUCUUCAAUUGGCGCGUAACCCGCCUAUUUUCCAUCAAGACACACCCGAUACCGACAUAGGAAGCAUCACUGUAUACAACAAAGGUCUCCCCCAGCGUCGGUAGAGCAAGCACCGGGGUCGUUGUCAACCUUUCCUUUAGCUCUUCGAAGCUCCGCUCGCAUUCGGGACUCCAAAUAAACUUUACUCCCUUGUGUGUGAGGCGCAUUAGCGGAGUGGUUAUUUUAGCGAACCCCUCCACGAACCGCCGAUAGUAGCACGCUGGCCCAAGAAAACUGCGGACCUCCGAUACGCUCGUCGGGCGAGGCCAAUCUUUAAUUGCCUCCACUUUCUUCGGGUCAACCGAGAUACCAUUACCCGAAAUCACAUGACCAAGGAAAGUGACCUCCGAUAGCCAAAAGUCGCAUUUCUUCAAGUUGGUAUAAAGCUUCUAUUUUCGGAGUAUUUCCAAUACGGUCCUCAAGUGCUCCUCGUGUUCUUCCUCGGUCCGAAAAUAUACCAAUACGUCGUCAAUGAAUAUCACGAUGCACCGGUCCAAUAGCGGACGGAAGACCCUAUUCAUUAAGUCAUGAAUGCCGCCAGGGCGUUGGUAAGCCCAAACGGCAUUACCGUGAACUCGUAAUGGCCAUACCGCGUAUGGUACGCUGUUUUGUGCACAUCCUCAGGCCGUAUCUUCAACUGGUGAUUCCCCGACUGAAGGUCUAUCUUGGAAUACACCUUUGACCCUUGCAACUGAUCGAAUAAGUCAUCAAUUCUCGGCAACGGGUACUUGUUCUUAACUGUGACCUUGUUCAAUUCGCGGUAAUCCACGUAGAGUCGAAGUGUGCCAUCUUUCUUUUUAACAAAUAGCACCGGAGCUCCCCAAGGUGACACGCUCGGCCUCACAAAGCCUUUAUCGAGCAAGUCUUGCAACUGUGCCUUUAAUUCCUUUAGCUCCGCCGGUACCAUUCUAUACGGAGCCUUCGAAAUUGGCGUCGCCCCGGGUACCUAGUCAAUAACGAACUCGAUCUCCUGGUCCGAUGGCAAUCCCGGUAACUCCGCCGAAAAUACAUCCGGAAACUCGCACACUACCCGAAUACCACUAAGUUCCGGAUGCUUCUUUUGGGCUUCUACCAUUGUCGCCAAGUAGGCUACACAUCCACCUUUUAUCAUUUUUCUCGCCCUCGCCGCCGAUAUGGUCGCAUCGAAGCACAAGCUUUUACAUGCCUGAUAUACUAACUCCUCUUAGUUAGGCUCACGGAAUGUAAUCACCUUACUUUCACAGUCUAUUACGGCAUAAUACUUGGAGAGCCAGUUGAUCUCCAAGAUUACGUCAAAGCCCCACAUCUGUUUCAACACCAAUAGGUCUAUCGGCAUGACCCAGUCACCAAUCUGUACUGGGCACGCCAAACACUCGUUAUGAACAUGAAACGAGUGUUCGGGAGUAUUCACUGACCAAUAAUCCUCGUUAUGCACAAUCUCAAUGCCAUGAGUUCUAGCGAAUGAUGCACCUAUGAAUGAAUGCGAUGCACCUGUGUCGAAUAAAGCUCUAGCUCUAAUGCCAUGGAUCGAGAUAAUACCUGCCACGACAUCGUCGGGAACUGCGAUCGGCUCCUCCACCUGAGUGGCAAAAAUCCGCCCACUCGGUGCUCUCAAUGCCUCCGGCUGAAGCGAUGCAGAUGAGCGUCCCGCCGACAUAGCUGGUGGUAACCCCACAAGCUGUCUCGGGGUCGACGGAACUGAUGCCGAGAUCGGUGCAGAUGAACCACGGCUCGGGCACUCCCGUGACAAGUGCCUCGGUUGGCCACACUUAAAGCACUUUCCCUCGCGCUGCGGGCAUGCCGGCGGUUGAUGGUUGCCGCUGUAGAUAACACAAUAGGAUGCCCUCCAAUCUCUCGACUAUUGUCGGGGAUACUGAAGGGGUUUCUUUGCAUUCGACCGACCCCCGAUGCCACCCGCCGCCCGCUUCUUGCUCUUGUCCUUUGCCUCGGCUGCGGACUCGCGCUCCUCGCGUUUGUGGGCAUAGCCAUGCUCCGCCCACAAGACUCGAUCAAAGACCUCAGUAAAGGUCGUCAGCUUGAGGAUUUGCACGGUCCUAUAGAUCCCCGGCCGAAGUCCUCGCAAGAACCAAUCGGCCCAGUCCCGGUCAUCUCGAACAACAUCCGGGACACAGUCGAUGAGGUGGGAGAACUUCUGCUCGUAGUCUGCCACCGAGCGAUCUCCCUGUCUCAACUUGUAGAAUUUCUCUUGCAACUUCCGCUUCACGGUGUCAGAAAAGUAGUUGGCGAACACCGCCCUCUUGAACUCCUCCCACAUCAUAGGCGGAAGAUCGGGAGACCGAUCCCGCCGCACCCGCUUCCACCACACCAUCGCCGCCUUCUCGAGGUAAUGUGUGGCUAGGUACACCUUGUCCUUCUCCAAGGUGUUCAGAUCCUCAAAUAGCUUCUCUAUGGAGUCGAUCCAUUACUCCACCACCGCCGGUUCCACCACCCCCCCUUCGAAGAUAGGUGGGUGGAACUACUGGAAUUGAAUCAGGGCUACCAACGUGCGCUCCUGCUCCGCCUCUUCCACAGUACUGUCGGAAUUUGAGGUUCCCGAACCGGCUGGUAUCGCCGUGACUGGUACGGCCGCGACUGGCGCCGCCGCCGCCGCUACUCCCUCUACCAUCGUCGGUACCACAACAGGGGGCGCAGGGUGUUCGGCCCCCACUUGAGCGGCCGUCGCCUGCUGUCGCUCCAACGCCUCCUGGAGCCUAUGGAUUUGCUCCCCUUGACGCUGAACAGACUCCGCUUGCUGCCGCACUACGUCAAUCAGCGCGGCCAUCUGCUCCCGAAGCUCCCCGUCGCCACCCGCUCCAGGUUGCACAGAAGCCGCUCUCGAUUCCUCGGACAUCGACCUUGUUCGCGGUCGUUCACGAGGUCAAGGUGCCAUUGCUUCCUGUAACAAAGCAAUUUACAUUAGUUACUUAACCAAUAUACUCAAACUUACCGAAUCCGGCGAAAGCAAUAAGUGUAUUUAUUUUCAUUCCGAAGCAUCAUGUCGUCGGCCGCCGAUCACAACACAAGAAAAAGAAAACAAACAUCAACUUAAAUUUAGUCCCUAACCACAUUAGAGACAUAUUAACAUUAACCCAAUCCAAGCUUUCGCUAUUGUUUAGUUCCACGUUACUCACAUUUCCUAGAUCCUUAAGGUUAUUCUAAUCCUAAAGGUCUCUAGGUCCAUCCUAUACUUUCGCCUUCUAGUUCUUUACGCUCUAAUACCAUUAUAUCUGUCAUGCACUGAACCCGGUCCUAUUUGGCAGGUUCGAGCGCGUCGAAUAGACGUCGAACGGACAGAGCCUCCCCUGUCCGCCCAAGGCUUAACAACCUGUACAAAUAGAGUACCAACUUGCACAUGCGGAAGCAAAUAUAAUGGCUUGCACGAGGACAAGCAAUAGCCAAAGUGAAAGAGCUAACUAAUCACAUACAAGUACUAUGAUUAAAUUUAAAUCACAUACUUAAACACUUACAUUCUUUUUCAUCAUUUCUUUUUACAUCUCAUAUCUCCAAAAUAUAACAUUUAAUAUUAAGUAAAUUCUUUUACAUCAUUCAUGUCCUUUCAUAUAACAACUAUAAUCAUCAAAAUACAAAAGAUGAUAUAUCAAAAGGGUAUGCAACUAUGAAAAUAAAACAUCUCGGGCGGUCUCUGCCUAGGGCGCGAUGCCCUUACUGCGAUCGUCAGCCCCUCGCUCGGUCCCGGCUCUGUGGAAAUAGUGGUGUGAGAACUACAACAAAGUUCCCAGUGGGUUCGGCAACCAACCACGUCGACUUUCCCACUAGGUCUAAUCAGGCAUAAUAGAAUAGAAGAAAGAAAGUAACCAACUAACAAAUGCAACUAAUAUGCCUGAACAAUAUAAAAUGCGAUACUCGAUAUAAUACUCAUAAUGAAUGCAAGAUCACAAUUCCUUUACCCAAUCUCUUGGCUAACCCGUAGGUUUCACCCUCAACAGACUCACCAGCCCAAAAUCCUAAUAAUCGGGGAGAUACCCGCUAUACCCGAUAGGACCGUCCUCUGGGGAGAUACACGCUAUGAUCCAGUGAUGACAACUCCGGAGCUCAUCGCUCGAGGGGGGAGCUACCACCCUCGAGCAAGGACUAAAGGUGAGUACGAUCAAUUCUACAUUGAGGAUUCCAAGUUUAAUUCAUUCCUUAACUUUAAGGAAGACCAUGCUCAUAUGACCAUUAACUUUAAGGUUGAAAUGUCAUAAUGUCUCAAUCAUUUUUUUUCUUGCGUUCUUUACUAUCACUAGUAUCAUAUACACUACUAUAUUCUUGGACUCAUGCCACACUUGCUUUCUAAGUGUUAUGUUCUUGACUCGUGCCACACUUGUUUUCUAAGUGUUCAAGACUCAUCAACCCUUCUAGGUUCUUGUCACUUGUCAUGCAUAAAUAGGGUUUACAAUUCUCACAUUCUUAAAAGUAUUUCACAUGAAAUUAAACUCACAAUCAUGCCCUAAAAGUUUCUAAUUAACCCUACUAUGCAACAUGCUCAAUAUAUACAUAUAUGUUUAAACAUGACACUUUAGACAUAAAGGAAUUUUCGAGGUCCUUGGAAUGCACCACCCACCUCUAACAGUUGCAGGGAUGCUACGGUGAAUUUCUUAAAAUUUUUGAAACCCUACUCCGCGUGCUGCGGCGAUCUGUUACAUAACGAAACCAAAUUAGGCUUUUUAUUCAAUAACUUUGUGUACACUCGUCGGAUUAUCGAACCGAGCGCACCAACGCGUUUAAAAUACCCUCAAUUAGGUUUCUACAUGAUCAAAAUAGAUCAAAAUCUAACUUAGGCAAAACCCCUCUUUGGGAUGCCCUAACAUAGCACCUAUUAAAUCCUAGAUUUUGAUCUCUUGUACAAGCAAAAAAGAGCUUGUUGAAGCAGUAGGAACUAAGUUAGAACCUUCCCAAACCAUUUCUAGGGCAUCUAAAACAAACCCUAGGAGUUCACCAUAAGAUGACCUUGAGCUUCCAUGGAUUUUCAUGGAGCUCAAGCCUCUAGAGAGUUUCUACACUUAGUUAGAGGUCCAAAACCCAAACCCUAGGGUAUAAAACUAAACCCUAACCUUAAGCUUUCAUAAAAACCUUACCUUAGCCAAAGCUAUCCCAAGUCCUCCUUGUAGGAGAGCUUCUAAAGCCUUCAAAGCCUCCAAAACCCAAGUUUUCUCCUUCCAAUCUCCGCCAACUCCACCUCUUGGAGAGCUCUCAAGAGAGAGAAAGUGAGAGAAAUGAGAGAGAGAGAGUGUAAGGGUGUUUGGCUGUGAGGGGAGGUGUUUGGGGUAUAUUACAUGUUGUAACAAUAGCAACUAAGCCCCCCCAAAAAUUCUUAUUUGCAGCAGACUUCAAACUGCUGUCGGGCCUAGUUUGUACCGGUACACUUUGGUGUUAUCGGUUACACGACUGUGAGAGGCCAAACCAGAUAGCAGAUCUCUCGGUUUCGCAGGUUUUGUACUAGUACACUUGAUUUGUACCGGUACACUUUCAACCAGAAUCAAACCCAAGAGCUCUAUCUCUCAGUCUGCGUAUCUGUACCGGUACAGAUACGCCCAUGUACUGGUACACUUGCUCCAAACUUGGUUUUUGGCUCUGACUCGACUCCACUUCGCGCCGCUUGAUGCCAAAACCAAUCUAACUCCUUUAGAACUCAUUUUUAGCCCUUCCAAUUUUGUUGGAAUGCUAAAUGGAACUCGCCCAACCAUUACUUUUGACAUUUUAACCAAUUUGGUUAAAAUUUCAAUUAUCUCUUUCGGGUUUCGAUAUGUUACAUUCCCAGUAGUCAGUCCUGUCAGGUUGGUAGCGAAAUUCUCCCCGACGAAAAGGGAUUUAGUUUGUGAGUUGUAGUUAGUUAACCACAGGGGUUAACUAAGUUGCUUGGAUAAUGGUAUGGUAUAUGAUAGCAUGCAUGCAUAAACUACAUGAGUUAUAUAUUAUUCUCUUCAGCUUUGUACAGGCAUUGUAGUAGUUACAUUUACAUUUGGUUACUAUCUGUUUACCUUUCUUGCCUACAUAUGCCUGAGUAAACCUAGUGGGUAAGUUGGCGAGGUCAACAGCCGGACUCACUGGGAACUUUCAGUAGUUCUCACCCCACUAACCAUGCAGGUUCUAGCGAGUGCAGGGUGGUUGAGGAUCAUGACAGGGACAGUCGAUAGAUAGCGACAUCCAUUGAGUAUAGUUGUAGCUUGUUUAUUUUAUCUAUUUAUUGUUGAUUAAAGGAAAUGUAAAUUAUUCUUUUGAGAUAUGACAAAUGUAUCUAUAUGUUGGAAAAUGAAUGUAUGUAAUCGCAAUGUAAACUUUGUAUUUGAUUUAAAGUAAUCAAGAUACAAUGUAUGAAUGAUUUAGUUAGUUUACUUUCACUUGCUAGUGUUGCUUACUCUCGUGUAAGCCAUGUAUAUUGAAAUUUUUUCUGGGCAUUUUUUUAUAUAUGUUUGAUUGUUGUUGUGGUAGAGCCUUGGGCGAACAGAGUAGGUUCUGUUUGUUUGGCCUCUGUGUACGGGUCCGAACCGACUAAAUUGGCGAUCACGGGGCGUGACACCCGAGAUUUAAAGUGUAUCAAUUUAGUGCCAUGUGGUUUUCUUUUUAUCUUUUUAUUAUCAAUUAUGCUAAUUUUUUUCGCUAAAUUAGUGAUAAAGUUAAAACUAAAUUGUACUAAAGUGAAUAUUCGAUAAAUCUAGGUAGGUAUCUGAAGUUUUUUGUAUAUAAUUUAACGAAAUAUUAACGAAAAAAUUGACGAAAAGAUAAAAAUAAAACAAUAGGAUACUAAGUUGAUACACUUUAAAUCACAGAAUACUAAAGUGAACAAAUGCGAAAUUACAGAGAUAGUAUUUGUAAUACACUGAACUUGUACAAAUUGAGGAGUUCGAGUGUAUGGAAUGGAAUAUGGAACUAUCCUACAUAUUCUAAAAGGCUUGGACACGUUUUUGGACAAGUUAGAGAGUGAUUGGACGGCUAAAAGCAAGAAAGUGCAUUGCUGUAGUUUUUUUUCAAAAUUUUGCAUUGUGUACCGGUACAGCCAUCACCCUGUACCAGUACAGCAAGCAGCAGCCGCUGCAGCUGCGUGGCAGCAUGGCUAUUUUGGUCAUUUCACUUCAUCUAUCCAUCCUUAUCUCUCCCAGCUCGACCCUGAGGAUGCUUAUCACCUGUAAGCUCAGGGAAAAUAGGAUUUUUAGCUCUUCACUUCUUUCUCUCUCUAGAAUUUUCUUCCUUGACAUAAAAGUCGCCGUUUUGCGCCGUUUCCGCGUCGCGCUCGUUGCUCGCUGAUUGGAGGGCUCAAGGGAAGUUGUUAGCACGUGGGGAGAAGGAGUUUUGCUGUGUUGCUGUGAGGUUACAACCAGGGGAAGCUAAAUCCCAGCUCUAGAGAGGUAAUCGACUCGAUUUCUCUCUAGUUUACGGUUUAGUAUUGAAUUUGGACGCCUUUUAGUUUUGUUGCUUCCAACUGAGUUAGAAAUUGUUUACAGCAGUAAUGAGAGGUUAUUUUGACUGUGAAUUACCUACUUUAGCUCAGAGAAAAGUUGUUUUAAAACUUGAUGAAGAUAAAUAGUGAGUUAUGCUCUAAUUCGAAGCUAUAUGCGAAUUAAUGGAGCGAAUUGAUGCAGUUUGGAUUUGUUCCUUCGCAGUAGGUUUUCGAACCACUUCAGGCUAAUUUGGUGACCAGGGAGACUAGUUUGGAAGGUGUUCCAACUGAGGGUAAGCUGAAAUUUCUGUGAGAAAACUGAAUUUACAAGAUUCCGACUAUAUCUAUUAGUAUCUAACGAUUUUGAUGCCGUUUCGACGUUGUUCGCANCUUCUCCUCCAACUUCUUGUUUAGAUCAAGAGUUGAGGUUCAUGGUUGAGUUGAGUUGAAUUGAUGGUGGCGCAGGGGCCGUAGCGGCCACUUUUGUCUGCCCUCUUGAUGUGAUCAAGACGAGGCUGCAGGUCCACGGGCUGCCCCGGAUGCAUCCCUCCCACCGCCGAGGUUGGCCUCUUCCUUUUUCAUGGCUCUUCAAUUCUUCUUCUUCCAAUUUAUGAUGAUUGUUGCCAGCAGUGAUUUUUGAAUCCGUGAGUUAUUCAUGACAUUCAAUUAGAACCAAUUAAGGUUUUGUUCCAAAAGGAGUUAAACUUCGCAGAUCCAGCAUUUACAGGGCAAAGAAGUGUCACAUUAUGUUCUCUUUCACAGGCUUAGUUGUUAGUUAGCUUUAGAUUUUAGGCAAAAAUAGACGUCUGACGCUCUACCAACUUACGCCGUGCCAGUCAAAUGAGAGAUGAAAAACUAGGAUCCGAAAGAAUCCUAGAUAGUGAAAAUUGCACAAAUGGCGAAGCUUUGCGGUUCGAUAUGAUUACGAGGUGAUGAAGCUUUUCGCUGUUUCUUGAAUGGGUGGUACUGUUUUAUUUGGCAUGCCAUGUUAGGUUAGCUCUAGUUGAGUUCGGUACAAUUCCGUUGGAACUUAGUAGCAACGUUAUUUUUGUCAUUUUGUCAUAUCCAUCCCUUCCUUUAGCAGCAUUAUUUAAAUUUCUAUAGAAGCAAGCCGAAAUUCAACAUGCAGGUUUUGGUUUGAGUUUCGCUCCAUGCUACCGGUGUUUUGGUUUUGAAAGUUUCGGUGAUUUCGAGAAUUUGGAAGUUUAACGUCUAGAGUUUGGUUGAAAGUUUCAGAAGGAUCAAAGUAAAUAUGGAGGAUUGGUAUGAUCGUAAUAAAACUCAUUUCCAUGACAGUUUGAUGUACAAAUAUCUCCCUUUAUGCUUCUUCUAGGAAAGUUGUAGUUACCUAUCAUGUUGUCGUCAAACAGAGAAAUCAAGUAUAAUGUAAGAUGGAAGUUAUAUAAUCUGUGUAUUUUUGUCGCUUUGUAAGGUUGUUGUGGUAUGUUCUAAAGUUAACCGUCUUAUUAAAGACUUCUGACAGCCUUAGCAGAUCCAAAGCUCGGUCCUUCUCAUCCUGUUUUCCCUACUGUAAAAGCUGCAACAUUUCUUUCCUGUUAUUGGCUGAUCAAAAGAGCUUUAGAAGCUACUAAUUCUUCCUUUGGACCCUAAACAACAUUAUGUAUGUUGUUCUUCCUGUGAUAUACAACUUUUCUGACUGCUGUUCUUCCCUGUUUAUCCUGCGAAAGCUGCAGACGUUGACCACAGAAUAAAACCACUUACUAAUCCCUUUCUAACCUACCCACGAUGAUUUUCCCCUAUAAAUUGCUCUCCGAUGGCAUCCUUGCUAAAUGCGAAAAAUCUACUUAUCUUGAUUUUGGUUCCAACUCGUCCUUCUUCAUUGCACACGCAUGCACACAGACUUAAGGCUUUAAAGGAAACUGACUUAUACUGAUAGAAAUAGUGGAAAAUAGUAAGAACUUAUUCAACUAUCUUCUUUUAUAUCUUUGAAUGUUUAUGUGCAUUAACAGUUGUAUUCAUACAAGUGCCUAACAUAUACUGAUCUCUCUCCUCCUUAUUCUUUCCCAAAGAGUAUUUGGUAAUUCGCUUUACUUGACGAAUUAGGUAGUAUCAUUAUUUCGAGCUUGGAUCAAAUAAUUAAAACGGAAGGCUUUCAAGGACUGUAUCGUGGCCUUACUCCAACUAUUGUAGCACUACUUCCAACUUGGACAGUGAGUAUCGUAUACCCUUGUAUUUAGAAACUGCCCUUAAAUAUAUCAGUUUUUGUUUUUUUCUAGCUUACUGAUUUGCUUAUUUUGUAUUUUAUCUUUAUCCGACUACCAGCCUUCAAUCUAUCAUUGCUCAUGCAAUUAAAAUCCUCAAGAUCAUAUAGAUCUAAUCCAUACAAACUAGGUGGAAGAAACUCUUCUGUAUUGCGGUGGAUAUUGCCAUUCUCCUAUAGAAGUUGAGGGACUGUUGUACGUUCCCUAAUAGCCACAUCUCACCAAGUGACAAGAUGCUUAAAUUCAUGAUUUCGAUUCAAAUUUAGGUUGAAAUUCAUAAAAAUAAAUUCAAAAAUUAAAGUUAAGACCAAAUAUAAUCUUUUAGACAAGCUCUUAAUUUUCGGUUACUUUGGAAGUCAAAUAAUUGAGAUAUAGUUUAACUCACUUUACCAACUCAUUUUUGUAAAUUAACUUUCAUAUUCACUUUCGUAAACCGGAUAAUCGAGAAGACGUCACUUUCUGAAAAUGCUACUUUUCGUGUUUUACUUUCGGCCAACCAAACAUGCCUUGAAGGAAAGUGGGAAUUUUUUAUACUUUUAUAAUAAAACUGAAUGGAGACCCCCUCAACUAUGGACAUUUGAAUGACCCCUUCAACUUUAUUUCUUUUGAUUGACACUUCUUAACUUUUGAAUUUUUAGAAUAAGUUAUUCUAGUUUGUUAAACUGAGCAUUUUGUCAAAUUCAUUAAUGACUCUUAUCAGGUUCAACAAUUUUAUCAAAAUUUUAUUAAAUAAAAACUGAAACAAGUGAUGACUAAUAACUAAUUAGUUCAUUUAAUUCAACGAAAUUUAUUAUAUGAAUGUUGGAUUUUAGGGUUUGUUUGACUCAUGAUAGUGAGGUAGCUUCUUAUAGGAUCACUCUCAUAGAGUUUCCCUUCGCAGUGAUCGGAAUAGGUUGUUCUUUUUUGAUCUCUUCUCUACUCUUUUUUGUAUGAUGAUGUGUGUAUUGGAUGGCAUUUUUGAUCUUUGAAUAAGUUUCCUAUAUGCUACGGUAUCAGUUGGAUUGCGUUAUCCUUUUAGCAAUUGGAGACUUAUGUGUUUCUUGUGAUUGUUAACUGAGAAAGCCCUUUAGUUGAUUGAAAUGCUAUAUUUUGCAGCAUUUAUUGCUUAAUUGAGCAAACGUCAUAUGCGGCAUAACUGCUUCAGCUUUAAUGUGAUUUACGGGUGAUUUGUGUUAUUGAAGUACGUUACUACAUUUCUAUUGAAGUUUAUUUAGAUCAAGAAUGUGCUUUGUGAUUUGUUGGAAUAAUUGUUUGUUCCUCUAUGGAAAUACAUGACGUUCUCCUAUAUUUAUUUUUCACAAUUUCUUGUAUAAAUUGUGGAUAUUGUCAGCAUAUUUUUGGUGUGUUUAAUAGAUUUCUUAUGUUUUAUGAACUCAUCUAGUCAAGUUCGCAUUAAGAUUUGUUGAAUCAUUCAAGACCAAUCAGGUGUCAGAUUUAAAAUUUUAAGAAUAACGAUAUCAAACUGCCAUUUCACUAGUGACGAACCUGAAAAGUUUGAGGAAUGUCAAAAUUGUUGAAUAGUUGUAAGACUACUAUUAGCUAGUUUACUGAAAUAAUUCCUCUUUUGUAAAAAAGAAAUUGUUGUAGAAUAUUUUCAUUUCUUUUCCUUUUGAUCUCUUGAAUAUGCUGGAAGCAUAAUUAUUUGCCUUGCUUUUCAAUCUCUUGAACAUGCUUGAAGCUUUCUUUUGCUACAUCACUUAAUUAUUAAACAACCUAAGGUCUACCAUGGCAUCUUAAUUGCAAGAGCAAUCAGUGGAGUAAAUUGUUUCCUGCGGUGAUUUACUAGGCGUCAAGGACAUGGGACACGACAUGACUCAGACACAACUACUCGGCAACUUCUAAAAAAUUAGGACACGGGCAUGGCAUGGACACCGCCAAUAAAAUAUAAUAUUAUUAAUAUAAUAAUUUAUAUUUAUUAUAUAUAAAAUAAUUAAUUUUGCUAAAACUUUGUUAUAUUUCUCAUCUGAAUGAAAGUUAAUAAAAUUCUUAUCAAUAGUUCAUAUAUUUUAAGGAAAGAAAUUCUCCACCAUACAUAAUUUAUUUAUAUUGUCCAAAAUAAAUUUGUAUGCAUUCAUCAAAAUGCCAAAAACUUUAUCAUCUUACACUAUAUAUAUAUAUAUAUAUAUUAUUGGAAUGCAUCACAGACCCGUGUCAAACGCGCACUUAUGGUUUGUCCGCAUUCGGACACAAGUCCGACAUGGACACGCGGAUGUCUGACAUAGAGGCUUAUAGAAGUGUCCGUGAGGCAUAGGUGAUUUAUCAUGGCUCUGCCAGGUUUCUCUGCAUUGAUAGUAUCAUGUGGAAAAUAACUAUAGGAUAUCCAUGUGCUUACCUCUGGAUGAUACUAAAUUGAUCAGAUAGUUAAAAUUUUUGAAAUAUCUACUUAGUCACUAGAACCUAAUUUUUUUUUUUUAAAAAAAUCAUAAUAUCAACAUUCAUAUAAUCACAUAUCCCGAGUUGUGAUAAUUUGGAUUAUAAAAGGCUUACUAGUUCCGAAAUAAUAGUUUGGUCUCUAAAUGGAAAAUUCAGUGCUUCACAUGAAUCAUUAAUUCAAACUGAUUCAUUUCUUGUUGGAUAGAAUCAAACUAGAAUAAUGGGCUUUUUUUGCAAAUAGCGCCCUUACAAUUUUUUUUUUUAAAUUGGCCCUGUCAAAAAUUUAUUUGCAAAAAUGGCCCUGGCCCCGCCACGCAAGCGCCACGUCAGCGCCACGCGGGCGGGGCUGGGCCAGAUGGUUAAGUUGAACACGGUGAACCAUUCACCGUGUUCAAUACAAAGUUUUUGUAUUGGACACGGUGAACCAUUCACCGUGUUCAAUACAAAGUUUUUGUAUUGGACACGGUGAACCAUUCACCGUGUUCAAUACAAAGUUUUUGUAUUGGACACGGUGAACCAUUCACCGUGUCCAAUACAAAAUAGCUAAGAUCGAAAUAUUUGUAUUGGACACAGUGAACCAUUCACCGUGUCAAAUACAAAUAAUUGGACACGGUGAAUGGUUUACCGUGUCUAAUACAAAUACCUCCAACUUAGCCAUUGUUGGGGUAUUUGUAUUGGACACGGUGAACCAUUCACCGUGUCCAAUAUAAAAAUCUUGUAUUGAAACACGGUGAAUGGUUCACCGUGUUCAACUUAAAUACCUGGGCCCGCCUUGCCCGCGUGGCGCUGACGUGGCGCUGGCGUGGCAGAGGCAGGGCCAUUUUUGCAAAUAAUUUUUGGACGGGGUUAUUUUUGUAAAUAAAAUUUGUCAGGGGGCUAUUUGCAAAAAAACCCCCUAGAAUAAUAGGUCCAAUCAACUUUAAAUGAGAUCACUUCACAGAAUUCAAUUCGAUCUAAUCAAAUAGCUAUUGCACGACAUAGAUGUACCUAGAUUUAAAUACUAUAGAAAACUACAUUCAGAAUUUCAGAUCCAUAAAAUUGUUAAUUAUAAACCAAUUGGAUCAGAAGUUCACUGUAAAAUAAUCUUAUGAAGAAUUUAUGAAGUUAAGAUAUUGUUAGAGUUUUGUGUGCUUGGAGCCAAAGCAUUAGUUCACACCCAAUAUUAUUAACAUCCAUCAGUAGGAUGGAUACAUAGUUUUGGGUAUUGAAGAGUGGUACAAAUUAAGAAAGAAUACAACAGCAAUAGAUAUUUAUUAUGACAUUUUAAUGAAUCUAGAAAGGGAAUAAAGGUCUGACUCAUGGCUAUGGUGAAGAGAAAUAUAGGAGAACAUCUGAGGAAGAAAGAGAGUAGAAGACAAUCCACCUUCUUGGUGAUGAUUGGGGAGUAAAUGGUGGUUCGAUUGGAUUGCCUAUAAGGUCAUUGAAGUAGAAGACAUAAACGAAUAGUGGACUUGGGGGUGGUCUAGGGUAAGGCCGAAGAGGAGGACAUAAUAGAACAGUGGACUUGGGUUAGAAUCUAAUAUGAAGAUUAGCUGUAAUUAGAUCAUCAUGAGCUAUAAGUUUCUAUGUUUGAAAGAAGCCUUAAAGAAGAUAUGGUUUUUUUCCCCGAAAGGACCCUUCUUAAAUUGUACCAUUUAUUACAGUUUUAACACUAACCAUAAAAUACACAAAUUUUGCUAGAUUAGUUUUUACCCAAAAAAUCGAUUUAAUAGGAAAUGGGCCUAGGGAUACACAUUAACACUCUCACUCACGUGCAUGAUGGGUUUGAAAGGCACAUGAAAUUGAUAGGUGAGGCAUGAACACAUUAUAUAAUGUGAAAAUUUAACGUGUUAAAUGUCAAAGGUGGAGAUUGAACCCAUGACCUUACAUAACGAAGGGGUUCAGAAUUAGCUCUGAUACCAUGUUACCUGAAAGAUUGAUCUAGUAGGAAAUAAGCCUAGGAGACUAGGAGUAUAUAUUAACGUUAGUUUAAUGGUUACAAGUAAACUUGAAUUGAAGAAGGGGAAAUGCUUAUCGGAAAGAGGUGUAAGCAUAUUUAUAUGUUUUGUGCCAGGAAAACAAUGAUCUGCAUAAGCACUCAUAUUGUUAAUCUUGUGGGCUGUCACUUUCGCUUAUAACUGCCAAUAAAGAAAUUGCCCAGAAAAGCUAACAUCUGGUGCUAGAGUUACUGUAAAUGAAUAAAGGUUGAUAUCGUGCAAGAUUACCGGUUGAUAACCAACAUAUCUUAUAUAAAGAUAAGCUCAAACAUAGGCAAUUCUAUGAGGACGUACACAUCUUUAGCUUCUGUUGUUGUAUCAAGUCAUUUUAUUGAGUAACUGUCACUUAAUUGCUUUCAAUCAAUUGCAGGUGUACUUUACUGUGUAUAAUCAGCUGAAAAGCUUUCUUCGUUCACAUGGUUUGUUUCCUUUAGCCAUUAUGUAAUGUAAUUUGUAUUUAUUACGGUUUUCAGUAUUUGUAUAAUUUAAUGAAUUCCUCUAGCUCUUAGCAUAUUUAAAAUGGAGUAAAAGGAAUUAGUGUUUAUAAUGAUUGAAACCUGGAUUAAAUUUUGAAUAGUAUCCUUUUUAAGAAAAGCAAUUAUUUAUAUUUCUUUCCUAUUUACAUAUUCUCCGAUCAGUUGUCGAUUACUCUUGAUCAAGAAAGAUGUUUUCAAAAGUUCAAAUUUGGUUUAAUUAAUGGGUAACAUGGUUAUAUUUGUUAAAUUACUAAUUAAUAAUCUUAUGUCGUUGAUGAUGAUUACGAUUUUGCACUGCAAUAAAAUAGUUUCUUUCAAAUAAUAUUUCACACAUGUAAACCUUUAAAAAUAACAAUAUCUUGGGACUGAUUUAUUGGUGAUGCAAAAGGCCCAUAAAUAGUUUAGUUUCGAAGCCGAAAACAGUUUCCAAGCCAAAAAGAAGUUUUCCAACUGUUUGGUCCUACAUAAAAUACUUUUCAGUGUGAAAAGUAGUUUUAGAUAUUUUAAGAAAAACAACUUGUUUUCAUUCUCUGGAUUUUUUGGGGCGAAAGGGCAAACUAAAAACUGAAAACACCUCUCUUCCCUCACUCUGUUUUGCUCUUUUUAAUUUCUUAUCCUUCGACCCAAACACGUAUUGCUGAAAAGUAUUUCCAAUUUAUGAAAAUUAAAUGCUAAUAAAUGCAAUAUUUUUCCCGAUGAAAAUUACUAUUUUGUUGAAAACAAUUUUGACUUGUUUUAUUUGUCCAGCCAAACACCCCCUGAUAUCGUUAUUUUAACACAAAAAUGACAGGCAUGGGGUUGGUUUUCCUUAAAAUGGGCAGAUCAUUUGGAGUGGAUUAUGAUUUGUAGAGUGAUAAUAAAGGGAACACUUUCAUAGAUCAAACUAUAGGGAUUGCACAAAGAAUGGUCCAAAAGUAUGCAUAUAUUGCAGAGUUUCAGAAAAAAAAAAACUAAUAUUUGUUUAGCAAAGUGGUGUUAGCACCAACUCUUCUUACUUUGUUCAUAUGCAGAUGAAGGAAAUGAUCAACUCUCACUUGGUGCUAAUAUUGUGGCUGCAGUAGGUGCUGGAGCUGCAACAGCAUGUACAACUAAUCCACUAUGGGUUGUUAAAACCAGGCUGCAAGUAUGUUUUUACCAUAUCUGUGAUGUGGCAAGUCAUUCUAUUGCUUCUUUUCAAAUGCCUUUGAUGCUGUUCCUGCAUAUGUAGUAGUCAAUCCCACUUUUACGAAAAGCUUGAAUUCUACCAACCUUAAAAUCAAGCCUUUUCAAUUGGUUAUUGCAUACAUCAUCAGGCCUUUUUUUGGUUUCUUUCUGCUAUGCACGGCAGUCCAUAAUUCUAAUUCAAAUAGAAAUGAACUGGCAGAAAAUUAAGGUAUUUGUCCUCUGCUCACUGUAUUUGGUUCUGAAAAUGCCGAUAUAAGUUAUGUAAUGGCAGGCUAAUCUUGAUAAUUUGAUAGUUUGAUUGAACUUAAAAAAAAAAAAAAAUUGAAGCAACUUCAGGCUGAUUUGAGUCCUGUCUUCCACUACAUCGAGCAAAUAGUCCCGUAAUUGCAUUUGGGUGCAACACAAUAGAAAAUCUGAAGCAACUUCACUAGAAGCUGAUGUGCUUCCACGCCCUUAUCAAGCAAAUAGUGCAGUGAUUGCAUUAUCCGUCCGUUUUGACCUAUAUUUCACAUGUGACUUACUCAGAUACUUGUAAAAUUAAUAUAUACAAAAGCGAAUAGAAAGAUGGCAAUUGUAUAGGAGAGAACUGAAGAGAUGAAGAUAACAAAAGAAAGAAUUCAAUGAGAACAGAGGAGUACAUAGGAAGAAAAACAAAAUAUGAAUGUAUACAAAGUGCAUAUAAUUUCAAGACUAAAAUUAAGCUCAGAACACUGCAAAAAACUGAUAUGUAUAAUCCUUCGUAGUUCGUAGUAAUGUCUACUAUUUUUCAUCGUAUGAUGCAAUGUCUUCAAUGCAAUUUAUAGUAAAAGUUUUAUGACCAUUUCUUUCGAAUUGGUGUGAAAGGGGUGAGAAAAUCAAAGAGGGUUGUUCAUUAUCUAAAAGGUCCUUUUCCUUUCCAUAUUCUUUACUUUUCUCGGCUUGACUAAAAACUUCUGGAAAACAAUUAGUAAAGCAUAACAUAUGAAAGAAGAAAAUUCAUCAGAUGUGUGCCAAUGGAAAGAAUUAAGAACGCCUGAAAAUAGUAAAAUGCAUUGACAAAUUUUGCUUACGCUGAUUAUACUAUAGGAUCUGUAGAUUAUUUCAUCCAUUGAAUCAUUUUAAGAUUUAUUAGGAAUCGUAUCCUCGUAAGUUUCUUCUUCAAUGUUUUGAACAUCUUUUUGGCAUUACUUGCUUUUCCUUUGAAAUCUAGAUUAGCUGAAAAAAAUCUUGGUGACUCUAAAUGAUUAUCUUUCAUCUAAGAUCUCAGAUAAUCAACAGAUAUUUAAAAAUGCAAGUCUGACAAACAACAUUUAUAAAAAUGGAAGGAAAAGCAAAUCUCUCCGUAGGCCAUCCAAAUUUAGCCAAUUGUCACAUAAAACCUUAUCAAAGAAAGUCGAGAUAGGGCAUGAUAAAAGUAAUUAUCAAGGUCGUAGAGCUAAAUCGUAAAUCUAGAACUAAACAUUAAAAAAAAAAAAAAAAACCUAACACAAAAUCAAAUAAUGUGCAUAUCAUGCAACUCUCUAAGCUGCAAGUUAAAAAGUAAUUGAUGCACAUCGGGAUAGAUCAAAGCAAACAAAUAUAUAAUCCAUUACGAAAAUGAGAUCAUAAUCAGCGUUUUGAAUAAUUUAAAAGAAAAUAGUAAAAGCAGCAGCUGAAGAAAAAGAAGAAGAAGAAGAAACAUCGGCAGUUGUGGUAGGAGUAGUAGUAAAUUUAAUAGCAAUAAUUUUCCCUUACGGAAGGCAGCAAAAUGAAAACGAAUCUAUAUAGAGAUUGAGGACAACUAAGCUCCAAAGAUUUAGACACACAGAAUGUCUUCUAAUUGUGUUCAUAAACAUUUUAAAAUUUACAUAUAAAGGAAAAUUGUCAAUAGGGCAAUAAAUUUUCCAAUUUAAGUUGCAACAAAGAGACAAUUACAACUAAGCAGAAGCGAUAACUUGCAGCAACAAUUCUAAGUUGUCGAAAAAACAGGAGUUCGGCAGGCUGAUUCCAUAGAAUCAAACAAAUAUCUUACCAAUCAAUGAAAACAAUAUCAUAAUCAGCGUUCUGAAUCGUUUGAAAUUAAGGCAGAAGUAAAAUAGAAGUAGGUGAAGAAAAAGAAGAAAAAAAAGAAACCAUAGCAAUAUUAGCAGCAACUGUAGUAAAAUCAAUGGGAGAAAAGGAAAAACCAUGAAUAACAGAAUAAAUCAGACAGCUAGCGCAAUAUAAGAAAUAUAAAUGAGAAUUUAAUAUUAAAUAGAAACAAAAUAAGAGUAUUAAUAGUUAGGAAUAAAAUAACAUAAAUAUCUUUUGAGCAAGUCUGAUUAUAGUAGCAUUCGCAAAAAAUCAAAUGCCACAUAUCUCUAGGAGUUUCACGAAAAUGACAAAACUUAUGCUGUUGUCUGUUGGCCUCUAUUGAUGUUGAAAGAUUAGACACCUAACAUGAUAUUAAAAAAACAAAUUACUAUUUGAAUACCAAAUAGUAAUAAACACAGAGUAUGGAUGACUAUAUUCUGCAAUAAGUUGUAGCUAAAAGAUUCAAAUAUUUGUCAGGGAAGCCUAAUUCUAGUCCCAUUGGCCAAAACUUUAGGUGCCAUAUAUCAUUACCAGUUUCACCACAAUGGCAAUAUCAAGUGAACAACAAAAUUGAAACUUCUCUAAUGAAACUGGAUUGUCAAGUGCAUUGCCAACCUAUAAUAUCAUAGAAAGUUUUCAACAGUUGUUGGUAAGAAAUUAAUCUAAGUGAGCAUAUAUAGUAGGCAUUGCUCAUUUUUAAGGAAUAAUAGAUGCGAGAGUCGCCAUUUGGCUGUCAAAUUUGCAGUGCUAUUUAAGUUUCUUCACUUUUUUUUUUAUUAUUAACGCUCAUAGCUAGCUUCCUCUUUUAUACAAAUAUGUUAUUAGGCUACAGAAUAUUUCGAUAGGAUUGAAAAAUUAAAAUUUUAAACUCUAAAUACCCAUUUUCCUUAAAAUAUUAGUUCAGCUAAUGAAAAUAAUUUUUUUUUACUCAGUAAAAAUGAGGUAGCUUUCUUCAAAUAGAGUAAGAGAAGCUUACGUGACAUAGCAGGCAACACUGGACCAAAUAUUUCAUCUUGCGCAAUAAGCCUAUUCUCUUGGCCAAUUGUAUAAUGGAUUUAGUAAGCAUAGAGGCUAAAAAUGUAAAAAAAAUUGACUUCUAAAUAGCUUAACUUUAUUUAUUAAAUCACGGUAAUUAGGUGUGAGAAUUUUUGACAAUUUAGGGUUUAUGCUAAAAGUGGUAAUUUGUUGUGGUAUUUUCACUGCAAAUUCUGAAUUAUGUUUUCUUCAGAGAUAUUUCCUAAUCGGAAAAAUUGUAUAUAUGUUCUAUCAUCUGUAUUAAGAGACAUUGAGAUAGAGAAUGCACAACAUUCAGCAAAAAUGAAAUUUUAUUGAACUUGCCAUUUUAUUACCUUAAUAUAAGCUAAAAUGUUGGGCUCAAUAUAGCAUCCUUUUUUAGCACAGGGUUUUCCCCAUCAAUAAUAUGGUGCCGUCUUUCCCAUCUUUAGUGCAUAGAACUCUUUGAAAUAGCUUCUUAUCAACCUUAUAAUAAUGAAAUAUGCAGUGUAAUUAGUAAAAAGUUGAAAAAUACACCGACGUGUUGCGGUUGGUAAAUACUGUUGCAAUAAAAAUUUAUAAAAUAUCAGUGAAAAGAGACUUUCAAAUCAGCAAAAAUUUACACUAAAAAGUGGUAUUGAACCCAAGAGAUAAACCUUAUAGUGUAAUUGUAGAAACUAAACCUUGGAGGUAAAAAAGUCUAGUGCAAACAGUGAUAGAGGAAAUUACCUGCCCAACAGUGUAAAUAAGAGGUUCCUCAGUCAACUUAAUCUUGUCUACCUCCAACAAAGUAGUUCCUGGCAAAUUCUAUGACAAAGAAUUGAAAUUAAAAUAAAUCUAUGUAUAUAAGAUAAUUACAGCACAUAGUUAAUAGUCUUAAGUUUCAUAUACAACUUAACACAUCAGAAAUAUUUGGAAAAUCAAUCGUACCAUAGAUGCAUGCUACAGGAUUUGUAGUGCUGCUGCUGCUGCUUCUUCUUCAGCUUCUUAUUUUCUAUUGAUUGUGUCGCUAGUACCGUUAGUGCUGCUACUGCUACUUUCUCUUCUUCUCUUUCUUUUUCUUCUGCUCCUUAUUUUGCUGUUCAUUGCAUUGCUACUGUUGCUAGUGCUGCUGCCGUUACUGCUUACAUGCUGCUAGUGCUGUCUUCUGUUUUCUCCUCCUCUUGCCAUUGAUUUUGUUUGUGCUGUUGCUGCUGUUGCUACUGGUUCUUCUUCUUCUUCUUUCGCCAUAAGCUGUACUGCUACUGCUACUGCUGCUAGUGUUGUGGUUUUUACUGCUGCUUGUGGUAACUCUUCUUCUUCGUCUUCGCUGCUGGUUGUUCUUCUUCUUCUUCUUCUUUUUCUCUUCCUAUUUUUCUUUUGCCAUUGAUUAUGCACUACUGCUGCUAGUGCUGCUGCUGCUCUUCCUUCUUCUUCUCAGUUCCUUGUGCUGCCAUUCAUGUACUGUCCACUUACAGUUAUAACAGACUAAAUAAACAUGAGAGUUUUCAGACUUGACAACAGCAGAUAAGAGUUCAUCGCCAUCCAGCCUUGCUCGUUAAUAGUAAACAUGCCCCAAGAGAAGUAUAUUAACAAAAACAAUUGAUUUAAUAUGCUGCAUCAAAAAAUUAAAAAACAUCAUUGUAUUCAAAUUAAAUAGGUAAGCAUAAAACUUUUCACAUGAAUACAUAAUCCACUUGUAAUUGUAAUAUUUGGUCAUAUCGACAAAGUAUCACAUCAGACAUGGUUACUUGAUAUUUCUCAACAUUAUAUUUACUAUCUUCUUCAUAGUUGCUAUAAUUACAUAGACCGAGUAAAAUUCUAACCAAGUUAAUCUAAAUAUAAGACAAGUAAAAUUAAUAACAAAAAUAAAACAAAUUAUGCACCAUAAUAAUCAUAAUCCAAUAAAGUUACAUAGCAAACAACGCAAAAGGAAAAAUACUACUCACCUUUCUUCACUUUCACAAAUUUACCCACAUGGGAUCACCUCACGUCUCAUGCCACCUCCCAUAGUUGGUGCCUUCUACGGCUGGUGACCUCCGCGAGAUCUUUGACAACGACUUGGGGGACUAUGGUAGUAGCCCCAAAACCUCUUUGAUGAGCGAAGGGUCUGCGGUGCUUCCAAAACCCCUUCAAUGAGCUUAUGCCCCUUCCAAAUCUGUCACGCCCCGAGUCCAAAGCGGAAGCCCACGGGGACGUCAACAGACCCGCCGAACGGACAAAGUUUCCUCUACCCGAACAAAGCGUCAACACAACAGAAUAAUAACAAGGCAAAUCGAGAGAUCACAAUUAAAAGUUUUCCAAAUCACGAGAACAAGAAUAAAGUCACUAAACAAACGAACUAUAUGUAUCAGAGCAGAGCACUAUAAACAUAAUUAUUAUACAUCACUGUACCACAUCCCGAAGUCUCAACUGACCAGAAAGAUAAAUGUACAAAUAAAAGGGCCCUGGCCGUCGCCAGUCCUGAUGUAUAGCAUGAUAAAAAUAUCUAGCUGGAAGACUACUACAACGAAUAUACACAGGUAGGAGAUGCUAUUUACGGUGUGAUUCCCCUUACCUCGAUCAACUGUUGGUAUAAAUGUCCUUUAGAAGUAAACCACAAGAGGGUGUGAGAACUACUAAACAGCAGUUCCCAGUGGGUAUAGUCAACUAUAACUACGACCUUCCCACUAGGUUUACUAGAGGCCAAAAAUAGUGAAAGAAUAGGAAAGUAUGCUGUAAAUGAAUAAUUGAAAGAACAGUGAAUGAAUAACUGACUAUAAUCGGAACAGAUAUAUAUAUAUAUAUAUAUAUAUAUAUAUAUAUAUAUAUAUCUACUAAACCAUCAUGUCCCUAUACAUGCAGUAAAAAGGAAGGAAAGAAGAUAAUUAAUGCAUGCAUCAAUGCUAUUACUAAUAAACAAAUGCUGUAAGAGUACCCAAUCACAACAGCCGACUCGUAUAUCCGGUCAAGCCUGCGCCUACCUAGUGCGCUGACAAACUCCCGCAGGUGUGACGGCAAUACAUAGGCUACUGUCUCUGCUAUCUCUGGCUAGCAUUUUGAGCGGCACUCGAGGGAGCGACCCCUAUCGAGUAUCAUAGCACGUAUCACUGUCAAUCUCAAUAUGGCCUUGCAGGCUGUGGUCUAUGUGAUGAUCAAACAUAUCACAAGUACCCAAUCCAAUGUCCUCAACAUAAUCAUAGAGUAAUCUCUAAAUCAGAUGUCAUAAUGCAAUAUUCAUAUUCUCUCUCUAUGUUCAAACAUCUGCAUACUACCGCUGCGCUACCCACGGCCUCUAUCACCUAAUUUAUGGCAUGUACAAUAUAAAUGGGUAAUAGAUGACUCACCAUUAUGCAUAAGAUGUCAACUAGCCUCCCACGAUCUGAGCUAGAAUAUCCAAUAUGAGAUAUUGAUAACAAGUCACUAUAUCACGACUAUUAGACUUAUAAUUCACACAGUAUGGCCUAAAUUAGUAUCUAUAAGUAAAUAAGCUGAAAUCCAUACCCUCGACUCAAUUCAUGCUAAUAUCAUCUCUAUCAACAUAUAUAACCACAAAUAUAUACAUAUGUCAUGCCUACUCGACUUAGUGCUCAUGCAUAAAUCAUUGCUCGCGUAGACUCUUGCUAGGAAGUCAUUCUUCCAUUCAAGUCCAUGCUAACAUAGCCCUUUAUCAUCUAUAUGAUCAUAUACAUAUGCAUGUGCAUGCAAAUAGACAUGAAGGAAAUUCGUCAUUUUCGACGACUCGGAACCCAUCUUGGAUCGCUAAACCCAUAACGACAAGAAUCAACCUCCAAGGCACCCCUUCUCGGCUCACGCCACGUAGGAAUCCACUAAGGGAACACUAAUAUCAACAAGUGUACUAGCAAAACAAGAAAUACUAAAUUUCAUCAAUUCGGCGAUUUGAUCAAUAAAAGGGUGUAGAAAGAACGAAACUAACUUACCUCAAUGAUUCGAGUGAGGAAAUUCCAAAUCUGCAGGAAAAUGAUAAGAGAUUCGGUGAAGUUCUCUAAAUGCUCUAUGGAGAGUCGGAACUUCUGUCACGCCUCGGGGUCUAUUUUUAUAAGCCGUUUGAAAAGAGGGCCAAUUUGAAGCCAACAGGUUAGCGGAAAAGCCCAAAUAUUUUUUUUUUUUUUUUUUUUUUUUUNAAUGAUUCGAGUGAGGAAAUUCCAAAUCUGCAGGAAAAUGAUAAGAGAUUCGGUGAAGUUCUCUAAAUGCUCUAUGGAGAGUCGGAACUUCUGUCACGCCUCGGGGUCUAUUUUUAUAAGCCGUUUGAAAAGAGGGCCAAUUUGAAGCCAACAGGUUAGCGGAAAAGCCCAAAUAUUUUUUUUUUUUUUUUUUUCCUUGAUCCAAGGGAUGACAGACCCGCCACAAAUAUAAAGAAUCCUCUAUCCACACUAACAUAAUUUCUCCUAUAUUUGCAUGGCGUCGUACAUAGUACAAGUCACAACCACAAUCAUUCGCAAAUUACAUUCACAAUUGUACAUCACAUGUUUUACAAAAUUCACGUCUAUCAGUUGAAAGCAUUUCCCAACCGAAAACUUAUUUUGAAAUACUGAAGUCACGAAAAGCCGAAAAAUCUUUUAAAACUUGUUUCCCAUACGAAAAUUUUUCAUUCAUUGAAAACGAGCUACCACGAGUAGAAAAUCAUUUUGCAUAAAUUCAUACGAUGUUUCCAAAACAGCUUUAUUUAAGUGUAACGCACCAAUAGUCCUACAUCGGGUGGGAAACUGAUUCUGAUUAGAAUAUAUGAAGCCUACACACUAGAAAUAAUAACUGGGCUUAAGUAUUUUGGGCCGGUGGUUUGGGCCCAACGAGUUAUUGUUGCCAGCAGGUCGGGUCAUUGCACUUGGUAUCAGAGCCGAAUAACAGUCGAAAGUGUGAGAGCUAAGUGCUAUACGGGGCAAAGUGCUACACCAAUGGGUUUGGUGGGAGCCACCUUUUGAACCCGUAGGAGUUAUCUCUAGAAUCUCACAUCGCCUGGUAAUUCUGAUCUGCAUCUGUGAUCUGGUUUGGACCCAACGAGGACGUCAGGGUUUAAACAGGGAGAGUUUGUAACGCCCCAAUAGUCUCACAUCGGGUGGGAAAGUAAUUCUGAUUAGAAUAUAUGAAGCCUACACAUUAGAAAUAAUAACUGGGUUUCAGUAUUUUGGGCCUGUGGUUUUGGCCCAACGAGUUAUUGUUGCUAGCGGGUCGGGUCGUCGCAUUAAGAUUUCAAACAACAUCAUCGCCAACUAAAGCCAAAGCAAAAUCAAACUGAACCACAAUGAUUCUAAUUAUUCAACAAAGAUGACGGGUAAGGACCUCUAUCUCUCGCUAAGUAUGCGCCUCACGCCUCGCCCCGACUCGUAUCUCUAAGAUCACCUGGAAUGGAAGGGAGGAACCAACAAGGGUAUAUAGGCACCGACCACUCAGAUCAACUAGAAGGUGUAUAUCAAUGUCACUACCACUCUACUCUAAGUCAUGAAUGCAAGAGAGAAUGCACCAAGUAGAGUAAGGUCGAAGUCAUGUGGUGAAAGGCUCAAGUACUUGAUAGACAAGUAUAUGUAAGCAAAAGGAUAGAGAUGAGGGGAACACCACCGAGCGUGCACUACUAAACCGACUUCGGAUCGAAAUACCGACAUGUGUCACAGCUGCACCAAACUCUCGCGGUAUGCAGAACCAUCAACUGGACCUACGACAGGUCCAUCGAGUCAAAAACCAAACCUACUAACUCAAGAGACAAUGCUCACAAACCCAAAACCACCUGCGGGAUCGAUUUCCCAAAACCGACUCUCGAACUCGUCGGGGAUCCCGAAAACGCACUGGGAUGCCCGCGGGACCCACGAAACUUCCCGAAACACACCGACUCAUGCCGUGAGUUACCCGCUGCCCUGAAAUACAUCCAUUUGAGUGUCCAGGUACCAAACACAAGCACCAAGGUCAACUCGAUCAUUGUCGGUCGACCAAUCCGCUCUAAGCUUUCAAAAGUGUCCACUUUGGCACUGGAAGCCUCUGCCGCUCACCUGUUGCCUUCGAACACACGAGGCGACCCUGUUAGCCAGCCAACGGGGCUAGGUGAUGAUUUCGAGGUGACCACGCAGCCAGAAACUCAUCGCGAUGAGAGCCCACGUUCUACCGGCGAUUUUGCUAAACAACGCACCGAAACACCACCGCUCAUCCACCACCUCCGGACUUCGAAGGUGGCGGUAGCAACCAGUCAACAAGGCUUGGCGGGGUCCCUAUGGUUGUCGGGGAGGUUGGUUAGUGUUAAGAUCUACGAGGGCGAAGAAGAGGCAUGAUCUCUAAUGUAGCCACCCUCUCACAAAGGUGGCACCGACGACCGCAGAAGAUAAGAGGAGAGCGGUGGUGGCGCCCCAGUCAGGCCGACGGAGCUUCUCCCAUAUAGGGUUUGUGGCGAGGCGGCGAAGGUGGUGCUAGGCAGCGAAAGGGGGAGGAAGCAGGUGGCGAGGACGAGGAAGAAGAUGAAGAGGGAGGCGCUGUUACGGAGGUGAGUUAAGAUUACAAAGAAGAAUGCAAUAGAGAGAAGGAAAUGGGAGAGGGUAAUGGAAAAGUACGGGAGAAGGUGAUGUUGAGGAAGGGGAGGAUGUACAAUGUCUGGGAAGAGGGAAAGGAGGAAUGUGCGUUAGCACGCACGUGGGUCCCACACGUGCUUUCUAAAAUGUUUUUCUUUACUGUAGCGGGCCCCAUGGAACGUGAAAUGCGGAGAGUGCUCUGAGGCAACUUCAAGGUUGCCAAUUCAUAAGUUUAUAAAUCCUAACAAUUUGCAAAUUUCAUGAGAAUUUGGUUAAACAAGUUGGUUAGCCAAGUUAGCUAUGUAUCAAGUUUUACUUCCGCUAAGUAUUUCUACACUGCAAUAGGAAUUCUGUCUAUCUUGAUGGGGCCAUCAUUUUCAUCUUUUCCAUAGAACAACUAUAACUGAGAACUCAUAGUGUACCUUAGAGAACUCCAGUCCUUUUUCUGCAGAUAAGUAUUUUAUCCUGCUAAGCAUCUUUCACAGCUUCCAUCAAAUAAUUUGUGGAAGUGAUUCGUUUAUUAUUCGUUACCUUCAUCUCUGUUCCUUCUAGUCAUCGUCAAUUAUAUCACCAUGUGAAGUGUUCCUACUAUUACAUUGCUCCUUGGACUUUCUCAUUCCACCAUAUUUUAAUCCCUUCAAUGUCUCCAUUGCAAUCUUCUUUUAUUUUUUUUUUUAAUACAAUUUAUACCGUCAUAAUAAAGUGAAUCGUGUCCCUCUAUCUUAGCUACUAACGUGGCGCGAUAAAAAGCGCCUAUGUGGACUGGCUAGGCACCUUGAGUUGGCAGUGUAAAUGUUGGAUGCAGCACUUCUCAAAUAUUGGAUAUGACAACCGGAUAUUGCUUUUUACUUCAUUUUUCAUACUUAAUGAGCAGGCUAUACACUGGUUUUGGACUUUGGAGUCUAUUACGCCAAAAAAUCUCAUACCAACUCAUGGCAUAAGCAGCAUAAUAUAGGAUAUGCGUUGUCCAAUAGCUGAGGGCUAGAUGGUGCAGUCUAACAUUAUUCUGAAAUUUCCAGGAAAAAGUAAUCUAUCAAAUAUUAAAUUCAGCCCAUAUCAUAGUCAAUUUCCGUUCUUUUUCUUCUGAUGAUUGUUUGAAAAAAAAUGAAAGCCUUGGUCUCCAUUUGAUUGACCUAUGCAGUUGGGGCAUUAUUAGUAGUGUUUUUAUAUGUUGAGAAGAUGAUGUGGAAGUUGGUUGAUGAGUUGGGUUAUUGGUUGUAACUUCUGGUUGGGUGAAAAGUAGUAUAUAUUAUUAGGGAUGAGACAAAAGUAGUUCUGGUAAAAAUAUGGUUCUUUUUUGCUAGUGCAAGAAGCCUCACGAGCACCGUCUCUUAGGGGGUGUUUGGUUCCCCGAAAAAUAUCCUAGAAAAUAGUUUUCUGGUUGGAAAAUACUUUUCCGGCUGGAAAAUAUUUUUCUAUCUAUGGUUUCCAGAAAAAAUAGUUUUUUCGAAAAACUCUUUUUUCUAGAUUGCAUGGAAAACUAAUGUUUUCAUUUUCUAGAUUUUCUUUUAUCUGGAAAACAAAAACACUGAAAAAUGGUGUUUUCCACAAAAAAGUUUUUUUCCAGAAAAACAGUUAUCCAGAGCUUUCGAGGAACCAAACACCCCCUUGGCGUAAAAAUGGAAUUUCUUGCAUGCAUAACAAUGUCAGUGAUCUGUACUACCUUUUCCAGAACCUUAUCACCGUUCUUCUUGGCAUGUUGUAAUAGCGUAGAAAGGGUUGUUAUGCCUAAUUGACUAGUUUUCUUGUAUUUUGGUGUUAGACACAAGGAAUGAGGCACGAUGUAGUGCCCUAUAGAAGCAUGUUAUCUGCUUUAAGAAGGAUUGCACAAGAAGAGGGCAUUCGUGGGCUUUACAGGUCAGUUGCAUCUUAACCAUUUCCAUGUAACCUUCUUCCAACUCUUUGUUUGAGUCUCAUUGUUACAUGCUAUGUUUCUCUUGUGAACAGUGGCCUUCUUCCUUCUUUAGCUGGGGUUAGCCAUGUGGCUAUCCAAUUUCCAGCGUAUGAAAAGCUCAAAUAUCACUUGGCCAAAAGAGGUAAUGAAUUAUUUCAUUUUGUCAGAGGACUGGAGUUUGUAACCUUUUUCUUUCUCUUGGUUUUUUACUUUAUGUUACUGGGCCUUCGAUCUUCCAAAUAUUUGUCAGAUAACACUACGGUUGACAAGCUAAGUCCCGGGCGUGUAGCUGUGGCUUCUUCGCUGUCUAAAAUAAUAGCCUCAACAGCGACAUAUCCUCAUGAGGUAUGCCUUCCAUACUAAUUUUUUUGUUAAUUAGGCAAGGUGGUCACCUGUGGCUGUUUGUAAACAAGUGUCUUUACUUCAGAAGUUCACAUUUUAGUACUCGAUCUCUCUGAAGUUCUCAGUCCCUCACUUCUAUCUCCAAAUAGCUCAAGAAAUUGUUGCCUACAUUGGGUUGGACCCGAGUAAAUCUGGCCCAACAUGUCCACUCGGGCCCUUUUUACCAGGUAGGGCCCAGCACCACCUAGAGAACCGGAUGGAUUAAUAAGAGGCCCUCUAAAAAUUAGAGACCCGAUAAAUCCUGGUUGGGCCCGGAUCUUAGUUUCUUUUGUUGACUUGGCCCAACAGAACAUGUGUUUAUUUCACCUGGCCCAGCCAAAUCAUGUGGCACUUGGCCCUGGCUUAAAUAUGGACUUGGCUGGGCCGAGGCUGAGCAAAUUUAAUUUAGUCCCAAACUAGGCUCAAAUCUCACCUGGCCCAGCAUGCUAUUUGUUCACCCUCCGCCCAAGGCAUCCAUGAAUCCUUACAUUGCUCUGAAAUCUGCACUCUGUUUUAUCCCACACUUCAAUCCAUUUAAAUGUUAGGUAGUUCACUGGAAUUAUGAGAUGGGGCAGAGGGAUAAGGCAGUGUGUUGCACAGAUAUACAGAUGCACUCUGUGUCAGAAAUAAUUUCUACAGUAGGUUUUCUAACGCUGAGAUAACAAAAUCAAAGGCUAGCUUUUUUAAGUUCAGACACCUGUUUCCAAGGCCCAUGGUUUAGGUACCCGCUGUUUGUCGGCACCAUUAUUUUAUCUCAUUUCCUAUAGUCUAUUGAAAUAUGCUCUCAAACUCAUGUCCUGAUAAGCUUGCCAGGUUAUACGGUCGAGGCUACAAGAACAAGGCCAUGCACGUAACACCACAGACCGGUACACUGGUGUGUUUGAUUGUGUAAAGAAAAUCUUCAAGAAUGAAGGCAUCGCCGGCUUCUACCGCGGCUGCGCCACAAACUUACUGAGAACUACCCCGACUGCUGUUAUUACUUUCACCAGCUAUGAAAUGAUUAAGAGAUUCUUACACCAAGUCCUUCCUACAUGAGGCAGAAAAUUCUGAAUCCAUCCCGUCUACCAUACGGAAUGAAUUCAAGAGCAAGGUGCUUGCAAUAAGGGAGGCAAAUGUCGAAGAACUAAACUCUCGACACUAGAGAGAGUGUGCUUGUUGAAGGGUAAAUUGCACCGUUUCGUAUCCAACCGGUUGCACCAUUCAUAUCCCAUCUUUACUGAAGUUUGCAGUUUCCUCCCCGAACUUCUAUUUUUUUUUUUUUUUAAUCAGUUCUGUAACUGCUGUUAGCUGCUGCAAUCAGGUCUCCUCCGUUGAAAAGUCCGUUGACUAGGACAAGUUGUCACAUUCUGGAGAUCUAUUUGUGCUCUCUCGUAAUUCCCGUCUGAGUUUACAGAUUCCUUGAUGAAAGGUUCUUUGAAACAAAUAAGGGCCUUUGGGGACCAUAUUGCAAAGAUUGAAAGGUUGGGGACCAAAGUGAAAUUUUGGGCGAAAGCUCGUAAAUUGAGUUGCAUGGUGUUUUUGAGGCUGGAUCCAAGUGUGUGUAGAUUUGUUGGUCAACUAAUCCCUCUUUUCUUUUAUUUAUAUUUUCUUUCCUCCAAGGAGGGCAAUGGAAUUGACUUAUAUUGGUUAGGCCAUCUGAACCUCUUAGAAAAAAGGCUAAUAUCUGGAUUAUUGAAUGCAGUGGUGUUGUCUCUCAAUGUUGUUAGGAUGAUUCUGGAUUAUUGAAUGCAAUGGUGUUGUCCCAUUGUUGUGAGGAUGACAUGUAGUGCCCACAAUUUAAUGAGGGUGCAAAUAUAGCUCCUCAGUAUUUUUGCUUUUAAUAAUUGCCAUCAUCUGCAAAAUGCAUUUUAGUACUAAAAUUAUACAGAACUUAUCUGCACUAUGGAUAAUUUUGAGUCGAAAACUUUUGACCUUUCAGCCAUUUGAUUUUACUCUUUGACCUUUAAUUUGUUUGAUUUGAUCCAAUCAACAGCACUUUGACUCUAAAAUGCACGAUAAUUACUUUAACGAAUUUGCAGCUACGAAAAUUGCAUGAAGUACAAAAAGUAAACCUGACGAGAAUUGCAUGAAGUAUGCUAACUAAAUAUUUAAGACAAACAACAGAUUUAAAUUUUAAACUUAAAGUGCCGUUGACUUUCUGAGGUCAAACAAAUUUAAAGACGGAGUAGUAAAAAUAAAAUUUUGAAAGAUUGAAUAGCCAAUUGAAAAUAAUCAAUAGUUCAGAUAAGUUUUAUACAUUUUUGCCAAAAUUUAAAUUUUUUUAAAGUUUAAAUUCUUUGUUUUCAUGACUUAAAAUUUUAACACUAAUGAGUAAUACUAAGAACGAGCUAUAAUAAAUUUAUAAUUAUAAUAACCAGUGCAAAUUAUAAUAUAAAUUACAAUAUAAGUAAUAGUUAGUAUUAAUAUUUUAUAUACUUUAAUUGGGUGGCUCCAAUCUACUUGUGUUCCACUCGUUUACAGCUCUAAUCUAGGUUCACUUUGACUUUGGGUCAAGGUAGAUAAAGCAGUAGCUUAGGAAUUUUUUAAUUUAACCUUUUAAAAAAUUAUAAUUUGUGAAAUGAUGAAGUAAACUUUUCUUUUGGCCAAAUAACCCUUUUUUUGUUCAACUUAGGCGGUGUUUGGACUGAUAAAUCUCUAGAUCCAACGUAACUCAAGUGCAGUGGUGUUUGAGUUUCUCUGAAGCGAAGUUAUUUUUAGUUAUUUUCUCGUUAUUUGUUUUGAUGUAACUCAUACAUUCUGAAAAUUAAAUUUAAGCACUUUUUUUUAUUUAUUUUGGUAUAAUUUGAUGCUAAUGUAACUAGUUUUUUGAGUUUUAUUAUUUAUUUUGAUGUAAAUAAAUAAAUCUCGUUAUCUCCUAAAUAUAGUGAUAAACUUAUCCCAUCAAAUUCAAUAUAUUAAAUAACUAAAAUUCUCCAUUAUUAUUUGAAGGUAAUCUUAAUCCAUUGUAAAGGACAUAGAGUUUAGGUUUUAAUGUUUAAUUUUUUAGAAAAAGUUGAGUGUGAUGGAAUUUGAGUUUGGCACUCUAAAAGGGGGAAGUCAAGACUAGGUGAAGUGGAGGUCUUACAUAACUUGAGUUAUAUUUUUUUUUUUAAUUACACCAAAAUAAAUACGAAAAAUGAUGGAACUUGAGUUCCACUCUUCCACCUACUCCAAACCAAAUGGCUCCUUAGCAGUAAGUUGGAAGAAUAAUUGGAAGUUGGUGUAUCGUUUAUCAUUUUUAAUAAAAUUUAGAAGACAAUAAGGUGAAUUAUUUACCUUUCUUUCUUUAAAAAGAAAAUGGUGAAUAAUUUAUCUCCUUUUUUUUCUAUUUUUCAUAUGUAAUCCUAAUAAUAACAAAAAAUUUUAAUAAAUCACACACAAUCCUACCAAUCUAAAAAAUUCUAACAUACCCAUAUAAUUCUAGCAAUUAAAUAAAAAUUCUAAUAAUCGGCAUAUACUCCUAACAAGCUCAUAAAAAUUCUCACUCUAUACAAAAAAAAUAAUAGCAAUAUGAAUA